GUUACCCAUCAACAACAACUACUCCUCUCCUCCUCAUCAUCCUCCUCCUCCACCAUCACCACCACCACCACCACCACCUUCUCUCCACCCUCAUCCUCCUCAUCAUCAUCAUCCCCAUCACCCACAACAACAACCAACAACAACACAAUAAUCCACAGCCAAGGUGAAUAUUAUUAUUAUUAUUACUUCUCCUGCUAUGGUGUGUAUUGGUGUCUCUAUGUAUAGAUAGAAUUCUGUGUGUAGUCUGGUCUUUGCUCUCCUCCCUCCCUCACCACUAGUCCCCCUUGUCCCCUCUGCUGAUGCUGGGAUGCCUUCCCCUCUGUGUCAUUCCUCAGAUGUCUGCUCACAUUGAUGCUGUGCCCUGGGAUGAGCUUUGCAUGCAUGCUAUUUAAAUGCACCCUGUGAAAAGCAGGUGUAAAAACAAGUGCACACAUCUCAUACAGUGUGGGAUAUAUUUUGCUUCUCUGUUCCCGUCUUUUUUUUUUUUUUCUUUCUAUCUUUCCCUCUCUCGUGUGUGAUUUUAUUUGAAUUUUUUUUGUCUCUUCCUUGUCUGCUUCGAUAUGUGUGUUUUCAUCCCAGUAGUCUGAUGUCUGGGGUGGGGGAUGAAGGAGAGGGGAGGGCUGGGGUGAAGAAUCACUGGGGCUUGUACUGGGUUAAUCACCCCUUCAGCUAAAUGCAUCUCUGUAUUUACUGAUCUUGUUGUGCAUGGACAAGGAAUUGAUGGGGAGGAAAUUGGAGAAUGGUUGUGGGGUUUGCAGGAAAAAAAAAAAAUACAUCUGUGUCUCCUGUGUCUGGCAUCCUCUGUUUGCAUUCCCUGUUAAUUUUAUUUCUGGGAGUAAUGUAGAAAAAUUAAGGUUGGAAUCAAUGUUAGGUGUAAUAUGCAAUAUGAUGAUGUACUACUGCUUUUCUCAUUUUUUUUUUAACAGUCAAGAUAAUAAUGGUAGAAAGUGCUUAACUGUGCUGUGAUCUUCUGGGUAAAGGGGGUUAGCAUUUUCUUUGUUGUAACCCCUGCAGAGUCAGUAAGGGCCUGAAAUGCAUUACCACCCAAGAGUUAACAGCAUCUUUCUUUGUGCUGCAUUCAGAAUUUACAUCCCUAGGACAUUAUUUACUGACUUUGCUUUCUCCUGCAAAGAGAAAGACCAAUCCUUGUGAGUUUUAAAGGUGCUAGUUUUGUGAUCCUUUAUUUAACCCCCCUUUGCAUUGUGUGGAACUAACAAGGAAUUGAUUAUCCAGGCAUUGUGUCCCCCUCUGAAUGAGAAGCUGCUGUUAGAAAUUCUGUCCUGUUAUUGCUUUACUUGAGAUGUUGCUCCAAUGUGUUACAAACCCCUGAUGCAUCCAUGAGAUUAGCAUCCUAUUCAGGCUGGGGGGCCUCAAACACUUGGCAGGUUGAGAGUGCCUACAAAGAGCUCCCACACUUGCCAAUCAGAGAUCAGUUUUGCUUGCUCCUGGAAUAGCGCCUUCCCAAAGCUGUUUUGUCCCAAGGCUCACAGUGGUGAAUUUUUUGUUUUCUUUACUGAAUACUGAAAUUGAAGACAGGUUGAUCAUAAAGAAUGUAUGAAUCUUGUGAACUUGAAAUGCUGAUCUGCUUUAUAUUUUUAGGUGCUGUGGAUGUAGCUUAGACAUGUCUGUACCUUUUUUUUGCAUUUUUUGUAUGAUUAUUUUUGUAUGUAAAUAUAGAAUCAUUGAUAUAUAUUUUGGUUAGUCCAUUAUGCUGCAUUUAAAAAAAAAUAAAAAAUGAUGCUCUAUUUAAUUGGUUAUCAUUUACACUCAUAUUUUAAAUAUUUUAAUGCCAACAUUUUUGGCAACAGUUCAGUGUUUAUUAUGAAUACCCAAGUUCGUAGAAAAGUGUAUGUCAGAUGUGUAUUCCUUAUUUCCCUAAUUGUGUUGAUGUGCAUCUACAUGUAUGCAUUAACUAAUAUCUGUGUGAUUUGUGUAUGUAUAUGCACACACAUACAACAAUCACACAUGCAUUGUUUUAACUAGUUUCAUCUGUAAGUUUAAGCCCACUGGAAAACAUUUUUUUUAACACCAACAUAAAAGUUAUUGAUUUUAUUUGAUAGUGCCACUGUUCUAGAAUGGAUCUGUAUUAGUUGCUCAAAGGACUGUCUGGGUUUUAUUUUGCCCUUCGUAUUAUUAAAUCUCUCUUGCCUUAUAUAUAAGGUUUUUUUUUAGUUUUUUUUUUUUUUAAAUGUUAUUUUCUUAAGCACUUUCAUACGUAGAUUACCGAAUUGAAUAAACUCCACUUCAUCCUCUGCUGUUUUUAUUCUGGCACUUAUAAAAUGUUUCCUGGAACAUGCACAAAGAGAUCUUCUGAAUUAUAGGGAGAGGGCAUACAAUUUAGAACUAGGGGUAUUGUGUGAGGAAAUGGUAGGGGUGUAUAACAACAAUGUUUGGAGGACAUUUUACUGGGUAAGAUGUAUGUGGACCAACCAUUUCAUGUUGCCUUGAUGGGCAGCAGUGCCAUUUAACUAAGGUAACAAAAAGCCUUUGUAAAACAAGUGCCAUGAGUACACAACACUGUGCCUCAGACUCCUAUUAACUGAUCAGAUGUCUCAUUAUUUUGGAGUGCACCAGAGAGGACAUAGCCCUUUGGCCUAGGCAGUUGUGUUUACUUAUAACAGCUGUGAUUUUUUUUAUGGCGUUUGAUGAGUCUGUCAUGGACCAUUUUACAAUAUUUGUGCCUAUGUAUGCCCAUGUCUAAUAUCAUAUUUAUGACACAGGUUUAAACUCAUAGAAGGCCCAAAAGAAAUGUAGAAAGUGAAAUACUGUGCUAAUUAAACUGAAAUGAAUCAUUGUUAUAAAAUUGAUUCUUCCCAGGGUCAGCCUUUUGGAGGUGUUAAGAUUUCCUAGUUAUUGAUUCUAGCUUUCCCAUGCUGACGCAGUGAUAUUGUAAAUAAUAUUAAAUUAUGACAAUGUAACGAAAACAGUAUUCAAUUUAAGUGAAUAGAAGCAGUGUGGUCAAAAGCAAUUUCUUUUGCACUCAAGGUUUAAUAGACCUGAAAUUUAUCUGAGCAUAAAUAUUAAUUUAAUUGAAAACACAUACAAUAAUACAUGCUAUGUUUUGGUAUUCUGUAGUAAAUGCAGUUUGAAGUGGAAAAUCAUAUAUACUCGAGUAUAAGUCGACCCGAAUAUAAGUCGAGACCCCUACUUUUACCCCCAAAAACUGGGAAAACGUAUUGACUCGAGUAUAAGACUAGGGUGGGAAAUGCAGCAGCUACUGGUAAAUUUCUAAAUAAAAUUAUAUCCCAAAAAAUUAUAUUAAUUGAAUAUGUAUUUACAGUGUGUGUAUAUAAUGAAUACAGUAUGUGUGUGUGUAUAUGAAUGCAGUGUGUGUGUAUGAGUGCAGUGUGUGUGUGUAUGAAUGCAGUGUGUGUGUGUAUGAGUGCAGUGUGUGUGUGUGUGAGUGCAGUGUGUGUGUGUGAGUGCAGUGUGUGUGUAUGAAAGCAGUGUGUGUGUGUGAUGCAGAGUGUGUUUGUGUAUGUGAUGCAGAGCCUUGGUGGAGGGUGGGCAUUUUUAUUAUUAUUUUUUAAUUAUUAUUAUUAUUUUAAUAUGUUUUUUGUUAUAUUAUUAAUAUUUUAUUUUUAUUUUAUUAUUAUUAUUUUUUUAAUAUUAUUAAUAUUUUUAUUUUAAUAUAAUUUAAUUAUUUAUUUAUUUUUGUCCCCCUCUCUGCUUGUUAGCUGGCCAGGGAGGGGGGGCUCUCAUUCCCUGGUGGUCCAGUGGCAUUGGCUGUGUAGGAGGGGGGCUGGCAGCGAGCUGUAACUUACUUUUCCUGCAGCUCAUGUCAGCUCUGACCCCGCGGCUCUCGCAAGACUUACAGUGGGAGCUGACCGGACCGGAGGAAAGAGAAAGGGAGCUGACAGGAGCUGCAGGAAAGGUAAGUUACAGCUCUCUGCCAGCCCCCUCAUUACAAGCCCAGCGGUCCUGGUCUGUAUUAUGGCAAUGUAAGUUGCCAUAAUACAGACCUUGACUUGAGUAUAAGUCGAGUGGGGGUUUUGCAGCACAAAAAAUUUGCUGAAAAACUCGACUUAUACUCGAGUAUAUACGGUAUUUAUUGUUGGAGAAAUAUUUUAUUUCCCUGUUUUUUGCACAUUUGGGAGUCUCUUCCGGUUGUCAACAGUGGAUACAGGGCAUUUAUUUAUUAAAACUUGUUUUGCCGCGAAGGGCACAUUUCUCUUGGGCCUCUUUGGACUUUAGUUUUUUUUUAUUGUUAUACAACUUUUUUAUCUGCAAUAUUUUUUAAAAUAAUAGUUAGGGCUAAAGUUAGUGCAAUGGCAACGAUUUCUUUAGACUUAGUUAAGCACAUAUGUCACAGUCUCUCUGAGACUACUAGAAGUUAUAUUACAGGGACAGGAAGUGGUUCUGUGGUCUGUACCCACUGGAGGUGAUGAAAACCAACUCCCACAACAGAACACUAGGGAUUCCGGGUAUAGCACUAGAUAAGCUAAAGGCGGAGUAAGGAGGGGUAGAGCACUCCACGCACGCUACAUACAGCCAGCACACACCACACACACAUAACAUACGGCCAGCACGCACCAUGCCGUAUGGCGAGCACAAAUCACACACAUUACAUACAAUCACUACACACAUUGCCAAUAGUCACCACAUUACAUAUACCAGCACACACACUCACGCAUGAUACCCAGCCACCACAUACACUAUAAGGUAGGGUAAAGGGCAAGACACUAAACUGCAAAUGUUUCAAAUUAAACCCAGAAGGCAAAAUAUUAUAGAAAUAGACUGUUGUGACUAUAGCUGAGUUGGAUUUUUUUUUGUUCAGAUCAGGCAUUUUUGCCUUAGUUUACCCAUUCAUAUUUAAUUUGGGAAAAUCUGAAUUUAGUGAAUAAAUCUGUCAAUGCCCAAGUCUGAGCAGGGUCCUCAAACGUUGCAACUGAAAUUGUUUUGUAUCAGGACAAGUAGAUUCCCAUGACAUGUUGUUUGAAAUGUUGCAUUCUGUUUAAUGAAAAAACCUGAGGUCCACUGCCCCUUCCAGACUGAGUGCCUUUCUCUUUUAGCUUCUGGAAUAAAAGAAAAAAUCAACAGCUAUCAAAAACUAUGUUGGUUUUGUUCGAUUCCAUUCAGGCUUUUUUUUUUUUUAGAUCCUUGAGGAUAGUACUCAAUUUAGGAGCUCUGUUAUGGUCUGCUCACACUUUAUAGAUUACCUUAUAAUUUGCCUGUCACGAUAGCCUUGGUUGGCUCUGAGCUUUAUUAGGAACCUGAAUAGCAAUGGUUUUUAUUGCAGUCCAGCUAGCUGUAGACUAAUUGUUCCUAUGUGGAUAGUUUCAAUUGCCAUAUUUUCUUGGUAGUUUCCACCAGAAGGGGUUUAUAAAACCAGAGAUGCUAUUUUUCUAACUGAUGUAAAAACAUUUGAUUACUUGGAAAAUCCCGGGUUCUUCUAUUGGAAACUCUAAGCAGCAUCCUAUGUUGUAUACUCUCGGCCCAAGUCUUGAUGCGGGUUAACUACAAAGGGCUACUUCAAAUGCAGCAGCAGCGGGUCUGUAUACUUCUCGUGUAUAAAGGUUUCCUCCUCCACCAAAUACAGGUUAUAUUUACAUAUAAAGGAUUCUUGUUCACCAAAUACAGGCUAUACUUACACUAUAAAGAAAACAAUGUCAGACAUAAUAAUACAUAUGGAGUUUACGGUAUUAUAUGUUGGGAAUAGUUUGAAGGUUUCUUCAAUCCAUUCCAUUGGACAAUUUCACCGGCACAAAGCGUGCGUAUGUACGAGGGAGAGAGGGAGGUGUGUUGGCAGAGGAGGGAGGGUUCAAUACAAAAAUAAAAAAAAUAAAACCAGCAUUGAUGCUAUAGGGAGGCAGGAGGGAUCAAAUGAAAGCAGGGAGGGAGAUGUCUGCUUCCCUUUGCAGGCACGCUGCCUGCAAAGGAGAACCUCAUUACGUAUGUCACCACCUUGCAGUGCGCACUGACCACAAUUGUAAUUUUUGCAUAGGAUUAACAUUAGGAGCCUUGGCCUGCCUAAGUCACAUGUCCUACGGGUGCAAAUAGCCACAGGCACAAAACUGAAGAUAUAUCUGCAUGUGUAGCAUUUCUAGCAGAAACUACUGCCACCAUGACCACUUCUAAAAGCAGAAGGGGUCAUGGUGAUUGGAGUAACCCUUACAUUGUAUAUGUGUGCCAGAGAAAAUUAAUUUGAAAAUGUUUUGAUAACUCUGUGGUUAAUGUCUGUAUGUAUUCACUUGAAUAGAAAUAUUUUUAGACACUGCCAGUGAUGGAUACCAGGAACUUGGAAUAUCAGGAUUUGGAGGCUCUCUGCUUCCCCAAUAUGAACUGAUAACAUUGGACUCUUCCUCUACAGGGAAUUAGCUUUACCAGGGUUAUGUACUAAAGUGAGAAUUCAAGAAGUAAAUUUCACAUUUAAAGCCAAACUAGCCAAACUGAAAACAUAGCUAACUAACAGAAUUAUUCCAGUUCAGCUGUUUUGAACUUAAACUUAAAAUUACUUUGAAUUCUCAAUUAAGUAAAUAAACCAUUACAUUUCAAAUUUAAGGGCAAAAUAACUAAACAGGAAAAAAAUCUCCAAGUCCACCUUACUUUGAGUUCGACUACUAUGGCCUUAAAUGUAAAAAUCACUUUAAAUUUACUUUGAAUUACUGAGAAUUCUCUCUUUAGUAAAUAAUCCUUUAAGUCUUGGCAUAAUAUAAUAAUAUUAAAUACCAGCUCACUGUGUGCAGCGCUUGUUGGUUUUGAGAUUCAGCAUGGUUACUUAAAGGAACACUAUAGUGUGAGGAAUACAAACAUGUAUUCCUUAUAUUAUAGUGCUGGUAUGGAUUUUAAGGUGACUGACCAAGCUGCUGUCACGCUGAAAAGGUGAUUUUAAACACCUUUUCUACCGCAGCUGGCCUUGCAUUGCUCUGCAUCCAUGGUGCCAGGACCCCCAGGUUUUAACCCUUCAGAUGUAAACAUAGCAGUUUUAGAGGAACUGCUAUGUUUAAAUUGCAGGGUUAAUCCAGCCUCUAGUGGCUAUCCUCCUGACAGCCGCUAAAGGUGCUUCGGCGGUGCUGGAUGCGAAAUUCGCAUCCUGCGUGCAGAACGUCCAUAGGAAAGCAUUGAGAAUUGGUUUCCUAUUGACUGUUUGAAUGUGUGCACAGCUCUUGCCGCGCAUGCUCAUUCCGCUCCACUCGGGAGCCGAUGUUGGAGUGGGAGAAGAGGUCACCAGCACCGAGGGAGCCUGGCGCUGGAUAAAGGUAAAUGGCUGAAGGGGUUCUGAGGGUGGGGGGGUCCUAAGGAUGCUAUAGUGUCAGGAAAACGAGUUUGGGGGAAAUUUAUCUUUUUCCAAGAUGUUUUAGUCUAUUCUCAAAUGUAUCCAUCCUGUGAGUAGGUUGUUUUAUCAUGCACAGUUGUACUUUUCUGAUACUUAUAUUCAUUUGCAGUUUUACCAGAAUAAAAAGGCCAUGAAAUGUAGAUUUUGUAGAGUUAUAUUAUAUAUAUAUUAUAUGCUGCAUGUACCGUUACAUUAUACCUUGGAAAACAAACACUGUCUUCUGUGAAAAAAACAAACAAACACAAAAAGCUUCACAAAAUAUGUUAUCUUGGAGCAGAUAAAUGGUCUAUUUUCAUAUGCUGCAUCUCUUCAGCUGAGCCAGGAGGCUAUGAAUUUCGCAGUCUAUUGCCAGGCCCCCAGGGAAGUUUAUUAAUCACUGGCAAGGAGAGGGUCUCACUUCUUUCCCCAUGAUGAUCCCACGGAGCUUACAAUUAUAUCUUGCCAACCUAAGUGCGAUUUCUCCCAGUGUGGCAGUGAACCCUCCUUUUAUCCCGAGGAUGAGAAAGUGGGAAGGCUUAGGCAAAAAUGACUGGAUUAUUUUUAUAGCAAUCUACAUAAACGCCAAAUAAGCAAGAUACGUGCUAAAAGCAACUUUUUUCUCUCUCUCAAAGGCUGAAUUUCUCAUAUUGAGAAGGGACACAUAAAUAGCUUUGAAUAGAGCAUUGAAUUUAAUGUAGAUUCACAUAUUCAUUUUCCCUAAUCUUUUCUGCUUAACCCAAAUCUGCAUGUAUACUCCUGUUAAUGUUCCUUUUCAAAGUUAAAACUUUUAUAUUGAAAAGAAACCCAGGAAGUUGUCUGGAGAGCAUUUGAAGGCAUUCCUGCCUGAUUGUACAUAACAAAAUGAACAUUUAGUUCAUAAUCUUAUUGCUUCAGUGUUGUUUUUAUUUUAUAGCAGGGAUAGGCAACCUUCGGCACCCCAGAAGUUGUGGACUAUAUCCCCCACAGUGCUCUUACACCCAUAAUGCUGGCAAAGCAUCAUGGGAGGUGUAGUCCAAAACAUCUGGAGUGCCGAAGGUUGCCUGUGCCUGCUCGAUAGAGAAACAUUUCUCUUUCCUGGUCCCAUUAUGUUCCUCUGCAUCUCUGCAGAUAGACUUUCAUGGACAGUCCCCUUCUCCCACACUUCACCUCACCUUUUUUACGUCAGUAUUUAUGUAUGCUUUCUAGUAGCCAGAUGAAGGAGAGGUCUGAGCACAUUGCAGGUAUUGUGAGCAGGAUGCAAAAUUUCAUUUUUAAAGAGUUACUCCAGCCACCAUGACCACUUCAGUGAUUUGAAGUAGUCAUGAUGGAAGAAGUCAGUAUGUGCGGGGUUUCAGCUUAAAAAACUGCACAUACUGAGAUAUUUGUAAUUGUUUGCUAAUUGCACCCUCAGCACACUUGACAUUGGCAGCUCAGAGCUCUAUUCCGGGCUGUCAGUGUCCAUUCUGUGCAUUAAAAAUGUCUGUUGUCAGUGCGUACUGCACACUGCCGACAAACAUGAUAAUCCUCCCCUUGCAGACAAAGCGUCUGCAAGGGGAAGAUUGCUAUCCCCUCCAAUACUCCAAUCCAUAUUGCGCUCCAUCUAACCUCCUUGUGUUGCAAAUUGUUGUUUUUUUGUUUUGUUUUUUUAAAAACCCUUCCUCCUCUCUACACCCUCUCCUUGCAGGUCUUGAGCGCUGCCAUUCGCUCUGAACCGGCUAAUUUCUACAAUCACAGGUUUAUCUAUGACAGGAAUAGGCGACCUUCGGCACUCCAGAUAAUGUGAACUACAUCCUCCAUAAUGAUCUUACACCCAUAAUGCUUUCAAAGCAUCAUGGGAGGUGUAGUUCAAAACAUCUGGAGUGCCGAAAGUUGCCUAUGCCUGCUCUAUGAGCUUCACCCAGUGAGUAAAAUUUUAAUUUUGCAGGUUUUACUGCAAAUCGAGGGGGGGACAUCUUCAACAUGGUGCCUAGUAGGGCAUUUUACACAGGAAAGAUCCCCCCCCCCUCAAAAGGGUUAGCAUAACCCUUCAAUUAUAUGCAAAUGUUUCAGACCCUCCUUUAAAUAUUGCUACUUACAGGACAAACAAAUAUAUGAAAAAUUCAAUUAUAUAAUUUUACAAAUAUUUCAUUUAGAUUUUAUACCUAAACAGCAGUCUAUGUAGGGAAUUUCCGUUUUAUCCUUGCUAACUAUGCAAACGAUAUUGAAAAUAAACUUUAUUUUUUUAAAUGUACAGGAAGGAACAUAAUAGUAAAGAAGUAUAGGUCAAGCAGCAUUAUUUGCUGGGGUUCAUUUCCCUUAAGUCUUAGAGAAUUAUGGUUUAAAAGCUUUUGGCAGAUGUCACCACACACUUUAAUUAUAUCUAAUUUAGCGUUCCUCUUUUUAUGUCAGCUGCACAGUUGAUCAAUCGAUACAAGAAGUAUAGUAAAUACACAGGGUCUGGUUAAUUGUUUCAGCUGCAGGUUGAACAACUCCCAGAGAAUUAUUUAUUAGAUAAAGUCCCACAAAAAAAACAAUCUUAUGUUGCAUCGAUAGCCAUUAUUUUCAGUUUUCUCUUGUCUGCUGCCAAGAGGCUAAAUUCACUAAUGUCUGUUAAGUGGGGUUGUCCAACAAUUCAGGGUUAACUGUCAUUUAUGUUAAUUGUUCCGAACAUGCUUUUGCAGUGCAAUAGCUGCAACAUAGGCUAAGGCCUACUGGAAACUUAGGCCAAAGCAAAAAAGGGAGACAACUAAAUUUUUUUUUUUUUUUUAAUUCUUUAUUUUUGCUGUGCAUAAGAUAACAAUGGAGCUUGUGAUGCCACAACAGCAAACACAGUUUCAAUAAUGUCAAAUAGAGUAAUACAGAAGCAUGGCAUUGACAUAAUAGCACUCUUUUUUAAAAGGUAAUAACAGGCUAAUCAGACAGGCAAAUAUGUAUUAGAUAUGACCACUGGACAGAUUGCUGGACUAGGCAAAUUAACCACUGUUUUAGCAUGUAAAAUGCAAGUUAGUGAACCACUGGGACUAGGCUAAGCAUUAUAAUGCUGCACCAGACAAAGUGAAACUAGGCAAGAUUAGGUAAACAUGUCAAAGAAAAAUAAAAAAAAGAGUACAGAGAAGGUGCCGUUCGCCAUUUUAAGAGGGGUCUAUAUCUCUAGUGGUGGGCUAAAAGCUGGGUUCAUCCAACCCCCAUAGGUGUCACAAGUAUGGCACUAUCAAGGAAGUCCUGCUUGGGACUGGCUGCAGACUGGUGUCGAAGGUGUAUUCUCCCCCACGUCCCAACCCACAUAAGGGCAAGCUUCACCAUUCCUCUGACUCUACGGUUUUUGCUUGCCAUGACCUUCCCCUCCUAGGGGUAGUUGACAGCUGUAGUGCUAGUUUGCUGCUGACAACGGUGGAUCUUCCGCACCCGAAAUCGCAUUGUAAGACCUCUGCCAAGUCUCUGGUUAUACUGGCGGGAGAAUGGUCCAGCAGAUGGCUGCUUCGUGCUUGGACGGGACUUUCCCGCCUUCCUGGUCUCACAUCUCGGCUCCCUCCUGAGACACGUUCCGAGCCUCCGGCUCACGUCUGUGUAGCUGUAUCCAGAAUUGCUGAAAUAUUUCUUCCAAUCGUAGCAGGCACUAAGCAGUAGAGCUGUGGAGGAUUUUUUUGGAGAGGCUCAGCUCCCAUGCGCUCGGAGGGAGUGCAUCCGCCAUCUUGUGUUGCAGAGUGUCGUCCUUGUAACGACAAGGAGUGAGUGCUGCUAAAACAUUCAAUGGUGAUCCAGUGGGAUAACAUCUGUUUUUAUCCAGUGAGCUUCUAUUUUUAGACAAUUCCCAACUCUCUUCCUACGAAGAAGGAGAUAGAUGAAGAUGAUAAUUGGAUUUAAUUAGAGAAAGGUGUCCAUGCCCCCUUGUUUAUUUGUAUGUUCUUACUCUUGCUCUAGCAAGAUUAUAGUCCCUAGUUUCCAAGCAUCUAGAACUGACCAAACAUUGACACCCCAUGCUGUUUUUGUGAGUCCCCUUUGAAUGGGACAGGUAUAUUUUAUUAGUAUAUUUACAGUUAACUGGUCUUAAUGUGUUAUUUACUGUAACAGUAAGGCCUUCUCCUGUGCAGUGGAAACCCCUAAACACUGGGAAAAGGCUAAUGGAGGUUUUUUAUUUAAUACAUUUUAUUAUAUAUUUAAGAUGGCUCACUGAACCAAUUCUGCAAAAAGGUAUUGGUCAUCUUUCCUGCCCCCCCUCCCAUAAAGGAAUGAAAAAGGUAUUUUACUUACCUCUUCUCCGUCAUGGCGAUGCUGUCUUGGAGGCCAGCCCUGCCUCCCUGGGUGAGAUAAUCUCAGCCAAUCAAAUGUUUUCCCUCAGGGUAGCAUUGGGAGGCUAGCGCUCAUGUGAUGCAAAGCACCUCUAUGUGCCACUUAUCUAAUUGAAUAGCAAAAUGUAAACAGUGCUGUUAAAGUGGAAACACCUUGGAUAGAAACAUACCUUUUCCAAGUAAGUUUUGUAAAUGAAUGGGGAGUCGCUGGUUGGCUGAGAGAGUCGGACAGCACUCCACGCUUCCUGUAAGUAAAAGCCACUGAGGAGGUGGGGGGGACCUGAGAACGACGCUAGAGGCAACUUCAGGGUUAAACUGCUCAAAAAUUAUUUAACCCCUUGAGGUAAGAGUGCGUUUUGGGGGACUCUGGGCACCAUAACAACUUAAUUUACAUUAACUUGUUUCGGUGCAUGGAAUGUUCCUUUAAAGAGAAAGAGGGUGACUAACUGCUCAGCAUCUGCCUGUUUAAUGAAGUUGUUUGACAUGGUCAGCUAUGGAUCUGUCAGUGGCUAUUUAUAAAAUACACUUUCUAUUCAGUAGAAGAUAUUCUCUUAGGAGAUUUUAAAACACAGGCAUCACCAAAUAAACUAUAGCUAAGACCUGAGUUGAUUUGAGCUCGAUUACACUAAGUUGAGGGCAUUAAAGACUUAUAUAUUUAUAGGAAACUCAGGUAGUCGUCUUGAGAGAAUUUUAAGUAAUUCCUCUCUAAUUGUGUAUAAUGAAGUGGACAUCCAGUUCAUGUUAUCAUUUUUUUAUAUGGCAUCAUUGGUUCCCAUUAUUAUAUUGAUCCUUUAAAUUGUGUCCAAGCUUUGUAAAGCACACCUGUCACCUUUUAAAGAUUUUAUAAUAAUUAACUCCAUGAUAAAAAGUAAUGCUAAAUCAUUACCAUUUAAACUUAUUGAAAUGAGCAAAUAUUGGUUAAUUAUAGAUGAAUACGAGAUUGAUUUACAUGUUCAUAUAAUGUUUAUCCAUUGCUUGAAGUUAUCUUCUUUACAUUGUAUCAAAUCCUCUUGAAACUAUGCUGCCAACAAAUGGCUAUUACACAUGCCAAAUUCAAAUCUCUGUUUUGAUAAUGGUCCAAACCCCAAAUUGGGCAUAAUUACCUUCAGCUCCAUUACUUUUGCGGUUAGAUUAGGUUUAUUAAUGUUAUAUAUUUUUAGCUUUCGGAGUAUUUUUUUGUUAAUGCAAUCGGUUUAGCAUGUUUACAAAGUACCUGUCUGAUUUGCAGUACCAGUUUAUGGUGGAAUUGGAGGUGUCCUUCUUCCUCCAUCCCCAUUAUACGCAAGUAUAUAUGUUGUACUUGAUAAACAGGCAUAUGCAUGCUUUUUAAUCUGCAUCAUAUAUUUCUGAUGAAAUGUGAAUGAAUUAAAUUCCAAGCACCAUAACCACUACAGCUCUUACAUUUUUUGUAUGUUUCUCACACACACACACACGCACAUAUAUAUAUAUAUUUUUUUUUUUUUACAUUUUCAGGUGUGUAUUUGAGGCACAUGCACUCCGAAAUAAAUAAAGAUUGCCCAGCUCAAACCUUUUUCUUUCAAUCUUAUUUUAGAAUGUAGAAUAUACUUUCCCCCUAGAAUGUACACCCUUAACACCCUCUGUGUGUCCAACUCAUCUUGUUUCAAAUGCUUGUCUGUUAGUUCACCUAUUACAGCACUGUGGAAUUUGUUGGCGCUUUACAAACGUGCCAAACAAAAUAAUGACUUUUCUGGCCCUACAAUGCCUUUAUCAAGAGUUUGAUAAAAACUUUGUUGUGCUGAAACGUCACCAUCUUGUUUGGCACCCUAAAAUAAAUUAUCAGAAGACAAAGGUUUCCGCUGGACAAUGCACCUUCAAAAGGACAAAGUCUCUCUACUUGUGUUAUAUUUCAGGCACAUGUAGUGUAGUAGCUGUUGUUUUAAAUUUAGUUUUCAUUUUGUUCAUUGGUUUAUUUAUUUGAAUAGAAUCUGAUUACAUACUUUCCUGUUUUUUUAACUUGCUGCUCUGUUAGUUAUCUAAAUAAUGUACCCCCUAAAGAUGACAAGUCUAUCUGAUUUUAUUAUAUUGGCAUUCAUAGUUGAAUAUUUCUUCUGCCAUAUAUACUGUAUUAAAAAGAAAAUAUUACUUCACAGGUACUUAAAUAUAAAAAAAAAAAUAAAUUCAGAAUCUGCAGAUCAUAUGUUUUUAUUUCACUUGUAAUAAGACAAAAAUAGUAAAGGCGCAUUAAGAAUAGAGUGCACUUGUAAACCAUAUGUUCGAAUGACAAUUUCUACAUUAAUUUCAGUGAGUUUCAGAUAUUAUAGGUGGAUAUGUGUGAAGGAAACCACAAUAGGGCAUUUUAUGAAUUUUUAUAUUUUGUAUGACUCUGAUUACAUUCUCUAUCAAUGAAGUUGGAAACCAUUGUAAUUACCUGAAGAUGUGUUGGCACCGACACAAAUUAAAAAAUGCUGCAAAAAACAUGCUUGAUAAUGUUUAAUGAAGCUAAAACUUUUAUGUAUAAUCCAUCACCUAAUUGAGGAAUCGUUUUGCAUUAAAGUGGCAAUGUCACUUCUGAGCUUUUCAUAACAUAAUUAUACUCAUCAUAAAAACUUAUGUGAUCUCCUUUGUGUCAUGUAAGUGCCGAUUUGUGACAAAGAACAGAGCCACAUCCUGCCAUUUUUCAUCAGCUAUUCCAUGCAACUGCUGAUUGGAGCAGACAUCUUCCUGCCUGUUGUGUAAUAGAUCCCUAUGUGCAAGAUGAUCUAUGGGGUAUACCUUUAUCUUGCAGGAGUUAAAAUCAACCCCAUUUGGUACUCACACAAGUGAGAGAAAGGAUUAAUAGUGAUCUAACUGUGCAAAAGGGGCUAAUGGGUGUUGGGCCAAAAAGGUGCUACUGGUUCCUGCUUACUCCAUACAAUUAUUCAUUUGUUUAGUUCUACAUUGUAACUUAAUAAUGUAUUCAUUCUUUGUUUUUUGCUUGUUAUGUAUGGAGAGACACCUUUAAAGAAAUGCUACAUCUUCUUGUGGUUCUCAGGGUUUUUGAGGGUUGUGCAAAAAAAGCUUUAUAUUUCAAAGCGUGAUCUUUGUGGGCAUGUUUUUGUUAUGUGUGAUUGUGUGUAUGGUUUAUUUUUGUUGAUUCCAAUGGUUUCCGUGAUGAUUGUCCCGAUUUUAGAACUUUGCCCCACUCCUCUGUUAGCAAAUCUUCGAUAUUUGUAACUUUAUGCCGCAUUGGAUAGAUAAUGCCAGUACAGAAUGCUGGUAACUAUUUUUAUACAUGCCACAAAAUUCUUAAACUACAAUUAUAUCACUUUUCUGUAUUGGUGCAGCUGGCUCACUCGUAGUUUUAUCUGGCAGUAAUCAUGUUAUACAUAAGCACAGACACUAAUUGUGUCACAAUUGCUACUUUUCUCAUGGAAACCCUUUUAUACAUUGCCCCAAAUGUCUCAACAGGGAGUUUUCUGCAAUGGAGAGCUGUGAGUUGAUUUGACUGCAUGCACUCCCAUUGAACUCUGCACCUGCUUGGAAACCUGCAAGGCUUCUAUAAAUCCUGCAUUGUUAAAGUUCCUUAGUCCUUGGAACAAUCUGUUUGUUCUAUGCAAAAUAUUUAAUGAGUACAACAUGGAUAUAACAUUUCUCAAGUCUAUGGUUUUUUUCUUGAGUGGCUAUCUAAAACUCCUUCAUUGGCUAAGCAUGAUGAGAUCUGCAGUCCACAGUAACAUGACAAAGGUUGCAGUUGACUGGGUAAGACCAUUGUAUUAAUGUGUUUUCUUUCUGGUUCUCCAAGGCACAUUGGCCUCGAUUUAAUAAGCUUUUCAACUGAUUCAAUACUGAGAAAAACUUUCCAAAUGAUUUAUCUACAAAAGUCACCAUUACGGUCUAUGGGAAUUGUUCUAGAUAAAUCAUUUAGAAAAUGUGUCGAACAGUAUUGAAUUAUUUGGCAAGCCUAUUAAAUCAAGAACAUUGUCUUCAACAAAACGGAAAUUCGGCAUUGCUGAUGCUUAAUUUGACAUUAUGUUGUAAGUUCUUGCUUUUUAAGUUUUUAUAUGUGCAAUUUUUUUAUCUGCCCUUAUAGACAAAGAUGAACAGACAGUCAAAUACUCUUUCUUUACAAAAGAGAUUGACAGUGGGAUACUGUAGAAAUCCCUUAUAUUGUGUAUUUGAGGUUAAAUAAUUUGACAUGUAUUAAACUGUUCACUCUAGCUGCAGUCUCAGUCAAUUGCCAUAAAAUCAUAUUGAAUUUGGUCUUUUCCAUUGGAGUUAUUUCCUAUAUGUACUGGAAAACCUCUGAAAGCGUACAGUAAUGUUAAAGAUACUCUUUAAAGUAUCCUCAAACUUCUCCCAUUGUUUCCACUUCUCUUCCUCUUUCAGAAUCUGUUCUUCCUUUUUGAUCUAUUUCUCUUAAAACAUAAGAAAAAGUAUGGACUACUUUGUCUUAUAUACUUUUCCUGCCUAAUGUCAAUUCUGUGCAUAAAAUUUGUCUGUCGACAGCGCUCGCUGCACACUGCCGAAAGAUGUAAAAGCGUCUUCCUUGCAGAAAGAGCCUGCUAGGGAGAAGCUCUUGUCUCCCCUUUCUCCCUCCCUCCUCCAAAUCCCAUCGACAAUUUUAUUUUAUUCUUCGUCCUCCUUAUCUACUACCCUCUCUCCCUCCCUUCAGUGGCUAAGAGCACGUGUAUGCUCCCUGAGAGUGUAAAAUAGUCAAAUCAAAUGUUUCUCCAUUAGAAGCCUUUGAUUGGACAUCAACACAGCUCCCGUGAUGUCAGACGGGGGUGCACCGAGCAGCACUGGGGAGCUUCACCAAGCGCUGGAUUAAGGUAAGCAAAGUUACCUCUUUGAGUCUUUUUCUAGGGGGAACUGAUAGAAUAAUACCAAUAUGUCAUUAUUCUAUCAUAAAUGAAAAAGGGUUGGAGAAACUCCAAAACACUGUAAUAAGCGAAGCUAAAAAAAGCUAUCUAUCUAUCUCACAACAUUUCAUAUGGCAGAGAACAAACACAUUUAUUCAGGGGUCGAGUCCUGGGAAAUCCCCCCCCCCCAAAUAAAAUUAUUAUAUGCUCGUAUGCAUAUAUAUAGCUGGGUGAAGGGUUGACAGUGUGUGGGGGUUGAAAGUGAUUGGAGAUGGUGAUAUUGUGUGGAGGGGUUGUGGGGGUGACAGUGUGUGUGUGAGGGGGAGGGUGACAGAGUGCAUGUAUGGGGGGAGUGACUGGGUGUGUGUGUGGAGAGGUGACAGAGUGUGUGAGGGGCGGUGACAGGGUUGUGGGGGGGCUGUGACGGUGUGUGGGGAGACAGGCUGGGGAAGGCUAUGAUAGGGUAGGGGGCCUGUGAGAGGUUGGGGGCUGUGAGAAGGUAGGGGGGCUGUGAGAAUGUAGAGGGGCUGUGAAAAGGUAGAUGGGCUGUGAGAAGGUAGGGGCUGUGAGAAGGUAGGGGCUGUGAGAGGGUUGGGGCAGUGAGGUGGGUACGGGGUCUCUAAGUGAGUAGUGGGUCUGUAUAUGGGUAGGGGGCUGCAUGGUGGGUAGGGGGGGCUGUGAGUGGAUAGGGGGACUGUGAGUGGGUAGGGGGGCUGUGAGUAGUUAGGGGCUCUGUAAGGUGGGUAGGGGUUCUGCAGGGUGAGUAGAGGGGCUGUAAGGUGGAUAGAGGGGCUGUGAGUGGGUAGGGGAACUGUGAGUGGGUAAGGGGGUUGUAAGGUGGGUAGGGGGGAUGUGAGUGGGUAGGGGGACUGUGAGUAGGUAGGGGUUCUGUACGGUGGGUAGGGGGGCUGUGAGUGAGUAGGGGGACUGUGAGUGGGUUGGGGUUCUGUAAGGUGGGUAUGGGGACUGUGAGUGGGUAGGGGGGCUCACUGACUCACUGACAGACACACACACACACACACUCACAGACACACACUGACAGCCAGCCACACACACACACACACACACACACACAUUAUUUUUCUAAAUUUAAUUUAAAUCCACCCAGCCUCCCUACCUUUGGGAGAGCUGGGUGGAUUUUUUAACUGGAGUCCGGCAUUUAUUGUAGCUACACAUUACUCUAUAUAGCUCCUAGAAAAGAUAGAAAAGAAGGAUAGAGAGAUUUGUGCCCAAAAUAGGGAUUGUCAUUCCUAAAUAGAGAUACUUGGGAGCAGGAAGGCAGGCGGGCGAUCAGCUGAGUUCCAGGUGGGAGUGAUGCCAGUGCUCCCUCGCCACCCGCCUGGAGUUCAACCGGCCGCCUCCCGCAAAGCUAACAAGGCAAAUGCCUUGUUUGCAUCGCGUGCAAACAAGUCCGUGAAGACUACUAACGAGAACGAUGCUCCUGCUGUGGAAAAAGUGCAGGAACACCUUUCCUACGCGUUCCUGUAGGACUCGAGUCCUGCAUUUAUUGUAGCUACACAUUACUGUAAAUACUGUGUGUGUGUAUGUAUGGUAUACAUAGGCGUGCGCAGCCUAUUGCAUUAGGGUGUGCACCCUAAAGCACAAACAUACGCCGCGUGUGUGUGUGUAUAUAUAUAUAUAUAUAUAUACACAUAUAUAUAUAUAUAUAUAUAUAUACAUAUAUAUAUUCACAGACACACACACUCACAGACACACUCACACACACUGACACACACAUACUCACACACUUACAGACACACACUGACACACACACACUCACUGACACAUACUCACACACUCACUGACACACACACUCACAGACACAUACUCACACACUCACACUGACACACACUCACAGACACAUACUCACACAUUCACACUGACACACACUCACAGACACACACUCACAUACUCACACAUUUACACACAAUCACAGACACACACUCACACACUCACAGACACACACUGACACACACACACUCACAGACACAUACUCACAUACUCACACACUCACUGACACACACAGACACACACACACACUCACAGACACACACACACACACUGACACAUACUCACUGACACACACUCACACAUACUCACACACACACUGACACACACACACACAAAUUAUUAUAUUUAAAAAAAAAAUUUUAAGUGUCCACCCAGCCUCCUACCUGGAGUGCUGGUGGACUUGUUCCUGGGGUCCAGUGGGGGCAGGCGCCUUUCUCCAGCUCAGCCGCGGCGAGGGAACUCUCUGCUCUCUGCUUCCUCUCCCCGCGCGGGCUGUCUGCUCGAGCUGGAAUAUGACGUCAUAUUCCGGCUCCCGGCAUCAGCGCGCGGCGAGAGGAAGCAGAGAGCUCCCUCGCCGCGGCUGAGCUGCAGGGUGGGGGGGAAUCAUCACCUCUUGCCCUCCCAUGACAGGGGCAAGAGGUGAAACAGGGGGCACUGAGUGCCUGCAGGAACAGCGUUCCUGCUCAAAAAAAGUGCAGGAACGCUGUUCCUGCAGGACUCAAACCAUAGGCGUGCGCACGGGGAUUAGGGUGUGCCCAGGCACACCCGGCACACCCCGUGCGCACGCCUAUGCCUAUAACAUGCAAAAAAAAGCAAAAAAGCACGUAAACACUAGGUAUUUUUAAACUCAGGACAAAAUUUUGAAUCUAUUUAGCAGUUUUUUUCAUUCGCUUUUGUAGAUGAGUAAAAGAUUUUUCAAGUAAAAGUCAAAAAACAUGUUUUUUUUUCAAUUUUUCAUCAUAUUUUUUUAUUUUUUUUAAAUUAAAAUACAUGAGAUUAUAUAAAUAAUGGUAUGUAAAGAAAGCCCCUUUUGUCCUGAAAAAAACAAUAUAUAAUUUGUAUGGGAACAGUAAAUGAGAAAGCGGAAAAUUACAGCCAAACACAAACACCACAAAAGUGUAAAAAUAUUCCUGGUCGCAAAUGUACAACAUCGCAAAAACAGUCCAGUCCUUAAGGGGUUAAAAUUACUUUGAAUUCUCAAUUUAGUAAAUAAACCAUUAUAUUUCAAAUUUAAGGGCAAAAUAACUAAACAGGAAAAAAAUCUCCAAGUCCGCCUUACUUUGAGUUCGACUACUAUGGCCUUAAAUGUAAAAAUCACUUUAAAUUUACUUUGAAUUACUGAGAAUUCUCUCUUUAGUAAAUAAUCCUUUAAAUCUUGACCUAAUAUAAUAAUAUUAAAUACCAGCUCACUGUGUGCAGCGCUUGUUGGUUUUGAGAUUCAGCAUGGUUACUUAAAGGAACACUAUAGUGUGAGGAAUACAAACAUGUAUUCCUUACAUUAUAGUGCUGGUAUGGAUUUUAAGGUGACUGACCAAGCUGCUGUCACGCUGAAUAGGUGAUUUUAAACACCUUUUCUACCGCAGCUGGCCUUGCAUUGCUCUGCAUCCAUGGCUGAGAUCACCAGUCUUGAUGAUCUCAGCCAAUCCAAUGCUUUCCCAUUGGAAAUAAAUGAGAGGCUAUUGUGCAUGCACAGCAAAAUGCUGCUCCAGACCAAUCGGCAUUCCCUGAAAUGCGUUUCAAUUGGGGAAGGUUCAGCGCCUCCAUGCAGAUUAUGGAGAACCUGAACGCUACUGCUGCACCGUCUGAGUGACUGCCACAAGAGAUAUUAUUAGGCACCAAUGUAAAUACUGCCUUUUCUCUGAAAAGGCAGUGUUUACAUUAAAAAGCCUGCAGGUACAGGCUAUAGACACCAGAACAACUUCAAUAGCUGUAGGGGUUCUGGUAACUAUAGUGACCUUUUAACAAUUCCUUGUAUCAGCUUUAUUAUACUCUGUAAUUCAGAUGUGUUCAUUUUCUUUUAUUCGUAGUAGGCUCCAGUAAGUGCUAAGCAUUUCAGUCAAAUACACACAACUAAUGGGUUAGAUAUUAAAGAGACACUAGUUACCCAGACCACUUCAGCUCAAUGAAGUGGUCUGGGUGCCAGGACCCCCAGGUUUUAACCCUUCAGAUGUAAACAUAGCAGUUUUAGAGGAACUGCUAUGUUUAAAUUGCAGGGUUAAUCCAGCCUCUAGUGGCUAUCCUCCUGACAGCCGCUAAAGGUGCUUCUGCGAUGCUGGAUGCGAAAUUCGCAUCCUGCGUGCAGAACGUCCAUAGGAAAGCAUUGAGAAUUGGUUUCCUAUUGACUGUUUGAAUGCGUGCACAGCCGCGCAUGCUCAUUCCGCUCCACUCAGGAGCCGAUGUCGGAGUGGGAGAAGAGGUCACCAGCGCCGAGGGAGCCCGGCGCUGGAUAAAGGUAAAUGGCUGAAGGGGUUCUGAGGGUGGGGGGUCCUAAGGAUACUAUAGUGUCAGGAAAACUCUUUCCUGACACGAUAGAAAUCCUUUAACCUUCUCAACUUCCUUUACUUCAGCACAAGUGUCUAAUUAUAUAUAUCUUUAGACACUCAUUUUUUUUUGUCUUAUUUAAUUUCUUUCUGUUUAUUCGUGUUGUUAGUAUAUAUAAAACAUAUUAAGUUUUGUGGAUUUCAAAAUAAAAGUGGACUACACCUUGGCCUAUUGAAGAUGGGGGAAAUGUAUCUUUUUCCAAGAUGUUUCAGUCUAUUCUCAAAUGUAUCCAUCCUGUGAGUAGGUUGUUUUAUCAUGCACAGUUGUACUUUUCUGAUACUUAUAUUCAUUUGCAGUUUUACCAGAAUAAAAAGGCCAUGAAAUGUAGAUUUUGUAGAGUUAUAUUAUAUAUAUAUUAUAUGCUGCAUGUACCGUUACAUUAUACCUUGGAAAACAAACACUGUCUUCUGUGAAAAAAACAAACAAACACAAAAAGCUUCACAAAAUAUGUUAUCUCGGAGCAGAUAGAUGGUCUAUUUUCAUAUGCUGCAUCUCUUCAGCUGAGCCAGGAGGCUAUGAAUUUCGCAGUCUAUUGCCAGGCCCCCAGGGAAGUUUAUUAAUCACUGGCAAGGAGAGGGUCUCACUUCUUUCCCCAUGAUGAUCCCACGGAGCUUACAAUUAUAUCUUGCCAACCUAAGUGCGAUUUCUCCCAGUGUGGCAGUGAACCCUCCUUUUAUCCCGAGGAUGAGAAAGUGGGAAGGCUUAGGCAAAAAUGACUGGAUUAUUUUUAUAGCAAUCUACAUAAACGCCAAAUAAGCAAGAUACGUGCUAAAAGCAACUUUUUUUUCUCUCUCAAAGGCUGAAUUUCUCAUAUUGAGAAGGGACACAUAAAUAGCUUUGAAUAGAGCAUUGAAUUUAAUGUAGAUUCACAUAUUCGUUUUCCCUAAUCUUUUCUGCUUAACCCAAAUCUGCAUGUAUACUCCUGUUAAUGUUCCUUUUCAAAGUUAAAACUUUUAUAUUGAAAGGAAACCCAGGAAGUUGUCUGGAGAGCAUUUGAAGGCAUUCCUGCCUGAUUGUACAUAACAAAAUGAACAUUUAGUUCAUAAUCUUAUUGCUUCAGUGUUGUUUUUAUUUUAUAGCAGGGAUAGGCAACCUUCGGCACCCCAGAAGUUGUGGACUAUAUCCCCCACAGUGCUCUUACACCCAUAAUGCUGGCAAAGCAUCAUGGGAGGUGUAGUCCAAAACAUCUGGAGUGCCGAAGGUUGCCUGUGCCUGCUCUAUAGAGAAACAUUUCUCUUUCAUGGUCCCAUUAUGUUCCUCAGCAUCUCUGCAGAUGGACUUUCAUGGACAGUCCCCUUCUCCCACACUUCACCUCACCUAUUUUACGUCAGUAUUUAUGUAUGCUUUCUAGUAGCCAGAUGAAGGAGAGGUCUGAGCACAUUGCAGGUAUUGUGAGCAGGAUGCAAUAGCCACUGAAUGUAGCAAAAUUUCAUUUUUAAAGAGUUACUCCAGCCACCAUGACCACUUCAGUGAUUUGAAGUAGUCAUGAUGGAAGAAGUCAGUAUGUGCAGGGUUUCAGCUUUAAAAACUGCACAUACUGAGAUAUUUGUAAUUAUUUGCUAAUUGCACCCUCAGCACACGUGACAUUGGCAGCUCAGAGCUCUAUUCCGGGCUGUCAGUGUCCAUUCUGUGCAUUAAAAAUGUCUGUUGUCAGUGCGUACUGCACACUGCCGACAAACAUGAUAAUCCUCCCCUUGCAGACAAAGCGUCUGCAAGGGGAAGAUUGCUAUCCCCUCCAAUACUCCAAUCCAUAUUGCGCUCCAUCUAACCUCCUUGUGUUGCAAAUUGUUGUUUUUUUGUUUUGUUUUUUUAAAAACCCUUCCUCCUCUCUACACCCUCUCCUUGCAGGUCUUGAGCGCUGCCAUUCGCUCUGAACCGGCUAAUUUCUACAAUCACAGGUUUAUCUAUGACAGGAAUAGGCGACCUUCGGCACUCCAGAUAAUGUGAACUACAUCCUCCAUAAUGAUCUUACACCCAUAAUGCUUUCAAAGCAUCAUGGGAGGUGUAGUUCAAAACAUCUGGAGUGCCGAAAGUUGCCUAUGCCUGCUCUAUGAGCUUCACCCAGUGAGUAAAAUUUUAAUUUUGCAGGUUUUACUGCAAAUCGAGGGGGGGACAUCUUCAACAUGGUGCCUAGUAGGGCAUUUUACACAGGAAAGAUCCCCCCCCCCUCAAAAGGGUUAGCAUAACCCUUCAAUUAUAUGCAAAUGUUUCAGACCCUCCUUUAAAUAUUGCUACUUACAGGACAAACAAAUAUAUGAAAAAUUCAAUUAUAUAAUUUUACAAAUAUUUCAUUUAGAUUUUAUACCUAAACAGCAGUCUAUGUAGGGAAUUUCCGUUUUAUCCUUGCUAACUAUGCAAACGAUAUUGAAAAUAAACUUUAUUUUUUUAAAUGUACAGGAAGGAACAUAAUAGUAAAGAAGUAUAGGUCAAGCAGCAUUAUUUGCUGGGGUUCAUUUCCCUUAAGUCUUAGAGAAUUAUGGUUUAAAAGCUUUUGGCAGAUGUCACCACACACUUUAAUUAUAUCUAAUUUAGCUUUCCUCUUUUUAUGUCAGCUGCACAGUUGAUCAAUCGAUACAAGAAGUAUAGUAAAUACACAGGGUCUGGUUAAUUGUUUCAGCUGCAGGUUGAACAACUCCCAGAGAUUUAUUUAUAAGAUAAAGUCCCACAAAAAAAACAAUCUUAUGUUGCAUCGAUAGCCAUUAUUUUCAGUUUUCUCUUGUUUGCUGCCAGGAGGCUAAAUUCACUAAUGUCUGUUAAGUGGGGUUGUCCAACAAUUCAGGGUUAACUGUCAUUUAUGUUAAUUGUUCCGAACAUGCUUUUGCAGUGCAAUAGCUGCAACAUAGGCUAAGGCCUACUGGAAACUUAGGCCAAAGCAAAAAAGGGAGACAACUAAAUUUUUUUUUUUUUUUAAUUCUUUAUUUUUGCUGUGCAUAAGAUAACAAUUGAGCUUGUGAUGCCACAACAGCAAACGCAGUUUCAAUAAUGUCAAAUAGAGUAAUACAGAAGCAUGGCAUUGACAUAAUAGCACUCUUUUUUAAAAGGUAAUAACAGGCUAAUCAGACAGGCAAAUAUGUAUUAGAUAUGACCACUGGACAGAUUGCUGGGACUAGGCAAAUUAACCACUGUUUUAGCAUGUAAAAUGCAAGUUAGUGAACCACUGGGACUAGGCUAAGCAUUAUAAUGCUGCACCAGACAAAGUGAAACUAGGCAAGAUUAGGUAAACAUGUCAAAGAAAAAUAAAAAAAAGAGUACAGAGAAGGUGCCGUUCGCCAUUUUAAGAGGGGUCUAUAUCUCUAGUGGUGGGCUAAAAGCUGGGUUCAUCCAACCCCCAUAGGUGUCACAAGUAUGGCACUAUCAAGGAAGUUCUGCUUGGGACUGGCUGCAGACUGGUGUCGAAGGUGUAUUCUCCCCCCCGUCCCAACCCACAUAAGGGCAAGCUUCACCAUUCCUCUGACUCUACGGUUUUCGCUUGCCAUGACCUUCCCCUCCUAGGGGUAGUUGACAGCUGUAGUGCUAGUUUGCUGCUGACAACGGUGGAUCUUCUGCACCCGAAAUCGCAUUGUAAGACCUCUGCCAAGUCUCUGGUUAUACUGGCGGGGGAAUGGUCCAGCAGAUGGCUGCUUCGUGCUUGGACGGGACUUUCCCGCCUUCCUGGUCUCACAUCUCGGCUCCCUCCUGAGACACGUUCCGAGCCUCCGGCUCACGUCUGUGUAGCUGUAUCCAGAAUUGCUGAAAUAUUUCUUCCAAUCGUAGCAGGCACUAAGCAGUAGAGCUGUGGAGGUUUUUUUUGGAGAGGCUCUGCUCCCAUGCGCUCGGAGGGAGUGCAUCCGCCAUCUUGUGUUGCAGAGUGUCGUCCUUGUAACGACAAGGAGUGAGUGCUGCUAAAACAUUCAAUGGUGAUCCAGUGGGGACGGGGAUAACAUCUGUUUUUAUCCAGUGAGCUUCUAUUUUUAGACAAUUCCCAACUCUCUUCCUACGAAGAAGGAGAUAGAUGAAGAUGAUAAUUGGAUUUAAUUAGAGAAAGAUGUCCAUGCCCCCUUGUUUAUUUCUAUGUUCUUACUCUUGCUCUAGCAAGAUUAUAGUCCCUGGUUUCCAAGCAUCUAGAACUGACCAAACAUUGACACCCCAUGCUGUUUUUGUGAGUCCCCUUUGAAUGGGACAGGUAUAUUUUAUUAGUACAUUUACAGUUAACUGGUCUUAAUGUGUUAUUUACUGUAACAGUAAGGCCUUCUCCUGUGCAGUGGAAACCCCUAAACACUGGGAAAAGGCUAAUGGAGGUUUUUUAUUUAAUACAUUUUAUUAUAUAUUUAAGAUGGCUCACUGAACCAAUUCUGCAAAAAGGUAUUGGUCAUCUUUCCUGCCCCCCCUCCCAUAAAGGAAUGAAAAAUGUAUUUUACUUACCUCUUCUCCGUCAUGGCGAUGCUGUCUUGGAGGCCAGCCCUGCCUCCCUGGGUGAGAUAAUCUCAGCCAAUCAAAUGUUUUCCCUCCAGGUAGCAUUGGGAGGCUAGCGCUCAUGUGAUGCAAAGCACCUCUAUGUGCCACUUAUCUAAUUGAAUAGCAAAAUGUAAACAGUGCUGUUAAAGUGGAAACACCUUGGAUAGAAACAUACCUUUUCCAAGUAAGUUUUGUAAAUGAAUGGGGAGUCGCUGGUUGGCUGAGAGAGUCGGCGGCACUCCACGCUUCCUGUAAGUAAAAGCCACUGAGGAAGUGGGGGGGACCUUAGAACGACGCUAGAGGCAACUUCAGGGUUAAACUGCUCAAAAAUGAUUUAACCCCUUGAGGUAAGAGUGCGUUUUGGGGAACUCUGGGCAUCAUAACAACUUAAUUUACAUUAACUUGUUUCGGUGCAUGGAAUGUUCCUUUAAAGAGAAAGAGGGUGACUAACUGCUCAGCAUCUGCCUGUUUAAUUAAGUUGUUUGACAUGGUCAGCUAUGGAUCUGUCAGUGGCUAUUUAUAAAAUACACUUUCUAUUCAGUAGAAGAUAUUCUCUUAGGAGAUUUUAAAACACAAGCAUCACCAAAUAAACUAUAGCUAAGACCUGAGUUGAUUUGAGCUCGAUUACACUAAGUUGAGGGCAUUAAAGACUUAUAUAUUUAUAGGAAACUCAGGUAGUCGUCUUGAGAGAAUUUUAAGUAAUUCCUCUCUAAUUGUGUAUAAUGAAGUGGACAUCCAGUUCAUGUUAUCAUUUUUUUAUAUGGCAUCAUUGGUUCCCAUUAUUAUAUUGAUCCUUUAAAUUGUGUCCAAGCUUUGUAAAGCACACCUGUCACCUUUUAAAGAUUUUAUAAUAAUUAACUCCAUGAUAAAAAGUAAUGCUAAAUCAUUACCAUUUAAACUUAUUGAAAUGAGCAAAUAUUGGUUAAUUAUAGAUGAAUACGAGAUUGAUUUACAUGUUCAUAUAAUGUUUAUCCAUUGCUUGAAGUUAUCUUCUUUACAUUGUAUCAAAUCCUCUUGAAACUAUGCUGCCAACAAAUGGCUAUUACACAUGCCAAAUUCAAAUCUCUGUUUUGAUAAUGGUCCAAACCCCAAAUUGGGCAUAAUUACCUUCAGCUCCAUUACUUUUGCGGUUAGAUUAGGUUUAUUAAUGUUAUAUAUUUUUAGCUUUCGGAGUAUUUUUUUGUUAAUGCAAUCGGUUUAGCAUGUUUACAAAGUACCUGUCUGAUUUGCAGUACCAGUUUAUGGUGGAAUUGGAGGUGUCCUUCUUCCUCCAUCCCCAUUAUACGCAAGUAUAUAUGUUGUACUUGAUAAACAGGCAUAUGCAUGCUUUUUAAUCUGCAUCAUAUAUUUCUGAUGAAAUGUGAAUGAAUUAAAUUCCAAGCACCAUAACCACUACAGCUCUUACAUUUUUUGUAUGUUUCUCACACACACACACACGCACAUAUAUAUAUAUAUUUUUUUUUUUUUACAUUUUCAGGUGUGUAUUUGAGGCACAUGCACUCCGAAAUAAAUAAAGAUUGCCCAGCUCAAACCUUUUUCUUUCAAUCUUAUUUUAGAAUGUAGAAUAUACUUUCCCCCUAGAAUGUACACCCUUAACACCCUCUGUGUGUCCAACUCAUCUUGUUUCAAAUGCUUGUCUGUUAGUUCACCUAUUACAGCACUGUGGAAUUUGUUGGCGCUUUACAAACGUGCCAAACAAAAUAAUGACUUUUCUGGCCCUACAAUGCCUUUAUCAAGAGUUUGAUAAAAACUUUGUUGUGCUGAAACGUCACCAUCUUGUUUGGCACCCUAAAAUAAAUUAUCAGAAGACAAAGGUUUCCGCUGGACAAUGCACCUUCAAAAGGACAAAGUCUCUCUACUUGUGUUAUAUUUCAGGCACAUGUAGUGUAGUAGCUGUUGUUUUAAAUUUAGUUUUCAUUUUGUUCAUUGGUUUAUUUAUUUGAAUAGAAUCUGAUUACAUACUUUCCUGUUUUUUUAACUUGCUGCUCUGUUAGUUAUCUAAAUAAUGUACCCCCUAAAGAUGACAAGUCUAUCUGAUUUUAUUAUAUUGGCAUUCAUAGUUGAAUAUUUCUUCUGCCAUAUAUACUGUAUUAAAAAGAAAAUAUUACUUCACAGGUACUUAAAUAUAAAAAAAAAAAUAAAUUCAGAAUCUGCAGAUCAUAUGUUUUUAUUUCACUUGUAAUAAGACAAAAAUAGUAAAGGCGCAUUAAGAAUAGAGUGCACUUGUAAACCAUAUGUUCGAAUGACAAUUUCUACAUUAAUUUCAGUGAGUUUCAGAUAUUAUAGGUGGAUAUGUGUGAAGGAAACCACAAUAGGGCAUUUUAUGAAUUUUUAUAUUUUGUAUGACUCUGAUUACAUUCUCUAUCAAUGAAGUUGGAAACCAUUGUAAUUACCUGAAGAUGUGUUGGCACCGACACAAAUUAAAAAAUGCUGCAAAAAACAUGCUUGAUAAUGUUUAAUGAAGCUAAAACUUUUAUGUAUAAUCCAUCACCUAAUUGAGGAAUCGUUUUGCAUUAAAGUGGCAAUGUCACUUCUGAGCUUUUCAUAACAUAAUUAUACUCAUCAUAAAAACUUAUGUGAUCUCCUUUGUGUCAUGUAAGUGCCGAUUUGUGACAAAGAACAGAGCCACAUCCUGCCAUUUUUCAUCAGCUAUUCCAUGCAACUGCUGAUUGGAGCAGACAUCUUCCUGCCUGUUGUGUAAUAGAUCCCUAUGUGCAAGAUGAUCUAUGGGGUAUACCUUUAUCUUGCAGGAGUUAAAAUCAACCCCAUUUGGUACUCACACAAGUGAGAGAAAGGAUUAAUAGUGAUCUAACUGUGCAAAAGGGGCUAAUGGGUGUUGGGCCAAAAAGGUGCUACUGGUUCCUGCUUACUCCAUACAAUUAUUCAUUUGUUUAGUUCUACAUUGUAACUUAAUAAUGUAUUCAUUCUUUGUUUUUUGCUUGUUAUGUAUGGAGAGACACCUUUAAAGAAAUGCUACAUCUUCUUGUGGUUCUCAGGGUUUUUGAGGGUUGUGCAAAAAAAGCUUUAUAUUUCAAAGCGUGAUCUUUGUGGGCAUGUUUUUGUUAUGUGUGAUUGUGUGUAUGGUUUAUUUUUGUUGAUUCCAAUGGUUUCCGUGAUGAUUGUCCCGAUUUUAGAACUUUGCCCCACUCCUCUGUUAGCAAAUCUUCGAUAUUUGUAACUUUAUGCCGCAUUGGAUAGAUAAUGCCAGUACAGAAUGCUGGUAACUAUUUUUAUACAUGCCACAAAAUUCUUAAACUACAAUUAUAUCACUUUUCUGUAUUGGUGCAGCUGGCUCACUCGUAGUUUUAUCUGGCAGUAAUCAUGUUAUACAUAAGCACAGACACUAAUUGUGUCACAAUUGCUACUUUUCUCAUGGAAACCCUUUUAUACAUUGCCCCAAAUGUCUCAACAGGGAGUUUUCUGCAAUGGAGAGCUGUGAGUUGAUUUGACUGCAUGCACUCCCAUUGAACUCUGCACCUGCUUGGAAACCUGCAAGGCUUCUAUAAAUCCUGCAUUGUUAAAGUUCCUUAGUCCUUGGAACAAUCUGUUUGUUCUAUGCAAAAUAUUUAAUGAGUACAACAUGGAUAUAACAUUUCUCAAGUCUAUGGUUUUUUUCUUGAGUGGCUAUCUAAAACUCCUUCAUUGGCUAAGCAUGAUGAGAUCUGCAGUCCACAGUAACAUGACAAAGGUUGCAGUUGACUGGGUAAGACCAUUGUAUUAAUGUGUUUUCUUUCUGGUUCUCCAAGGCACAUUGGCCUCGAUUUAAUAAGCUUUUCAACUGAUUCAAUACUGAGAAAAACUUUCCAAAUGAUUUAUCUACAAAAGUCACCAUUACGGUCUAUGGGAAUUGUUCUAGAUAAAUCAUUUAGAAAAUGUGUCGAACAGUAUUGAAUUAUUUGGCAAGCCUAUUAAAUCAAGAACAUUGUCUUCAACAAAACGGAAAUUCGGCAUUGCUGAUGCUUAAUUUGACAUUAUGUUGUAAGUUCUUGCUUUUUAAGUUUUUAUAUGUGCAAUUUUUUUAUCUGCCCUUAUAGACAAAGAUGAACAGACAGUCAAAUACUCUUUCUUUACAAAAGAGAUUGACAGUGGGAUACUGUAGAAAUCCCUUAUAUUGUGUAUUUGAGGUUAAAUAAUUUGACAUGUAUUAAACUGUUCACUCUAGCUGCAGUCUCAGUCAAUUGCCAUAAAAUCAUAUUGAAUUUGGUCUUUUCCAUUGGAGUUAUUUCCUAUAUGUACUGGAAAACCUCUGAAAGCGUACAGUAAUGUUAAAGAUACUCUUUAAAGUAUCCUCAAACUUCUCCCAUUGUUUCCACUUCUCUUCCUCUUUCAGAAUCUGUUCUUCCUUUUUGAUCUAUUUCUCUUAAAACAUAAGAAAAAGUAUGGACUACUUUGUCUUAUAUACUUUUCCUGCCUAAUGUCAAUUCUGUGCAUAAAAUUUGUCUGUCGACAGCGCUCGCUGCACACUGCCGAAAGAUGUAAAAGCGUCUUCCUUGCAGAAAGAGCCUGCUAGGGAGAAGCUCUUGUCUCCCCUUUCUCCCUCCCUCCUCCAAAUCCCAUCGACAAUUUUAUUUUAUUCUUCGUCCUCCUUAUCUACUACCCUCUCUCCCUCCCUUCAGUGGCUAAGAGCACGUGUAUGCUCCCUGAGAGUGUAAAAUAGUCAAAUCAAAUGUUUCUCCAUUAGAAGCCUUUGAUUGGACAUCAACACAGCUCCCGUGAUGUCAGACGGGGGUGCACCGAGCAGCACUGGGGAGCUUCACCAAGCGCUGGAUUAAGGUAAGCAAAGUUACCUCUUUGAGUCUUUUUCUAGGGGGAACUGAUAGAAUAAUACCAAUAUGUCAUUAUUCUAUCAUAAAUGAAAAAGGGUUGGAGAAACUCCAAAACACUGUAAUAAGCGAAGCUAAAAAAAGCUAUCUAUCUAUCUCACAACAUUUCAUAUGGCAGAGAACAAACACAUUUAUUCAGGGGUCGAGUCCUGGGAAAUCCCCCCCCCCCAAAUAAAAUUAUUAUAUGCUCGUAUGCAUAUAUAUAGCUGGGUGAAGGGUUGACAGUGUGUGGGGGUUGAAAGUGAUUGGAGAUGGUGAUAUUGUGUGGAGGGGUUGUGGGGGUGACAGUGUGUGUGUGAGGGGGAGGGUGACAGAGUGCAUGUAUGGGGGGAGUGACUGGGUGUGUGUGUGGAGAGGUGACAGAGUGUGUGAGGGGCGGUGACAGGGUUGUGGGGGGGCUGUGACGGUGUGUGGGGAGACAGGCUGGGGAAGGCUAUGAUAGGGUAGGGGGCCUGUGAGAGGUUGGGGGCUGUGAGAAGGUAGGGGGGCUGUGAGAAUGUAGAGGGGCUGUGAAAAGGUAGAUGGGCUGUGAGAAGGUAGGGGCUGUGAGAAGGUAGGGGCUGUGAGAGGGUUGGGGCAGUGAGGUGGGUACGGGGUCUCUAAGUGAGUAGUGGGUCUGUAUAUGGGUAGGGGGCUGCAUGGUGGGUAGGGGGGGCUGUGAGUGGAUAGGGGGACUGUGAGUGGGUAGGGGGGCUGUGAGUAGUUAGGGGCUCUGUAAGGUGGGUAGGGGUUCUGCAGGGUGAGUAGAGGGGCUGUAAGGUGGAUAGAGGGGCUGUGAGUGGGUAGGGGAACUGUGAGUGGGUAAGGGGGUUGUAAGGUGGGUAGGGGGGAUGUGAGUGGGUAGGGGGACUGUGAGUAGGUAGGGGUUCUGUACGGUGGGUAGGGGGGCUGUGAGUGAGUAGGGGGACUGUGAGUGGGUUGGGGUUCUGUAAGGUGGGUAUGGGGACUGUGAGUGGGUAGGGGGGCUCACUGACUCACUGACAGACACACACACACACACACUCACAGACACACACUGACAGCCAGCCACACACACACACACACACACACACACAUUAUUUUUCUAAAUUUAAUUUAAAUCCACCCAGCCUCCCUACCUUUGGGAGAGCUGGGUGGAUUUUUUAACUGGAGUCCGGCAUUUAUUGUAGCUACACAUUACUCUAUAUAGCUCCUAGAAAAGAUAGAAAAGAAGGAUAGAGAGAUUUGUGCCCAAAAUAGGGAUUGUCAUUCCUAAAUAGAGAUACUUGGGAGCAGGAAGGCAGGCGGGCGAUCAGCUGAGUUCCAGGUGGGAGUGAUGCCAGUGCUCCCUCGCCACCCGCCUGGAGUUCAACCGGCCGCCUCCCGCAAAGCUAACAAGGCAAAUGCCUUGUUUGCAUCGCGUGCAAACAAGUCCGUGAAGACUACUAACGAGAACGAUGCUCCUGCUGUGGAAAAAGUGCAGGAACACCUUUCCUACGCGUUCCUGUAGGACUCGAGUCCUGCAUUUAUUGUAGCUACACAUUACUGUAAAUACUGUGUGUGUGUAUGUAUGGUAUACAUAGGCGUGCGCAGCCUAUUGCAUUAGGGUGUGCACCCUAAAGCACAAACAUACGCCGCGUGUGUGUGUGUAUAUAUAUAUAUAUAUAUAUACACAUAUAUAUAUAUAUAUAUAUAUAUACAUAUAUAUAUUCACAGACACACACACUCACAGACACACUCACACACACUGACACACACAUACUCACACACUUACAGACACACACUGACACACACACACUCACUGACACAUACUCACACACUCACUGACACACACACUCACAGACACAUACUCACACACUCACACUGACACACACUCACAGACACAUACUCACACAUUCACACUGACACACACUCACAGACACACACUCACAUACUCACACAUUUACACACAAUCACAGACACACACUCACACACUCACAGACACACACUGACACACACACACUCACAGACACAUACUCACAUACUCACACACUCACUGACACACACAGACACACACACACACUCACAGACACACACACACACACUGACACAUACUCACUGACACACACUCACACAUACUCACACACACACUGACACACACACACACAAAUUAUUAUAUUUAAAAAAAAAAUUUUAAGUGUCCACCCAGCCUCCUACCUGGAGUGCUGGUGGACUUGUUCCUGGGGUCCAGUGGGGGCAGGCGCCUUUCUCCAGCUCAGCCGCGGCGAGGGAACUCUCUGCUCUCUGCUUCCUCUCCCCGCGCGGGCUGUCUGCUCGAGCUGGAAUAUGACGUCAUAUUCCGGCUCCCGGCAUCAGCGCGCGGCGAGAGGAAGCAGAGAGCUCCCUCGCCGCGGCUGAGCUGCAGGGUGGGGGGGAAUCAUCACCUCUUGCCCUCCCAUGACAGGGGCAAGAGGUGAAACAGGGGGCACUGAGUGCCUGCAGGAACAGCGUUCCUGCUCAAAAAAAGUGCAGGAACGCUGUUCCUGCAGGACUCAAACCAUAGGCGUGCGCACGGGGAUUAGGGUGUGCCCAGGCACACCCGGCACACCCCGUGCGCACGCCUAUGAUGGUAUAGCAUUCGCAUAUGUGCAACCUUCUUUAUUGGUGUAGCAAGGCUGUUACUAAAUCCAUUCUUUUUUUUGUAAUAUUAAAAGAUGUGAACAUAGUUCCUUGCGGAGAGGCCAUCUGUUCUCACAGUUUGUGUAAAUAAUCAUGAUAACUAGUUAAAACUGUUGGUACAAUCAAUUUUUUUUCAAUGAAAGGAAAUGUGCUAAGCUGACAAAAAGCGAAAAAGUAAAAGCAAGCCUGCAUUUAUUAUGGGCUUUUGUGUAUUGCAUAUACAGUAUAAUAGAGUUGUAGUAAUGGAAAAAAACUGUUAUAUUUUAUUGACUGAACUAAACUAAAAUAUUAUUUACAUUCAUUCUUCUAAAAGCAUAAUCCCACUGGAGGAAUAUAAUUUUUAUUUAAUCAAAAUGCAGUUUAACUGCAGUAUCGUGACACAUUUUCAGUGUGGAGGCAGCCAUUUUGGAAUCGCACUAACUUUUGAUGCUCAGUGAGAGUUUGUUGAUCAAAUAAAACAAGCUUGCCGAGUGCAUUUAAUGUCAGCAGUCAGUCAGAAUUUUCCUAGUGGCUGCACAAAAAAGGUAAGGGUUCUGAUGAUGCUGUGUGCCCAAAGAAAACACUGAAUAACCCUGGUUAAUUAGAAAUGUGUUAUUCAUAUAAAAAAGAAUCCUGCAAAACAAACCCCUUUGUGGUGACUGCUGUACUCUGUUACAAAAAACUCUGUUUUUAAAAAUCCAGUCAUAUUGAUAGUACAGUAAUACUUGCUAUUACUGGAAGCUUCAUUCAAGAGGCUAUCCAGCAAUAAUCUGAAAAUGCUUCCACCUGGGAUAAGACUUAUGUGACAGCGAGAUAACAAAUACCCUAUGCCAUGAUUGACAACCUAUGAUUGGCUGCAGCAGUGCAUGCUGAGAUCAGCUGUCAAUGGGCAUCACUGGUGAGGCGGUCCAGCAGCAGGGACUUGAUUGACCUCAGGCUGUCUGAUCACCCUGGGAGCCAAUCAUAGUGAUGACAUGCCUAAGUUGACAGGUAACACAAUAUGAUCUCUGUGAUUGGCCCUUUACAGCCAUCAGUCAACAUGGGGACCAAUGUACUAAACAGUUGCUAGGGUUAUUUAAGGGUUAAACAGGGUUAGUUAAGAAUAGGAAUAGCUAAGGUUAUGAUUUGCUGUGGUUAGCAUUAGGGCUAGAUAGGGUAAAUAUUUUACAAAGCUCAAAAUAGCAACAAAGUUUGGCCCUGUUCACUAUGGUGACACAGGUAUUGCCACUUUACCAAAUAGCAACUCUAGUAAUGAGAUUUUAACAUGAAUACGUUGUGUCUUUUAUUUGAUCUUGCAAGCUCCCCAAAGACGUGACAAAGGUAUGUAUACAUGUGGGUUAUUGCUAUACUUGGAAGAUACAGUUGAGUAGUAAACCUGGGGUCUUUGAAGUACUAUGGUGCACAAGGCUUCUGAAAUCCACAAUUAAAGUUUAAUAUUUAUGCAAAAUAUAGAAAAGAUAAUUUAUCGCUAGAUUCAUCAGGAAUUGGUGAUGAAAUGAGAAAGUGAAGAGACUAAAAAAAACCCACAUUAAAAAUCACAAGUUGUGUUCUAUUACAAAUGGUAUGCUAUGAUGGGAGUAAAAUGCAGUUGGGGGCUUCUACUUUGCCCAUAAAUUAGAAAUCUGAAAACUGAAAAAUGUCUGUAAUUUUAACCUAUAACAUCUCAAAAAUCUAGCAAAGGUUUCCUUGGGGGGAAAUUGUGCACACGGGGGCUGCAGCAAAAUAAAUCUGCAGUCUUUGCUGCAAAUGGCCUGUGAAAUUUCACACGAAAAUUAAAUGUUUGAGAAAAAAAACACAAAAAUAUAAGCAGUAGAUUUGGCAGAGUUUAACCCCAAAGGUGUUCCAGGGCCAGGCACUUCCUGCCACCAUAACAAGUUAAUGUCUAAGAAGUUGUUAUGGUGCCCAAACUGGUCCUUUAAUGCAUUGUGUUUUCUCUGAACAUUUUUUCCCCCCUUUUUUUUUUUUAUUGAUAAUUUUACUUAAGAUAUGUAUUCAUUUUAAUUCACUUAUAAUUAUUUAACAUUUUUGAAGCAUGACUGUCAGUAUGGAUAAUGAGAAAUUCACCUGCCAAUCAGUAAAUUGAGACAGUGAAAUAUACUAUUUUGGGAUCUCAGACUAUCUGGCCUGGUACAUAGUUCAGUAUAGAUUAUGCAUUUUAUAUAUGAUAACUGGACAUUCUGUUAAAGGGGGCAUUUGGAUCAGGCUUUUUUAUGUUUUGAAAAUGUCUGCAUUUUAAUAAUUUCAGUAAACUAAGAUCCUUGAUUGCAAGCAAAUGCUAUCAAUACAAAAACUCCACCUCAGGUCGAAUUAGGGUUUCUGAUAUUCUGCACUAAACUAUCUAUUUUUAAACAUCUCAUACAUUGAAAUGAUCCACCCCUUUUCCCUCCUGCUGUACACUUUCACACCUCUUGGUCUAAUUAGGCAUUUCCCAGUACAUUAUUUCUUCAGCAAAACAAGCAGUGUUUUCAAUGCAUUCAGAGUGUGAUCAGAUUAAAAAUAACUAAUGUCUUUGCAUGUAGUAUAUUAUUCUAGAUCCAGAGAACUGCACGUAAAUGGAUAUCAGACUACAAUACCAUCCUUUUAGUUAAUCAAAGUUAUGGAAAAUAUUUCAAUAUUUUAUAUAUAAAUAUAUAUAAAGUGCUACUGGAAAAAUGCAAGCAAUUGCUUCUCUGAAAGACUAUUCCAUUAAAUUUAAACUUAUGACACUAGACCAGGGGUAGGCAACCUUUUAGAUUUAGAAUUGUGAUGUCUCGUAGCGUGCCGGUCCUAUUUUUUUUAAAUUGAGGUGUGUUUGCUGCCAUAUUCUGCUUGUGUUAUUUAUACUGUAAUUGCUUUGUAUCGUUGUAUUUGUGCGUAUAUGAGCUAUUAUAUUGUAAAUGUUCAGGAGUAGUUUGUGGUAUCGUGUAUGAUACAUAUGAAUGGGGGCUGUGUAUGGGGGCUGCUUGUGGAAUUGUGUGUGGGUGGAUAUGUCACAUUGUGUGUUUGGUAGUGUGUGUAUGUGUGGGGGCUGUUUGGGGUAUUGCAUGUGAGAGGCUGCAUGUGGGGUUGUGUGCAUGUAUGUGGAUUGUUAGCGGGUUACGUUUGUGGGAAUUGUGUAUAUGUUUGUUUGUGGGCUGUUCGUAUUAUUUGUAUGAGGGGAGGCUUAUUCUGCAGGUCUGUGUAUAUCUAGCACUGGAUUCCCUGGGUUCCAGUGGGGACCAGACUGGCCAGGUACAGGUCAAGGACAGGAGCUGCAACAGCAGCUGCAGGCUGCUCUACUAUAGUGUGGAUUCCCAUUCACAAGUGCUGGGAGGAAGUGAUCUGAGAUCACUUACUGUAUGUGCUGCAAUGCAUAAAUUGAGGAUUGUCCUUCACCACCUUUUCGUAUUAGCAGAUAUCUGAAGAUUCACUGGGACUUCUGAUAGACCAGAGCCUGUUUGGCUGUAGCAGCCUUGAGUGCCGUGCAAAGACACUUUGAGUGCAGUGUAUGGCACUAGUGCCGUAGGUUGCCUACCCCUGCACUAGACUAAUUAUUUCACACGUUUGGGUCCAAUGACAUGUCAAGACUAAAUUAACCCUUGUCUUGAAUUCAAAUAACUAGAAAUUCUUAUAAAAUACGUGUUAUACUAGUUAACAGUGACAUGUUUUUAAUGCAGUCCCACAGCCGAGCAGUUUAAUUGCAUAAUGUUCCUGAUUUAAAGGAACACUAUAGGCACCAAAAUAACUUUAGCUUAAUGAAGCAGUUUUAGUGUAUAGAUCAUGCCCCUGCUCAAUUCUCUGCCAUUCAGGAGUUAAUUCACUUGUUUAUAAAGCCAUAGUCAUACCUCCUUGCAUGUGACUUGCACAGUCUUCCAAAACUCUUCCUGUAAAGAGAGAUCUAAUGUUUACACUUCCUUUAUUGCACAGUCUGUUUAAUUUCGAAUUUAUGAUUUCAUGUUCUAUUAAUAGCUUGCUAGACCCUGCAGGAGCCUCCUGUGUGUAAUUAAAGUUCAACUUAAAGAGCAGGAGAAAUAACUUCUUAAGUGAAGCAAUUUUUUUCAUGCAGACUGUGUGAAAUUCCAAACAUGUCAAACGAUAUACAAAAACAAAGUACUACUGCUGUUUUCCCUCACUCCUUCCCCCUCCCUCCCCUCCUCCCCCCACUUCCCCCGGUACGCUGUCAGACAUUUUGACGUCUUACCUGGGGGAGUUUAGACAGGAGUUAGCUUUCCUGAGCAAAGCAAUGCAAUGCUAGCUCUUUGACUAAGAGCAUCAGCUGAUCACUUUCAGCCAAUGAACUAAGCCCUGUACUACAGGAUUAAGCCCAGGUAAAGAGAGAGCUCUCCUUAGGAAGUAGUAGAGAUGGGGAGCAGUGUCAAUCAGACCCCAGGUAAGAAGUCAAACUGUUCUAAAACAAUAAAUACAAGUGGGGUGCCCGGACACUGGUGACAAGAUAACCACUACAAUGCACCAUUGGCUUUGUCUUCUCAUUGCCUAAAGCAGGUCUGAUUAGGACCUCUUAAAGUGAUUGUCAUUUCUCAUGGUUUGUCUAUCUAAAGGUUUAUUGAUUUAAAGGUGUGAUGUGUCAUUGGUUUAGAGGCUGAGUACACGGUGCAGAGACAGGUUCCCCAGCAUCAGUAAACAUCAUCCUCUGCCACUGUAUAAAUAUAUAUAUAUAUUACAGUUAUGCGUUAGAAUUAAAAAUGCGUGGGUGCUAAAAGCAUUUAAAAUAAACAGCGCCCCAUCCUCUGGAACAUACUUUGCGUGGGCUGGCGGGGGGGAUUUGAGGGGGGACAGAGGGGGAGGAGUUAACUAUUUAGUUGUGGGAGGUGACUUCUGAUUUGCAAAAUUUAGGGCGAAAUAGAAAACUUGCUAUUAUCUUCUGCUAGAAUUUUCUUUGCACUUAAUUUCAGAAUUAUUAUUCUCGAUUGUAGUUUAGGUUACUUUUUGGCAGUUUUUCUUUCAAAUGAUUAUUAAGCCUUCAGCUACUUUGUUCCAGAGCAUGAAAAAUAAAGCACUAAAACAACAAGAAAGAAUACUUAAUGCAGCAAAGAAACAUUUAUAAAGAUCACAGCUGUUUGUGGACUCUAAAUCCCAUUUUCCUUAGCCAGCAAAGAAACAUUUAUAAAGAUCACAGCUGUUUGUGGACCAUAAAUCCCAUUUUCCUUAGCCAGCAAAGAAACCUUUAUAAAGAUCACAGCUGUUUGUGGACUAUAAAUCCCAUUUUCCUUAGCCAGCAAAGAAACAUUUAUAAAGAUCACAGCUGUUUGUGGACUAUAAAUCCCAUUUUCCUUAGCGAGCCGUAUAUUGUAUGCUAAGUGGUUUGAUAGUAUCAUUUAUUUUGUAUUCCAGAUUUGGAGAUCAGCAAUUUUUGAUUUAUUAAGGUGUUCACAGGUGCACCCGAGCCUCAAAUGAGUGGGUAGACCAAGAUCUCUCUAAAUUGUUCUUGUUAGGGACAGAUGGCUGCUUAAAACAGGUGUCACUUUCAUUUCUAAUGCAUUGUGCUGGGACUUCCAGAGGCGCACAAAGGGGUUGUCCAAAGCAGGUGGCAUGCUUUGCUCUUGUCAUUAUCAAGAUCUCCCCACACAGCUAAUUAUUUUCCCAGGGAGUUGGAACACGUUUACGAAGAAGAAUAAAAAAAAAAGUGCAGUGUUCUUAUCAUCACAUUGUUAUUCAUAUGAAGUUUCCCUUUCAAUUGAUUAUCACCUAUCUUAUCAGGAAACACAUACAAUACUGCUUAUCUGCUAUAUUAGGAAAAUAAUAUACAACAGCAUGUGUAUGUAAAACGAUUGGAUACAACAAGCUGUUUGUACAAAUGUGUGUUUGCUUAUAUGUGUGUGUAUGUAUAUAUGUAUGUAUAUAUAUAUAUAUAUAUGAGUGUGUGUGUGUGUAUAUAUAUUGAGGGAGAUGAGAGAGAGAAAAAUAGAUGUAUUUUUGUGUGGUCCCUCUCAGUAAUCUAAUCUUACUGCUUCCUUCUUUUCUGUCCUAGUGCAUCCCUUUUCUAAGAACACAGUAAAUUGUGUGAGUGAGUGUGUGUAUUACAUAUACCUCUUCCGUGACUCUUAGAUAAGGCUUCAUUUUUCUGUACAUUAUCACCAUUCUUUGUUAGAAUUGCUUAGUGUUUCUCACACAACCUUUGGUAAAUCCAUACAUCUUCAGUGGCAUUAUGCGGUUUGCUCACAUUUGUAGGUCUAGUUAGCAUAUGGUUUCUGAUUAAUCCAUUGUCAAUAAAGGAUAGGUCUUAUUGUGUAAUCUGGUCCCUAUACAAAGAAAUACAGAUAAGGAUCAUUACUGUCAAAAGGCUCACCCUAUAUAUUUAUUAAUUAAAAUUAUAAUUAUGAUUGUAUUUGUUUAUGAUUUUUAUCCAUUCCAUUGAGGAUACUAUAUGAUAUUUAUAAAUGAAACACUCUUCCUCUGUCCAGCACAGACCUCAUGCUGACUGCAUGGGGGCAUGUUCAGUUGUAAUAAGCACUGUGAACAGUUUCAUUUAGUGAGUUUGUGGCAUUGUAUAAAGUGUUGGGUGAAUGCUAUGCCAGUAUUUCUAUGCAAAACUCUGGUGCUGAGUGAAAUAACGGAUUAUUAAAUGAGGAUAACCUCGAUUUAAUAUUUGAAUUAAACUUUUCAAAUGGUUUCUUAUUUUUUGGAUAAACAUUUAAAUAACUUUUUUGAAAAUAUUAAAAUAUCAAAAAUAUAUCAUGUAUAACAAAAAUAUCAAUAUGUAUAUAUCAUAAAUAUAAAAAUAUUAUAUAAUUUUAAAUGCUUCUCCAACCAUAUUAAAUCAGUGACAAUUUGUUUCGCUCACCUUUAACGUUUUGUCAUCAUAUGUUCAUUAAAUAUUAGUUGCCUAUAUUAACCAAACUUUUUAUAAAAAUAAAGUAAACCGAACAUUCGCAGAACCUGUGGGUUUUAAGUUUACUUUCCGUUAGAUAUAUUAUACCCAAUGUUAUGAAAGGACCAGCAAAUGUAUUCAUAAAAUCUAGCUUUCACAAUAAAAAUACGACAUUCUAUUCCUCACAAAGUAUCCUCCCCUCAUGUUUGUCAUGACACCUUCAUUUAAUGCAGUUAUGUGCUUUACAACAUUACACACUUGUCAUCUGCAGCAGUACCUGCUACUUUUUACUUAUCGUACAUUUAAAGGGAACAGGCCAGCUGGCUAUGCCUAACUCUCUCUUUAUUUAUGUACAAUAUUUUUCAUUGCUAUAAUUUAUAAAGUAUUAUACAAUCAUUCUCUUCUUUGCUGAAGUUCUUUUAUGUCGCACACAGAAUUGUUAAAAAAAAAUAGCUCUGCAAACAAAAUAUAUAUUUAUAUUAAUCAAAACGUUUGACAGUCAUGUGCACUUUUUUUUAUUUUUUGCUCUGUAUCCAACUAUGUAACAGGUUGACUUUAAUAUUAAUAUGAAUGUUGAUGGUUUAAUUAUAGUGUGUUCCUUCUUCAGAGUAUUUGGUUCCCAAGAUGUGUGUUUUUUUUGUUUGUUUUUUAAAACUUUUUUCUCCUUCAAGAUGCAUACAUUUGCAAAAUCAUUGUAUUGUAUACAUAUAUAUGAUAUUUACGUAUAGUCUUUUCUCUCUAACCAGCCUUGAACCUCCAUUUACUCUUCCUUAGAAUGACAGAAGCUAUUCCCUGGUUUUAUUGUUAGUCAGGAAGAACUUUUUGCAUAGCAAAUAUCUAUUCAAAAUCACUUGAUAUCACACUUGUAGUAACGUACUAGUCCCAUGAUGAUGAAAACAAAUAUUACUGAAUUGAGUUGCGCUUUACUUCAGCUCCUUUGUGCAUGAUUUUGGUAUAUGUAUGACAGAAUUUCUCUGAGCAGGUUUAUCAGCAGGAUAAUAGUAUUCCGACAGACAUGUUCAUUUAUUCAUUACACAAACACAUUUAUUAAAUUGACAGGGAAAUGUUAUGUUUCACAGACAGACUGGCCCCAACACAAGCAGUUUAAACCCAUUAUACAAAAUCAGGAAGUACUGCAAUCAGCUCACUCCCAUUACACACAAACAGUCCAUAUGAGAAACAGCUCGCUCCCAGUACAUACAAACAGACUAUAUCAUGAACAGCUCAUUUUUAUUAUGCAGGAUAAUCUAUACUUACCCAAGUCUGUCUCUUGCUCUCCUAAAGAGCCAUACUCCAAUCUCACCUCCAGCUCUGCCACUUUUCCAUCUUGUUUGGUGGCUGUCACCCUUGCUGCCCUGUAGUGUAUUUGUACCCCACCUCAUCUAGACUGUAAGCUCGUUUGAGGAGGGUCCUCAUCUACCUAUUUCUUUUUAAUUGUCUCAUGUAUUGUAAAUUCGCACCCCACCCCCCCUUCAUGAUAUUGUAAAGCGCUGUGGAAUUAGUUGCGCUAUAUAAAUACCAAUAAUAAUAAUAACAAUAACACAGCGCUCACUCCCAUUAUACACAUACAGGUCAUACCACACACAGCUCAUUGACAUAUGACCAUGACGCAAACCUCACUCCCAUUACAUACACACUGAUCACAUGUAAGGUCAAAGUAACCACACUGGAAGCAUAGGUUACAUGGGAGAAUUCUUAUAGUUCAACUAGUUUGGCCUUAAAUUUAAAAAUUAACUUUCAAUUCCUGUCAAUUCUUGGAUUAGUAAAUAACCAUGACCUAUAUGUUAUAUCACACACAAUUCACUUCCAUUACACAUUAGCAGGUCACAUCACACACAUCUCGCUUUCAUUAUGCACAAAGAACUAUGUCUCUAUGUAUAUUGUUUGUAGUAAUUGCAAAGUUUGCAUUGAAGGGUUAAAUACACCUCUAGUGGCUGUCUUCUUGACACUAGAGGUGCUUACUCCUCUAGAACCAAGUAAAACCCGGUCCUGUAACACCAUGCUGCUCAUUUAUUUAGAGAAACACUGUGUUUGGCAGUGCAUGUGUAUCUUUAAAGAGACACUCUGGACCACUAACGCACUUAAGCUUGCUGAAGUGCUUUAUAUAUGAAGAGUGCAUCCUAUUUUUUUUCAUUUUACAAAAAGUACAGAUUUCAAUAGAAAUUGACACUUUUAUAAAUGAAUAUGGUUACACCAAUCGGGCUUGCAAGGACAACCAGUCCUGUUACUUCCUGGGGGGUUUUCAGUGAGGGUAUGUCUACUAAACAUUAUUUUAAAUUUUUAUUUUGGCAGUGUAGUGUCCCUUUAAACGUAUACUGUAUUGUCAGGAAUACAGUCAUGUAUUCCUGACACUAUAGUUGUAAAAACACUGUUUAGGCCCCCCAACACGCUUUGCCUCCUUUUAACCCCUUAAGGACGGAGCCAAAUGUACACGUUGUGAACGAAACAAAAUGUAAACAAAACCUGGCAUUUGCGCUACAUGUCUGUCCAGCCGUAAUUCACCUCUUUCAUAUUAAAUGCACCCACCCUUAUUAUAUAUCAUUUUAUUCAGGAGAAACAGGGCUUUCAUUUAAUAUCAAAAAUUUAGCUAUGAAACAUAAUUUAAUAUGAAAAAAAUUGAAGAAAAUAAGAUUUUUUAAAAAUUUUUUUAGUUCUACAUGACAUUUUAACUGUCAAUGUCAUAAUACUGUGUGCUUUUACUGCAAUAAAAUACACAUAUUUGUAUUCAGCGAUGUCUCACGUGUAAAACAGUACCCCCUAUGUACAGGUUUUAUAGCAUUUUGGGACGUUACAGGGUCAAAUAUAGCACGUUACAUUUGAAAUUGAAAUUCGCCAGAUUGGUUACGUUGCCUUUGGGACUUUAUAGUAGCCCAGGAAUGAAAUUUACAACCAUAAUGGCAUACCAUUUGCAAUAGUAGACAACCCAAGGUAUUGCAAAUGGGGUAUGUCCAGUCUUUUUAGUAGCCAUUUGGUCACAAACACUGGCCAAAGUUAGUGUUAGUAUUUGUUUGUGUGUGAAAAAUACAAAAAAUGCCAAUUUUGGCCAGUGUUUUUCACUAAGUGGCUACUAAAAAAGACUGGACAUACCCUGUUUGCAAUACCUUGGGUUGUCUACUAUUGCAAAUGGUAUGCCAUCAUAGGGGUAAUUUUCAUUCUUGGGCUACCAUAGGGUCUCAAAGGCAACGUAACCAAUCUGGCGAAUUUUAAUGUGAAAAAAUGAAGCACAAGCCUUAUAUUUGACGCUGUAACUUUUGAAAACACCAUAAAACCUGUACAUGAGGGGUACUGUUGUACUCGGGAGACAUCGUUGAACACAAAUAUUUGUGUUUCAAAACAGUAAAAAGUAUCGCAGCAAUAAUAUCGUCCGUGUUAGUGCUGUUUGUGCGUGAAAAAUGCAAAAAACUUCACUUUUACUGGCGAUAUCAUCGUUGUAAUACAUUUUACUGUUUUAAAACACUAAUAUUUGUGUUCAGCGAAGUCCCCCGAGUAGAACAGUACACCCAUGUACAGGUUUUAUGGUGUCUUGGAAAGUUAUAGGGUUAAAUAUAGUGCUAGCAAAUUAAAUUCCCUUUACUUUCGGCAUGGGUUGUCAGGCAGGUCCCGCUAAUUGUAAUUAAUUAAGAUACCCAAUUAUGUAAAAAUAUUACAUAAAUAUAUAUGUAGAAUUAAUAUAUGUAUAUAUACGUAUGUGAAUAUAUAUGUAUAUAUAUAUAUAUAUAAAUAAUUUUUUAAAAUAUUUUUAUUUAUAUAUAGGUAUAUAUAGUGAUAUAUACGUAUAUAUUUAUGUAUAUAGAUAUAUAUAUUAUUUCGUUCUACGUGUAUUUUGAUAUAUAUAUAUAUAUAUAUAUUAAUUUCACAAUACAGUUAGAAUGAAAUAACACACAUCUAUAUAUUUUUUAAUUAUUUAUUUUUAAUUAUUUUUUAACGUAUUUACAUUUUAAUGUUUUUUAUUAUAUAUAAAUAAUAUAUAUAUAACAAUAAUUAUAUAUAUAUUUAAUCAGUAUCAGUCUACGUGUAAUUUGAUAUUAAUAUAUAUAUAUAUAUAUAUAAUUAUAUAUAUAUUAAUAGUAAAAUACACCUAGACAGUGUAUGUGUUUGUAUGUAUAUGUGUAUAUAUAUAUAUAUAUAUAUAUAUAUAUAUAUAUAUAUAUAUAUAUAUAUAUAUAUAUAUAUAUAUGAUCUAAGUAUAUAUUAUUUUUUUUUUACACUGAUUAACUUUUUUUAAUUUUAUUUUCAGCCAGCAGGGGGACCACCUGUCAUUACAGGCAGCCCCCUUGCUGGCAAUGCUGCAGCCAGCUAUCCCGGCCAUGUGAUUGUGAGGUCCUCGCAAGGACUCCACUCUCACAUGGCCGGGGGGGGGGCUUCAGGAGGAAGAUCUGCCGCGGUUUUAAGGGGUUAAAAAGGUAGCUUACUUACCUGUUUUUCAGCACAGCGCUAUUCUGUCUGAAGCUGACCCCGCCUCUCCCACUUCUGUGGCUGAGAUCAUCAAGUUUUACGAUCUCAGCCUAUCCACGGCUUUCCAUAGGAACGUUUCCAUUUGCCUUUCUUUUUUUUUUGCAAGUGAAAGGUGAUAAAAUAGCCUCAGCACAGGUGUAAAAAUAAAGUUUGACAGUGAAGGAGUUAAAGGCAGAGUCCUAUAAUAUGUAUUAAGCAAUCUCAUGCACUAACGCACUAAUGGGCUAGUUACAUUUUCCAGAUAUUAUGCAAUGCAUGCCGGGGGAUAUAGUUCACACCAGCAAACAUUACAGAAUUAGCUCAUCCUUGUGUAAACUUUGAAAUAAAUAAUACGUAUUAUUAACUGGCACACGUGUUGCUACUAUUUGGCCACUAGCAUAAUGUUAAAUUCCUCUAGCAUUGUUAAUAUUGAUACCUUUGAAUACACAGCUGCAUUGUUUUUGCAUAAAAUAAAAACCUAGAAAAACUGAAUAAGUACAGUAAAAUAACAAGCAAAAAACAAUGUUACCUGAUAACAAUGGUAAUUGGCACUUAGUAUUGGUCCAUAAUCAAUGUGAUAUUGUGUUUUUCACUUUGUACCUCAUCCAUAUUACAUGCUGUGCAAGCUUUACAAACUACUGAGAUUUCAGAAUAAAUGAAUGAUUAACCACGGCCGCCAGGUGUAACUCCUUUCUGGGCAGAGUAAACAACACAACAGAAAUUGGCUGAAGUGAAUUGAACGAUGGGAAUGGGAUGUGAUGUCACCUUAUUUGAAGUUUCCCUUGAUUAGACAUGAUUUGCUAUUCUAUUGCUAAUGGAAUUCAGGAAUUUUGCAAGCAAAUAUCACACUUUGAAGACUGGAGAUUCUUCCAAUAGAACUUGAGGAAUAUAACAGUACCUUGCUGCUCUGUGCAACGUGGAAAACACUCUGCAUGCAGUUUCUACAAUGGAGCUUUACUUUUGCUGAAAGCGUUCUAGGAUGUGCUGCUUGGAAAUCUUCUGGUGUAAUCUUCAUUGAUCUGCUGAGCUACAGUGUCCAUACUGCUGCUUUAAAGGACCACUAUAGUGCCAGGAAAACAUACUCGUUUCCCUGGCACGAUAGUGCCCUGAGGAUGCCCCCACACUUAGGGUCCCCCUCCCGCUGGGCUCUAGGGAGUGGAAGGGGUUAAACUUACCUCUUUCUCCAGCGCCGGGUGGGGGACCCUCCCAGGGCCGCACUGGCCCACCAGGAUACCGGGAAAUUUCCAGGUGGGCCACGGCAUCUGGGGGCUGCGCUGAGCAUGUGUGUGUCACCGGGUGGCCGGUCCGGUGGCACACACUCUGAGGGGGCCGGUGGGCUGGCGGCCGCAUUCCAUGCUGGAGCCGCCGGGCCGGUUGGCAGCCUUGCCGGUCCGGCGGCCCUCCUCCUAUCACUGAUGGCUGAGGAGUGAAGAAGGAGGAGCAUGUCUCUGUACCAUGCUCCCUCGCGGUUCCUGUGCUGGGGAUUGUGGGAACCGGGAGGGAGCAUGGUACAGAGACAUGCUCCUCCCUCCUCAUUCUUCACUCCUCAGCCAUCAGUGACAGGAGGAGGGCCGCCGGACCGGCACGUCUGCUUAAAAUAAAUCUGCACUUUUGUUUAUUUUGAAGCCUAUGAGUGCUUUUUUUUUACGUUGAAGUAAUAAUUUUUAAUUUUAAGUUCUCUUUUCUAACUCUGUAUCUGCACACUAUGCUGGCGUGACGCAUUAUGGGGCUGGUAAAUAUUUUUUUUCCAGGGCUGCUUUUAAUUCCCAGUCCGGACCUGGACUCUCCUCCUCCUCUCCUUCUCUAUAGCGACGUCAUUGGCUGAAUGCGCAUGGGCGGCAGGAGCCGUGCGCGCAUUCAGCCAGUCCAUAGGAAAGCAUUCUCAAUGCUUUCCUAUGGACGCUGGCGUAUUCUCACUGUGAAAAUCACAGUGAGAAGCGCGGAAGCGCCUCUAGCGGCUGUCAAUGAGACUGCCACUAGAGGCUGGAUUAACAUUAUUAUAAACAUAGCAGUUUCUCUAAAACUGCUAUGUUUAUAGAAAAAAGGGUUAAACCUAGCUGGACCUGGCACCCAGACCACUUCAUUAAGCUGAAGUGGUCUGGGUGCCUAUAGUGGUCCUUUAAACUAGGAACAUUUAUAAAGAGGGAAGAAUUAAGAUGCUACUGAACCGUGGGCAGGUUACCAGUUUGGGCCACCUCUUCACUGUUACUAUGAAAAUGAUGAAUGAGGCCAUGGUUUGCCAAGUUUUUUUAUGGCACCAGAGGCGCAUUCUAUUUCAUGGGUCCUAGGUGACCACCUGAUUAAUCUUGUUAUUUUUGAAAAACAUGAUUUCUAAAUGGCAGCAGUGAUAUUAAUGCAGUACUGUAUGUGUUUUCAGCAUCCUUUGAAAAAAAAGAUGACUAUGUACCUAGCGAGGAAGCAAAAUGUUUCAUUGCUUAUUAAAGACUUCAACUACUUACAUUAGACUUUGUUGUAUUACAUGCUUGAUUUCUGGGGCAAUGGAAGUAGGUAGUGAUGUCCCGAACGGUUCGCCGAAUGGUUCGCUGCGGACGGCGAACAUAUGCGGUAAACUUUGACCCUGUACCUCACAGUCAGCAGACACAUUCCAGCCAAUCAGCAGCAGACCCUCCCUCCAAGACCCUCCCACCUCCUGGACAGCAUCCAUUUUACAUUCAUUGUGAAGCUGCAUUCUUAGUGAGCUGUCCAGGAGGUGGGAGGGUCUGGGAGGGAGGGUCUGCUGCUAAAUGGCUGGAAUGUGUCUGCUGACUGUGAGGUACAGGGUCAGAGUUUACCGCAUAUGUUCGCCGUCCGUGGCGAACCGUUCGGGACAUCACUAGAAGAAGGUGCAAGCGAGCCAGUGGGAAGGCAAACUUGGAAACUGCCUAGAUAGCCUGUGAUCCGAAGAGUGCAAUGGCACCAUGAUGCACUAAAGCUUGGAGAGCUCUCUCUAAGCUUCCUCUCAGCUUCGUGUUUCUUGGCUAUCCUUUCGGUUGCCUGUUAUACUGCUCUAUUAAAUCAAUUAGCACACGGAAAUGUAUCUACUCAAAAUAAAACAAAAAUCACCUACUAUGGUGUUCAGCCUUAUUACAAUAUCCUGUACCGACAGCUGUGUAAUGUUGAUAGGUCAUGUUUUAUAAAUACAAAUAAAAAGUACCAUGAUGAUACUUGAAUGGAAAUACCUUGGCUUAAGCUUUAAUCUAGCAUGUAUAGAAUAUUUGCUUGUACAACAAGAAUUCACAUGGACAAAAUAUAUCUUUAAAAAUGCUCCCUUUGUAAAACACACAAUUUAAACCUGUUCACAUUUCUGAAUGCUCAAGUUUGCUUUGAAAAGCUUCAGGAAUGUUAUAAAAUAUUGAUCAAAGGAUGUACACCUCAGGAUCCUUAUAGAUUAAGCAGAUUACUAAUGGAACCAUACAAAUGCUUUUGCUUGAAAGAUGUUGUGUGCUGUUGGUAGUGAAGCGCUUGAGAGAAAGCACAGAACUAUGAAGGUGUCACCUGGAGAAUGCACUCUGGGUAUAAAUGCUUUGGACAACAAUUCCUGCAUAAGUGGCAUUAGUGUUCCAUCUAAAUUAGCUAUAGAAAAACAGGUAGCUCUCUACCAGUUCGUGGAACACAACCCUCAUGUUGCUCAGCCAAAUGCAGGAUUAACAAUUGUUAUUCAGCAAAACGUAUAGACAAGAAGAGUCCUGGCCUGGGCUUCUUGCUGUGAAUGCAAACAAUAAGGCAGCAUGCAGUCAUCCACUAGAGUUAAAACAAGCUUUAUUGUAACAAAAAAUACUUAAAAUAUCACAGCAUGAUGCUGGGACAGGGCAAAGAAAGGACCAACAGGAAGCUUUUGCAUUGUGUACUUUGCGUUCUGCUGAAGGAACUUUCACUGAUUAUUCAAUGCUGCCUUGAUUGUUAGAUGGAUUAUUUUUUUUGAACUCUGUGUUGUAUUUCAGCCUGCAGUCUACCUCCUUUACUUAGAUGUGCCACCCAGCAAUGAUCCCAUAAAAGGAACUCACUGGGGGCAACUUUGAUAGUUAUUAAAUAUCAUUAUACAAUUACUCCCCUGGGUUAAUAUGCUUGCUUAAAUUUAGGCAGCCUAGAUCGACUCUGUUUUUUUCUCACUUAUGAGAUGAAGUGAAAGGCCUGACAAUAAACAUGGACACUGGUUAUACAUAUCUUCAUUGAUGGUGUCCAGAUGGACUAAGAGGUAAACAUGCUUUUAUUUAAUACCUGUUAAACCUUGCAUAGAUUUUACUGUUUUUUCUUUGGGGGAACAAUGCUACCCUAGCCCCAUUGCCAAGUAUUCACCAUUUAAUGGGCAAAUUACUAGUCCACAACCAUAAAUUUAGGUUAAAUUCUUAUCUCUCUUCUGUUGGCUACUAUGCAUUCUGCCUUGUUACUGCAUUCAUUGUAAAUGUUCUUAUAUUGACUAUUCUUUUGAUAUGAUUGCUGUACAUGGCUUUUAAGAAAUCAUGUCAUAUGCAAAACAGCUCAAAUAUUCACAGGCCCAAGUGUGUGCAGUCUGUUUACAAAAACAAAACAACUUUGCAUCAACUUUCUUUUUUACUGUAAUCUGAAAGCAAAUCUGAACAAAUGCACAGUGGACAAGGCUGGUGAAAACAUCUCCCAAACCAGCAGUCAAUUGUAUUUCACAUCAACAUCAGCCGGGUGAUGAUGUUCCUUCAUCAACUUCUGAGUUAGAGUUCAUUGAGUUGGAAGAGGCAUCUUCAGAAUAAGAAGUUAGUGUUGUGGUUAAAGCAGGUUUUCAACUGAAGAAACAGAAAACAGAAUAUCAGCAGUCAGAUUGACAUUAGAAUUUGAAGACUUGAUGGCAGUCUAAACUAUUUUCAGGUUAAUCUAGCAUGGUAGUAAUGUUCCCAGUCAAUGAGGCCUUCACUGAUACAUUAUGAAAGGACUGAGAAUAUAUUAUUUAAGGAUACCUGAUGACACCGGCUUUCAAAACAGGUCAUCCCGCUUUGUCACUUCAAAGAAUAAAAAACCAAAAGAUAGGAACACACCUGCUGUGAAAAAGCCCUAACAUGAGUCACGAAGAGGACAGCUAUUACCCCUUAGAAAAUCAUUUGGUCUUGGGUCCACUGAGCCUGAAAGCAAAAGUGGCUUAAAGUGGACCUAUGAUGAAAAAAAAAAUAACUUACCUUAAAUUGCUGCCAUGCCAUAUACAUUGAAUGCACCAUAUAUCAUGUAGGUACAUGGUAUAUUCAAUGUAAAAUAUAUUGAUUUGCUCAUCUUUCGCUUCGUGGGAGCUACUCUUUGUGUAACACCCAUCUCUGGGACGUCCCACGCGCCGCCUCCUGGCUUUUUUUUAUUUGCCCUGCUUGCGACUUAUCCCCAAGCAGGGCAAAUCUCCUCAGUGAGUUCAACAUGCUGGCUUCAUUGCGGACGGAGUAAUGUCACGUCACUUGUUAAUAUACUCCUUAGCCAGCGCUAUGCAUGGAGAGUGGAGAGACCUAGUGUGGGAGGUCUUUUCUGCUCUCACUUGUCAGUCAGUGCCUUGGCAUGGGAGUUUCCAUAGCAACAAAAGCACAUACACUGUGGUUGCUAUGGGUGUAGAGCAGAGGGACCUCCAGUGGGAGAUCUUUUCUGCUCCACCUUGUCAGUCAAUGUCUUGGUACGCUGAGGCAUUGACUGACAGCUGUGAGAAAAAACUAUUUUUAAAGAUGUUUAUCUCCGAAUCUAUACAUUCACUCUCAAAACUGGUAGCACAAUGUAUAGAUCGAAUCAUAUGCUCAAUCUAAUGAGCAUAAAUUGCUCGGGGCAUGACAGGUGCCUUGUAAGGUCUUUUCUUACAGGUGUCCAGAUCAGCAACGUUGGACCAGUACUGGCCACGUGGUUCUUUUCUUUGGAACAUCCCAUUUUAAAAUACAUUUUAAAGUUAGCUAGCUAAAAAAGUCAACUAAAUACAGCAUAAUUUUUCCAACAACCAAUUAGAAACCUACCUAUUUUGUCACAAAGCCUUCUUCAUGCUAGUCCCUUGGGAAAGACUUUAUGCCAAAAUGUUGGGGGUAGAUUUUGUUGCAUAUGUCUUCUUACAUUUAUGUCAUUGUAUAUAUAUAUGUGAUUUUAGAAAAUUGUAUGAAUAAGGUAUUAUUUUAACUUUAUUUGAUGUGCAUCUUUUAUAUUUUCAAAAACUAUGGUAUAUAGGCACUCGGGGAGUUCUUUAUAGGUUUGCACCCUGGGUGAAUUAAGUGUUUGUGUUUGAAUAAAUAUUUUAUAACUCUUAAUACACAUUUUGGCUGGCUGUUAAAAUAAAAGUAACAAGAAAGGGUCAAUAUCACUAAACUAAGCAACAGAUAACACCAUUUUUUUUAUAUUUGUCCAUUAUGGUUUUAAGAAGAAAAAGUAAAAUACUGUAAAAUAGUAAAACAAUUUUUUUUUUACAUAAAUUGCUUGUGGGUCCCUGUUUUAAUAACUGAUUUUGUAAUGCCAUUUUAAUUUUUAAUAAGAUUAUGGAUAUGUAUGUGACAUUGAGAAGGCCUCACAUGACUUACAUCCCUAAGGAUAUUUAGUUUAAUAUCUUAUUAUUUAUGUCUGUUUUAUGCUGUGUAUCAGGCAAAUCCGCCACACUAAGGGUGAUUGGACAAGGUGGGUUACAAAACCGUAUAUGAUGUGCAGUGGAUAUCCAUACUGCCUUUUAUUGAAUUUGUGCAAGCAGCAUGAAUGAGUCUUGUUGCUCUUUCACUGUGUACUUUGUAGAUCAAUUUAACCCUCUGCUAUGCCAUCUGCACUUCCUUAGCAUCAUCACACCAGUUUAAGGUGCAGAGUAGACAGAAGCUCUUUUUAGGCUGAAAGCUGAAGUGCAAGGUAUCUACAGAGAUCUAAUUUCUACCUGCUAUGCUACGUCAAAUGCAAAAGCAAAGCCACGCUACACACCUGCUUUAAUGUAACAUUUAAAAAGCAGUCUCAAUACCUAGAUUUCUGAGUUGUUUUUUCAUGUGUUUUUUUUAAUUAUAAAUUAUGGAAUUUUUUAAACAAACGCAACAUAUUAAUUAUGUAGUAAUUUUCAGGCAUGUAACCUUGUGUUGUCACAUUUUAUUAAAUGUGCCAUUAAAGCCUUUGAACACUGUAGCAUAUGCAGAGAAGAUUAUGUAGCUGAUGUAUAAAUGUAUCUAUCUGUACUUAUAAAAUGGUUUUGUAAGCUUGUAUUGCUCUGGUGACAGAGCUAAGUCAUUCUUUCAAUGCACUCCUUCGAUGUCAUCACUUCUAGCACAGGCUCAUAAAGCCUCAUCCCUUGGGAAUUCAUUAACCAUGCAACAUACUACUGGGGGAAGUAGGUUGAACUGGUAUUUUUAAUAACAUUCUUUGAUUAUAUAUCAGAGGCUAAGUUAAAAGGUCGCUGUAAGCAACAUAGCAACCUCUGCUCUAUGUCCCUGGUUCCCUGCUCAGGUUGGCUUUUAACUGCAGCAAUUUGUAGAAAUUGCUGCAGCUGUAAGAUAGCCCCUGGCUCACUGACUUUAAAAUAGGAAUUUAAGUUCCACUUUUGCAAUCCAGUUUGAGUGCCAAGCAUCUGCAUGCCAUGCACAUCUCUUGUCUUCCCUGGUUCUGUAGAGAGUGUGUCCAUACAUGCAGUAAGUAUCUCGGGAGAUAGCAGCCCACAGCCAGGUUCAUAAAAUAUUAUUUUUGCGCCAUGGCUGCUAUCAGCUUAUUAACCCCUUAAGGACCAAGCUUCUGGGAUAAAAGGAAAUCAUGACAUGUCACACAUGUUAUGUGUCCUUAAGGGGUUAAACUGAUCCUAUAUAAUGAGUGGAACUGUUCCUGGGGCUAAGCUUCAUAUUCCAAAAAAUCUCACUGGACAGCGUUUAUAGAAUAAGAAUGAAGCCCAGAAUGAACAAAUAGACAAAAAAGUAAAGUUUCUCAUAGGUAGAAGUAUUUUAAGGUAUUAUUUUUUCUUUUGGUAUUUUAACAUGCUAGCAUAUUCUUAAUAGUUUGUAAUAAUAAUGCUUAAAGGGACACUAAAGGUACCCAGACCACUUCAUCUAAUUGAAGUGGUCUGUGUGCAGUGUCCCUAUUCCCUUAUCACUGCAAUUUAAAACAUUACAGUUUUAGAGAAACUGCAAUGCUUAUAUUGCAGAGUUAAGACUGCCUCUAGUGGCUGUCUCCCAGACAAUUUCUAGAGGGACUUACUUAAUUUAUACAGAGUUUAACUCUGUAAAAUGACACUGAACGCCUUGUAUGAGGAUGUUCAGCGUUGUGAAAAGACCAUUAUGAAACCAUUAAUUCAGUGCUUUUCUAUGGGAUGUCCAACUGCUUGCUGCUUGCCGCACAUGCGCAUUAGGUUUCCAGAUUGUUGUGCAGAGGAGGAGCCUAAUCCACCAGCGAAGGACCACAGCGCUGAAAUCAGGUAAGAAAAAAAAAUGUUUUUAAACCUUUAUUUGCUAGCUGAGGAUAGGGGCAGAGGUAUACGAUAGUCUUAAAAAUACAGUUAAAAGAAACUGUCCAAAAAUGCGUUUUAUUAUAUAAAAGUUAUAUAAUUUACUAUAUUUGCACAAAAAUAUUCUAAUUUCUAAUAACUGAUAUCUUCAGCUGUUGUAGACCCAUCCUCUUUUUGCCCAGCACUUCCUUGUUAGUGAUGUGCAUUGUCAGAUCAUAUCAAUAGACCUUUAAAGAGUCUUACUGUUCCUUCAUGGAGGUCAUCUACAUAUUAUCUUGGUUGCAGUGUACUAGGCUCCUUGCACCCGUUACUCAAUUUUCCUUAUCUAUAUUGGAUGGCACACACCACAUAAUAUGUUCUAAUAACCUGAUUUCACUUUCCAUGCCUUUAGAUCCUUUAAACAUCUAAUUCCCACAUUUGUUUGAUUGCACACUAUGAAAAACAAGGGGUGUUGAUUUUCUCUACCAAUGUGUGAAGAGGAAACAUUCCUUAUUAAAAAACUCUUAAGGGGGGCGGAGCCUGACCUCUGAGCCGACUAGACGUGGAAAACCUGAGCUCCUGAAACAUAGCCUGAUUUUGGGGUAUUUUGCCCGAUUAUGAGGCUUCCACGUACAGCAUCCAACAUACUGAUGGUCAGGAGACCCCGGGCUAACUACAUUCUGACUAAAGCCAGCACUCAAGCACCCGAAAAGCCUGGGAGCUCUACUGGGGUCUACCUGGGACAAAGCUGUGGGGGAAGCGGCCGAUCCACCCACGCUGCGACCCGGGACCUGAGUCCGCAGUGCUCCUAUCCGCCCUCCCCCCAGACUGGUGGGGGUCAUCCCGGUCCACUUAAAGCUGACCAGAACAACAGACCUCGCAUCAACCACUCAGGCAAGAUCGCUGAGCAAGAACCUAGCCGUGGCAAGAUGGCGGAUGCAGUUCCCUCACAGGCAACCGCGGGAAGUCCAAAGCAGGCGACCACCCGCGACCACAUGGCAGAUUCACUGAGGAGGCUGGACGCCAUAUUUCAACGGUUCUGGCUCUUAUUACAGCGCCGCGUCCAAGCCACCGAGGUAAGCAGGUGCACAGAAGCUGGGAGACCCAAGCGACAGCCUGUGAAGGGACCUACCCAAGGCAGCACUCCAGCGACGACACCCACGAGAUCUACCGCUUGCCUUCCCAAGCAGAGAGCCACAAGGGGCAUAUACACCACGCAUCAUCCACAAGGUCGGAAGGUUCCCUGUGACACGCGGCGUACGACACCUCGACCUCCCGACUACUCCCUGCCGGUAUUAGACUUGGCCUGUUGCAGCACCCAGGUCUGUGGAAAAAGGAUACUGGCCCUCGAACAGGCUUGGGGCUGGAGAAGUCCCUGUGCAGGCAAAAUAUGCCCGAUGGAUAAUACCGCCAUUUGGCUAAGGAUGGGAGUUGGUUAACUCAGAGGGGGGACUGUCACACAAGCCCUAUACCACAAGAGCAAAGCAGCUGAAUUAAAAACCCCUCUGCAUCAGUCAUUAACCCGGGACAUGCCUUCUUAUAAUGUCUCCUAUAUGCUCUUAUAAGGUCUCCAAUAUGCUUCUUAUCAUGUCUCCAAUAUGUUCUCCCCUGCUUAUAGUUUAUUACUAACUUCUUCGUUUCUCUAUCACUCGACACUAACCAAUCACCCAGGGCAACGAGAACAUGCAAAAUACCCUGCUCACUUGUCUGAGGCUAUUAAUCUGCUACUAAUCUGUCAUUAACAUGUUGAAUGCAACUAUAUAAAACAAAAAAUGUGCUGAUUUUCUGAAUGCUCCAAUUGUUAAGCUUGAAAAUGAGCUCAAGGACUGCUAUUGGGGCUCCCUGAGCAUGUUUGUCAUUAUCAUUAUGCACAAAUAAAAUAUUACAUUUAAAAAAAAACAAAAAAAACUCUUAACCAAUAAAUACUCUUUACCCAAUGAAUACUUUUUACACAUACAUAUGUACAGAAUUGACAUUAACCAGUCCAGAACUCUUUUUCUAAGCUAGCUAAUAUGUCAAGUUUAGUUAAAAUGCCUAUUCUGACUCAAGGGGUUUUCAUUUAUUGAUAUAUAGGUGCGUUCUUAAAUGUCAAAGGAAAUAUAUUUCCCAUUGACUGAGGGUGCUUAAAAGAUCUUAUACACAUCUAGUAAUACUCAAGGCAUAAUUUAUAUUUUGGAGUAUGCUAUUUCCCACAAAGAUCGUGAACUGAAUUAUUCAUUAUACAGUUGCAUUCUUUAUUAGAAAACAACUGUCUGUAUGUUUUUAUUUGGUAAAUAUGUUUGUCGUGAAUCAGGGUGUUAAACCUGAAAGAGACAUUGCUGAUGCUUGUGCAGUGUGAUAUUGUGGCCUUAGGAUACAUAACAAUUUGUAUUAAUUAUGUCAGUGUUAUAUUUAAAUUUUAAUCAUGCGAUUCACUCUUGUAUACAUCAAUAAAAUAUUGUGAAUAUGUAUGUAUAUAAAAACAUAGCAAUUGGCAGCACUCAAAGGACUUCCAAAAAAGAUUAUUUACUAAUACAUGUCCAACAAAAUGUUUCGACAAUAUAGAGUCAAUAUCAAGUCUUGAUGUUUUAGCACACAGGCAUAUUGCAGAUUAUUAAUAUUUUCUGUUUGGUGCUGAAGUUUUAUAUAUAUUGGUUGGUAUUGGUUUUUGGUCUUUUUAGUUUUUGCUUCCCAAGCACUACCAAGCCUCAUGCUGAUAACUAACCUCAUGCUGAUAAUUUGCAUUCACCAUGAAACAGCUGUCCAUGAGUGGUUCACUGGCUUUACAUACAUACAGUAUAAGGUGGAGUAUCUUCUUAUUUGAAUAGCUGACAAUAGUAAAUAUUCCUAGAGAUAAAACAAAAUGGGACACGUAAUAGUGCAAUAUUGUCUGUUUACAAUCGAGUAAUGAAAUAUCCUCUCAAAGGUAAGUAUAAGAAUAAAGUGCUUUAUUAAAAGUGCACAAAUGGUUAUAAAACUUUUUAAAAUAAAAUCAAGACCUUACAGUUUGAAGGUAAUUCUUUGGAAUAGUCCUUAAUAGUGCAAAACGCGUUUGGCUUCGUUCAGAGGCUUCCUCAAUUGCUGAUAUGUUGCUGGUUGUAAGUGUCCUUUUAAAUAAUCCAUAAUUGGCGCUUGUUUGCUGCCGUCGGUUUGUGCAUUCGUGUAGCAUUUCCGCUUCCGGGUUUUGCGUUCCAUCGGUGGAACGCAUGUCUCAUUUCCUUUUCCUCUGUAGUGGAACGCAUCCAUGCGUUCUUACUAUAUAUAAGUCUCUUAUGCAGCAUGAAGCAGUUUAUGAUGGGUACAAUAUGAAUAAUAAAAAGAGAUUUAAUAAUAGGAAAUAUGUAGUAUUUAAAAACAGUACAAAAUUCUAAUAAUACUAAAAUUAAGUUGCACAAUAUCUUAAUUGCUAGCCAGAUUAAAUAUCACAAUUAAAUAGGGUGAAUUAGUAGAUAGUUUAUAUUAAAAUGAAUAAUGCAGUGUGAAAUAUCCAACUUUCACUUAAAUCGUUUAUAUAAUCCAGAUGAUAACCAUUAUAUUUUUAAAAUGGGUAAUCAAUUAUACAUAAUUAAAAUGGAAGGAAACAGAAAAAAAUGUAUAAACAUACUACUGUAUGGGAUAUUAGAAAAUAAAAAAAGAGAAAGGGAUCCUCUUAUUAAAACUUGUAUAAAAAAAUAUAUAUUUUAUAGAAAAUUUUAUAAAUAAAAAACUAUUUUAAAAAAACUAUUUAAAAGUGGCAGACCUCAAAAUCAGAGUUUAAGCCAUGGGGGAUUAAGGUUUUAAAAUUAUAAAUAAAAUGCUUUUUUUCUUUACCCAAUGUUUUAAUAUAAUUACCCCCUCUCCAAUCUCUUUUUACUUCCUUCAUUGCACAAAAAACAGAUUUUCUGGGUUUUGGUUAUGAGUCUCUUUAAAGUGUAAGGACACACUGUGGGUUUCUAAGCCAUUUUUAAUAUUGCGAAUAUGUUCAGCGAUCCUAACUUUCAAAGGUCGAAUGGUCCUUCCUACAUAUACGCCACCUUUUACUGUAUGUAUAUUUAGGUUUGUUGUGAGGAUAAAGGGAAACUCACUAGGGUGUUUUGAGUAUCUGUUAUUUCCUGUAUGUCUCACUGGGAUACUGUUAUUAUUCACCACUGGCUUUACAUAGUUUCCUAAAUUGUGUUGUAUACAGCAAACACAGACUCUAAGGAAUCCAUGUUUAAAAUGGAAUGAGGCAAAAAUGUGAUUCUUUGUUAAACUAAUUUGCAUAUGUCCACCCAGAAUCCUUUGCGUUAGUAACAUCACUGCAGAUUUGUGAUUUCUGUAGGAAAAGUAAGUCUUAUGGCUUGACUGGUGUGCAGAUUUUUGUUUAACAUUGUAUUAACUAUCCACAGACGUCAGGUGGAAGGGGUUUUCAAUCACAAUUUUUUUUCCCCACCAUAACCUUUUUGGUUUUUGAGAUAUAUAUAUAUAUAUAUAUAUAUAUAUAUAUAUAUAUAUAUAUAUAUACAUACAUACAUACAUACAUACAUACAUACAUACAUACAUACUUCUCUCUUUCUCCUCCUUUGGUCCUGCAAUGUAAAACACUGCCAUUUUGUAGAUACAGUAAUGUUUUCAUUGCUGGGUUAAACACUUCUCUUAUGGCUGUCUUCCUUAUAGCCACUAAAUGAUGGAUCCCCUGUACCACAGAGUCAAUGUUGCUUAUGUCACAUUCGACGUUCCCCAAAUGUCAUCAAAUGAUUAUCAUAGACAAGCUUUGGAUUCAUUGCUUCCAUAUGAAAAACAUUCGAUUGGACAAGUGCAGUAAUCACUAUGCUUGCUCUUCAUCCCCAAUGCUUCUCUAUAAGAACCAUUGGAUUGGAUAAGAAAACAAAGAGGAAACUGCCUAAAGGACAACGUCAUUGUAUGCUGCAUGAAGUUAAUCUCAGGACUGGAAAAAAAGAUGAUUAAAUACCUAUUCUUUCCCCUCGUAUUUUAAUCUAAAUAGGGUGAUUGUACAAUAUUGAAGUAGUUGCUCCACACAAGGAAAAGUACAGAGUAGUCCUGUGGUAGAGGUCUGAACCCCUAAUAAAAAUGCUUUGAAUAGAGGUCUGAAACGUAUGCAUUUUUUCUUUGUCCUUGUGGUGUUAUUAAAGUGAUCUGGGUGUUGUGCGCUUUUCCCCUUCACGGUGUAAUGUUAAUUAUUGCAGUUUCUGAGAUUGCAGGAAUAACUCCUCUCUCAGACAGCCACUAGAGGCACUUCCUGGUGCUUCACAGAGUUUAACUCAGUGAAACAAUGCUGGGCAGCAUGGAGACAUCAAGCGUCUUGAAAAUCUCCAUCGAUUGAUGCAAUGCUUUCUGUUUGGGAAGCCUUAAUGUGCUUGCCACACAUUAUGUUUUUCCACCAACAUGUUGUCAUGAGAGAAGGAAACCUGUAAAACCUCACCUGAAAUCAGGUAAGUGAAUGACUGAUGAGGUGAGGGGGUAAUGUGGGGGAAGAGGGACACUAUAAUGUUCACAGUAUAGUUUUGUAUUCCGAACACUAUUGUGUUCUUUUAAUAUUGCUGAUUGAGUGAUGGGGAGUUAGGUUGUUGGACUUUUAUUGAAUCUGUGCCAGGCAGAAAUAUUCUCAGGGUGUUUUCACAUAAAUCUUUCUCACAUUCAUCAUACAUAAUAAUGUUUCCUCUAUGAUUCCAGGUAUUUUAUUAGUAUGAAAAAAGUUAAGCAUAUGGCGGUUGUUUUGGGUUACAGAUAUCAAAACCUGUUUGCCAUGCAGUUUUUUAGUAUUCUGUUCCUGUUUCAAAUUCGGGUGCUCACGGUAUUUCAGUGGAUCAAAUGGUUUACUUAGCUUUUCUGCCUUUUCCCUUUCGAUAGUGGGAAACGGUCUAAUGACAGCGUUUCCCAGUCUCUAAUUUGUGACAUCUUAUAACAGUUGAAGAAUGGGUCACUGAGUUGGACAACUUUAAUGCCAUGGACAUAAUUUGGGCACCUGUCAAAAAAUGUCAAAAACCACUGACCUAGAAUGUCAGACAAACAAAUAUAAAUCUUCAUGUUGUAUGUUUUUCCUAUGUUGUUUUUCCUAUGUUGUUUGACCUAUUUUUAAGAGAACUGCACGGUCAGUAGAAACAUAGAAUGUGACGGCAGAUAAGAACAAUUCGGCCCAUCUAGUCUGCCCAAUUUUUUUAAAUACUUUCAUUAUUCCCUGGCCUUAUCUUAUAGUUAGGAUAGCCUUAUGCCUAUCCCACGCAUGCUUAAACUCCUUUACUGCGUUAACCUCUACCACUUCAGCUGGAAGGAUAUUCCAUGCAUCCACUACCCUCUCAGUAAAGUAAUACUUCCUGAUAUUAUUUUUAAACCUUUGCCCCUCUAAUUUAAGAUUAUGUCCUCUUUUUGUGGUAGUUUUUCUUCUUUUAAAUAUAGUCUCCUCCUUUACUGUGUUGAUUCCCUUUCUGUAUUUAAAUGUUUCUAUCAUAUCCCCCCUGUCUCGUCUUUCCUCCAAGCUAUACAUGUUAAGUUCCUUUAACCUUUCCUGGUAAGUGUUAUCCUGCAAUCCAUGAACCAGUUUAGUAGCCCUACUCUGAACUCUCUCUAAAUUAUCAAUAUCCUUCUAGAGAUACCGUCUCCAGUACUGCGUACAAUACUCCAAGUGAGGUCUCACCAGUGUUCUGUACAAUAGCAUGAGCAAUUCUCUUUUUCUACUGCUAAUACCUCUCCCUAUACAACCAAGCAUUCUGCUAGCAUUUCCUGCUGCUCUAUUACAUUGUCUGCCUACCAUUAAGUCAUCAGAAAUAAUCACCCCUAAAUCCCUUUCCUCAGCUGUUGAGGUUAGUACUCUAUCAAAUAUUCUGUACCUUUUACACCCAAGAUGCAUUAUCUUGCACUUAUCCACAUUAAAUGUCAGUUGCCACAACUCUGACCAUUUUUAUAGUUUACCUAAAUCAUUUGCCAUUUGGCUUAUCCCUCCAGUAGUUCUUAACCAUGAGGUUGGGACAUAAAAUUGUGUUUUAUUUCAUUUUAGCAGAUUCCCAAUGCGUGCAACAUUUACUAAACAUCUGCUCUCAGUAUUUACUGUAGUAACACUGCUAUUCCCCCAUGCAAUGAAGACCCCUUUUGCUUUGGGAACAGUCUGAUAGAGGUGUUUGUAGAACCUAAUCCAUUACUAUUAUUGUUAAUUUAUUGAAUGUCUUCACAGAGCUAAUUUUACUUUACCCUAAUCCAAUGUACACAGUUUUAGCCAAGCCAUCCAGGGAUAUCCACUAAAUUCCAAACUGGAGUGAAUUAUAUCUGAAUGGAAAAUGGAGUCUAAAAUAGAGAAGCUAUGACUUUACUUGGGUUGGACAAUGUUUUCACAUCUGCAGUUUUAGCCUUAAUUUCGCUAUUUGGAUUUGAUUUGCUAAAAUUCAUGUUUGGUGAACAACCCUAUUAAUUUUGGGUAGUGAUGUAUUUAUUCUCUAUCUGUCCAACAAAUAGGGAGCAGUGACCUGUUUAAAAAUGCUGAGAAUUUUGGUAACUGGAUUUUUCUAUUUUUUGCUUUAUUAAUCUAGAUAUCACCACACAACGCAUGCACACAUAGUGCCAUGUGUUUGUGCAAUUUGUUUCCUGUGGUGGAAUCUUUGCCAUUUUGUAUUCCUAGUGGUGUUAAUAAACAGAAAGGAUUGAACAUAUAGUGAGUUUGUUGAGGCUGUUUAUAUGUGGCAGAUAUCUUUUUUUUUAAUUGCGUUUCAGUUUAUCUGUUUGCAUAACCAACAUGCUGACAGACUCCAAAUUCCCUGAUGCUCCUAUAAUAUAACUCAUUAUUAAUAAGCUUCAGCAGUACUCCUAUGGUUAAUUCUUGGAAAGAACAUAAUUCACAUGUUUUCUAUAUUAGCUUGAUUGUGCUAGAGGCCACGAUACAAUGAUUAUAUAUAUAUAUAUAUAUAUGUAUAAAUAUAUAUAUAUAUAUAUCUAUAUGGAGGUUUAUUUCUAAGCAAAGACAAACAAAUUAGUUACAGUGUUUAUCACAACUGGAAGUCAUAUCUAGGAUUUGGAGAGGUAUAUUAUUCCUAUAAAAAUAAAUAAACCUCUGCUGUUAAAAUGAUCAUCCAUUGAAAGAUGAUAUUUAAUAAAAACAAAUUGUAAUCCAUUUCUUAAAAUUAAAUCGAAUUAUGUUUAAAUAUACAAGAAUUCAAUGAUAUUUGCAAUUUACCACAAAUUUUAGUCAUUCUUAAUGUAUAAAUAAAAUGGGAUUCAAAUAUAUAUAUAUUUAAGUGAAAAGUGUACAGAAGGAUCAGCGCUUAAAAACUUUAAUAAAGGCAGCACACCUAUAGGAUAGGGCUCCCUCACAGGCCCUAUAGGUAUAAGGAAGUAGAAAAAGGUGGCGCCACAGAGAUAAUAUAUACAAUAAAAUAUAAGCAAGUGGUAAUAUAGAAAUAAACAAUGAUAUAUAAUACAGAGAGAGAACAAUAUAAAAAAAAAGUCUCUACCUCAGCUAGAACUGUGAUUGUUCUCUCAUCCCAAGGUUUUACUGGACUCUUUUUGGACUGUUCUUUAUAUAGAUAUAUAUACCUAUUAUCAUUUUCUAUUUUUUUUUUAUUGUUCUCUCUCUGUAUUAUAUAUCAUUGUUUAUUUCUAUAUUACCACUUGCUUAUAUUUAAUUGUACAUAUUAUCUCUGUGGCACCACCUUUUUCUACUUCUCUCUCUCUCUCUAUAUAUAUAUAUGUACAUAUUUCUUUUUUUAUUUUAUUUAUACAUUCAAAAUAUAUAUGUUCAUCACAGUACACUUACUCUAGUUGAAAUGUAUCUAUCGGCAUCAUCAUAGCAUAAACUAAAGCAAACUGCAACAGAUGGCACUGAUCAAAACCUAUUUUAUUUAUACAUUAUGUGAUACAUAUAUAUCAUUAAAUAGGCUGAUAACGUGUCUACUAUGAUUAACAUAAAAAAUAGCAAUAUGUCAUCUUAAAAAUGUUGUCAUUAUUUAACAAUACUAUUAUACUUCUACAUUUAAAGAACGUUAGCUGAAUAAUAAUUUGGUUAAUAAUGAUGGGCAUUGAUACAGUGCAUAGCACACGUUUGUAGUCUGUAUUGUAGUAUUGAAUGAAAAAAGUGUCCCCUUUGGGUUAAGUUUAAUGAAUGUAAAUGCUAGAGGUGCUUAGUGUUUAUGGGGAACUUGGAGCUUAAAGGCUUAGGGGACUGAGGGUUGAAGGAACUGUAUGAUCACCAUACCUGGCGAUUUCUUACCUGAAGGGGUUAAACCAUCCUCGAAUGGUUUAACCCCAAAUGUUAUUCUCCAGUGCCAUAUCUCCCUUUCCUCAGCGGCAUCCGGCUUCUUUAAUUGAGCUUCAUGAAGCGCAGAGUGUCACUGCGCAGGGACACUGCUGAUUGGCUUCAACGGUCAGCUGAUGCUCUAAGCCAAUAUAUAGUUCCCCGCUAAUAAAAAAGAUGCAUACUGGUUAAGAACAUCAGCUGACUUAUACGUACCUAUAAAUAAACACUUCCUAUACAGGAAGGGCAGCCACACCAUCUACACACCUAGAACUCUGUUCCUGACUGACUACUGUUAAUUCUGUGCAUAAAAAACAUCCAUUCCGCCCUGCACUGCGCCAUGGCAGUGAAUGUCAUAAGCUUCUUUACUUGCAUGCAGUUUUGUGAGGGAUUGUGUGCACUUAGUCCAAUGCACUGUGGAAUUUCUCCUUCAGUUGUGACCUCCUUCCAAAAUCCCCUCUGUCCAGCCCUCCAGACUUGCUUUGAAUGCUCAGUUCUCCCCUUUUUGACCCUUGACACCUACACAAUGUUUAGCCCUCGCUCUGCUAACAUACCCUAGAUACAACAAUGCUUCUUCUCAUGCUAGGAGCAAGCCUGUAGUAACCCUUUAGUCCAAAUCCAUGCUAAAAAGUCCAUCCUCAUUCUAUCUAGUCUUAAAUUUACAUCAUGGGGUAUACUGUACCCUAGGCAAUUACAGCUCUGGGUACAGCAUUGUACCGACUACUGUAAAGAGGCCAUCGUGAUAAACAAUAUGGUUUUAAAGUGACAACAUGAUAGCAUCGCUCUAAUGACUACUACAUUUCGAAAUCAUCUUAUAUCAAGAUUUCUAUGAGAAAAUCUACUCUUUCAGGAGGAAAUUAUUUUCACUUGAUUAAAGCAUGACUUUCUGAAAGAUUUAAAUCACAUUGAAAAGAGACUGUAAAAUAUAUAUUGUGAUUGUAUGUUUACUCUGAGAUAAAUAUUGUUGCUUACUUUAAAGAGUUAUACCAUGGGAGGCAGCCAAUCAGUCAUCAGGAAUCUCAGAACACCCAAUGAGUGCUAAUAAAAUUGUGGUUGCACAGAUAUUUUUAAUGCUUAGCUUUUUCAAUACAACUGACAUGUAUUUUUUUGUAAUCCUCAAAGGAGAAAAACAUACGGUCCAGUCAAGGGUCUUCAUUUUUUGUUCUCUGUAUUUUCACAGUGUGGGUUAGUAUGCUCUGUUAUUACUUGCAUGCAGUUCUUAGGACUUUAGGAAUAAGAUAUAUAAUAUAAUGUAGAUUGCUCUACUGCCUCCAGACAGGCGUGUUGGUGAUUUGUUUGAGACCAGUGGGGGUAUUGGGGUAUGUGGUUAAUCUUUUUGAAAGCCAAUUUAAAUAAUUCAGAAUAAAAUAUUCCUAGUUAUAGGAGUAAAAUAUAUGUGUUUGUGAAAACAGUAUAUUUCCUGAAGAACAGAACAGGAGGAUGACGUGCAUAUAUCAUGUGUCCCAAAGCCUAAUGUUAGAUGCCAAUGUUGUCUAUCAAGAGCAGAUGUGUCCUAUAGGAUUGGGAGUCUGUGGCUGAAUUGCUUCUGCACCACCUCCUCCAAAAUAAAAAAAUUUAGAAAAAAAAAUUAUUUCCACCCUUCGUGUCUAUUCUAAGCCCUCGGUGUUGUGACUCUCCUUGUGUGUCUCUCUAUACUCAGUCACUGACUUUUGUGUCUUUUUUUGCUCCAUUCUGUCUCUCCAUACUUCAAAUCCCCACUUUUGUCUUUCUUUACUCCAUCACAACCUUUGGUGUCAUUCCUUACACCGUUGUCUGUUUCUCCUUAUCUCUUCACCCGUUUGUAUGUUACCCCUUGCCUCCUGUCAUCCUCCCAUUUACCUAGACUGUUGCAUGGACCAACAUGAUCUACAUGUUUCCGAGGGCUGCUCCAAGCUCUGAUUGAAGUGUGCAAGUUAAUUGAAGAGAGGGAGGGAUAUGACAUUCAUUUUUUGCUCCCUCCCAUUUCUUGCACUGCUGCUCGGAGCCUGAAAAAGCCCUAAUAGAAUGUGUAGAGGAACAUCAAGAUCUACUAUUGUCUUGCUCUCCAUGCUACAAAGUGUUUUGAGAAAAGGAGGGGGUGCACUGUGUCAUCCCCUCCCUUGUUUGCAUUCUACCGACGAAGAGCAUUCUUAAAUGCAAAAAACUUAACAUCUAGACAUAUCGGUGUAUUAAGCAAGAUAUAUAUUUAUUUUAAUAUUUAUAACAGAUGUUAUAUUUGUAUGUUUUUUUCAGUUUCAAGUUGGCCAAUAAAAUUCUGAUGUUGAGUAGACAUUUUGUAUAGCUUUUAACCGUCCCACUUUUGUUGCUGCAAAUAACAGAAUCAGUCUUAUAAUCCUGUGUAGACUGAACCUCUUUAGAUUUCCAGUUGGUUAAUAAUAUGUUAAAGAUGGAAAAACAGAUAAAAAAAUGUAUUUGUCUUUAAUUAACCUGGUGCUGCUUGUGUGACCCUCCUUGGUAUCGGGUUUUGCUAACUACCCCAUCACCGUUAGAAAGUAUAUGUCCAAUUUUCCAGCUGCUAAAAUUAAUGGUCAUUAUUUUAACAAACAUUUUAUUUAUACUUUUUUUUUCUUACUUCACUUGUGCGUUAAUGGUAAAUAUAUCAUUUUCUCAGAAGACCUCAUUUAAAAAGAAGGAUUUACAAAAUGAAGUGUGCCAAAUAAAUUGAUUUAACUUAGGUUUACUCUGACCCUAACUCAGAAUAAUGAAUCUCUCAAACGUCAAGCUAUCCCUUAAGUGUCUUAAUUAUUUGCAGCAGUCCUUUAAUGAGAUAACAUAAAGAUAUCAGUGACCCGAAGUUCACCAUUGGCUUCAGCUGUGGGAAUGAAGAUAAUAUAAUUUUUCGGUCCAUAAUAGCAUCAGUGGCAAACUGUUUUACUUGUAUAGUUUCUCAUUAACCCAUUAUGUGUUAAAAUGUUGGCAAUCUUCUCGAGUUCUCUCAAAGUAAAGCAUGCUAGUGUUAUUCCCCCUGGCUUUCUUGUACUCCACGUCUCUGUGGAUCUAAACCUCUAUAUCUAAAUAAAACCAUCUUAAGUAAACACUGGCAUGAUGAAACGUCAAGCAUAUAUUACAGACACCUUUUUUAGAUUCUUUAUUUUUGUUUUAAAAUGCUUUCUGAUAGCCUUCUUUUUAUUCAAAAGGUAACAUAUUCUCACAAAUAUUUAAUGUAAAUAAAUAAAAUUAUUAUUAUGAUUGGUAUUUAUAUAGCGCCAACUUAUUCCACAGUGUUUUACAAUAUUUUAAAAGGGGGACAUUUAACAAUAAAUGAGACAUUUACAAAGUCUUACAGGAACAAUAGAUUGAUGAGGACACUGCUCAAACUAGCUUACAGUCUAAAGGAGGUGGGGUAUAAAGACACAAUAGGAAGGGCAUUGAGGGGGAUAGCAACCAACCAACAUAAAUUGGAUCAAAAGUACAACUGGAAGGUGAGAGUGGAGUGUGGCCCUUUAAGAGAGAGCAAAAGGCAGGUUUGUGAAAUAGAAGUUACUGUGGGUGGCCAUAAGCAUUUCUGAGGAGAUAGAUUUUGACGGACUUCUUGAAUGAUUGAAGACUAGGGGAGAGAUUCAUGGGGAGAGGCAAGCUGUUUCAAAGGAUAGGAGCCAUCCGUGAAAAGACCUGCAAGCACGAGUUACCAGUAAUGGUGUGGACAGGAGAAGGUUACCGGCAGAGUGAACAGACUGAAAAGGGGCGUACCUACGAAUUAGUGAAGAAAUAACGGUCUAGAGUUGCUUAGAACUUUAUAGGUAAGGGUUUGAAUUUUGAAUUGACUCCUAUAGGGUACAGGAAGCCAAUGUAAGGAUUGAGGGAGAGGCAAGGUGUGAGAGGAAACAUGAGAGUAACAUAAGCCUGGCAACAGCAUUCAUUGCAAACUGUAGUGAGGCAGUAAAAUAAAAGUAAUUUACAUUCUGGAUAUGAUAAAAUUCAUAAAAUAAGAUAUAAUAAUAUGAUAGAAUUAUAAGUGACAGUAAAAUGCUGCAUUAUAAAACAUGUUCUAUAUGAAACAUCAUAUUAUGCUAUGGUGAAUGGUAAAAAAAAACCACAAAAGCAGGUACAUAAAUGGGAAAACAAUCUGCAAGCCAUGAUUAAAAUAUGUAUAAUUAAAAUGAUAAGAUUAGGGUCAUAAGUACAUGUAAGAGAUAUGAUAUAGGAUACAUAUGAAAACAAACCAGUAACUGUGAUUAGAACAACCAUAUAACAUUUUAUUUAUAGGAAAAGUAUGGUAAAAAGGGUCAGCAUGAAUUGUCAUCAAUUAGGUAAGUUUCGGGGUUCUUUUGACCUUGCCCAGAAGCUCCAUCAAGUGGCCUCCUGGAGUAGUGUUGAAAUUGUCAAUAAUAGACUCAAAUUGGGUUCUGAAAUGUGGUAAAAUGUUGCCACAGACAGGUCUAUAAAUUGUAAAAUGUUUUCAGCAUGUUGAAUGUAAGGCUGUUUGUGAAGUUGUCUUUCUUCAGUUACAGGUAACAAUUGGGAAAACCCCCAUUUUGCUUUAACCUUGAAUGAGUGCAGAAUUGGCUUUAUUGGAUUGUGUAGAAGGCUAGUUUGUGUAAAGCUACAUGGCUAAAAACAUAACACUUUCGUUCUAGUCACCAGGCCUCUACUGGAGUUUUUAUUGCAUUAAUGUGCUUUGGGUCCUCAAUUUAACUGUGUUAAUAAGUGAAAGCAAGUUAGGUCUCUCAGGAACUGCCCAGAAAAGUAAUUUAAAGUAGACACAAACUUUUUUAUGAUGAACACCUUUCACGGUCACUAUGAGCACCAUUUGUAUUUCCUUUAAUACGCUCUGUGAAUAAGUAAUUAUUUAAUUUUGCCCAAUUAAUAUUCUGUUCAGGUCAGUGUAAAGGGGCUCCCUAGGCAACAUAACGUCUACAGCUCGCUGCAAUGCUUAUGCUAUUUAAUCUUCUGCUUUCAUCCUUUAGGUUAAUAUAUAACUGUUUAAUCCAGUGGUUCCCAAACCAGUCCUCAAGGCACCCCUCCCAGUUCUGGAUUUAACCCCUUAAGGACACAUGACAUGUGUGACAUGUCAUGAUUCCCUUUUAUUCCAGAAGUUUGGUCCUUAAGGGGUUAAGGAUUACACAGUUGUGUUUAAGGUGGUUUUAGAAAAAGAAGAAAAAAACACCUUAGCCACAACUGGGUAAUCCCUAAAUCCUGGACUGGUUUGGGAACCACUAGUUUAAUCCCUUGAUUUCCAAGCGGUCUGCAAAAAAAUAAAAAACACCACCAGAAUCUGAAUACUUUGAGUGUACUGGAAGAUAGUAUUUAAGUGUAUAUUUCAUUUAAGUAUGCAUAGACAUCACAUUAUUUACUGAAAACAAACAUUUUGGUUUGCCAUUAAAACUUUUAAAUAUGAUUUACCAAAUAAUUAAGUUACAGAUAGGAAUAUCAAUGUAAAUAAAUAAAAUCUCUAAAGAUGUAACAUUUUCCCCUACAUAUUCUGCAGUCCUAUCGCAUGUAAAUUAUCCCAUAUGUAUUUCUAUUGUGUAUGUAUAUAUUGCCUCAUGUAUACUAUAUUAUAUUGUAUACAUUGGGCAUAUUGCAGCUGUGUUGCCUAUUUGUACCAAUGCCCACUCAUUGUUACAUGCACACUGAUAUAUAUGCACCCACAUACAUGCACACACAAAGACACUGUCGCAUAAAGACAUACACUGGCCCACACACAUACUGACAGAAAGAGACACACAGUCACAGUGUGUAUGUAGCUGUGUCUAUUUCUGACUGAGUCUGUCCUUCAGUGUGUAUCAUUAUCUACAUGAGUAUGGUAUGCAUUGUGCAUCUGUGUAUGUUCCUGCAAGUGUGUGUCUGGCAGUGAAUGUGUGAAUCUCUGUGUCUGGGAGCAUGUGAAUCUCUUUGUCUAGGAGCAUAUGUGUUUUGUAGCUGAUUGACGUGUAUAGUGUAUAUGAGGUACUCUUUGCGGCCUUGAUGUGCAUAGUUUUUAUGGCAUUGGUGACCAAUCUUUUGGCUUCCCCUGGCUACAUUGAGCAAAGUGGAAUUGUCUUCGGCUGCACAUAAAAUAUAAUAUAAAUUUUUUAUAUAAUAAAACUUCAAAAGCCCGUUUCUUAAUUUUUACAUUUCAGUUGUUUAGUAGAUGACUCCCUUAUUUGUCAGCUAGGCAAAUCAGGAACUCGUAAUAGAAAUACAUUGUAUCAGUGAAUCUCUAUGGGAAAGUUCAGCGUCUCCAUGCAGAGGAUAGAGACUCUGAAUGUCGGUGCUGUACAUUCUGCAGCACUAACCCAAGAAGCACCUCUAGUAGCCGCCUGAGGAGUGGCCAGUGGAGGUGUUCCUAGGCUGUAAGGUGGGUACUGCAUUUUCUCUGAAACAAAGGUUUGCAUGAAAAUACCUGCAGGGAAUGACUAUACUCACCAAAACAAAUACAUUAAGCUGUUGUUCUGGUGACUAUAGUGUCCUUUUAACAUAUAUAUGUAUUUGUAAGGUUGGAAAAAUAAAAUUAAAUGUAGAAAUCUACACUUUAUUCUGCAACUGCACGCUUCCAUUCCAUUCCAUUGUUGUAAGGGCACUGUCCUUUGUACCUGGCAGUCAGCAAAGGGAAAGCGUACAGAGAGAAGAAAUUAAACAAUGUUUCUAUUUUUCUUUCUCAUUUCCAAUAUUUGCCAAGGAUUUGCCAUGUCUGAACUGGUUUAUUGUAUUUGAUAAAUAUUUAGCAUAACGAAGAAUCUCAUAAACAAAAAUAUAACUUGUUACAGGUGAUUUGUAAUGUUUUAUUCAAUAACGUAAAUUCUAAAGAAAUUACAGUUUCCCUUUAAAUGCAGCCAAUUUUAAAACCACUUUUAUUUUCAGUUGAAAAACAUCACGAUGGAUGUCUAAUGAAACAUAAAAACAUAGCUUUUUUUUUGGGACGACCAAAAUAACAUUUUCAUUUUUGUCCUAAGAAUUUUUUAUAACCUCCUAGGCAGAACAUUUUCUCUGUGUACAUUAUCAGACAGAAGGAGAGUUUGCAUUCAGAGAUAUUUCAGUUUACAUGUGUGAAGCUGGUAUUUUACCAUAUGGUUUAAUAUCAGAAUAAUCCAAUGAUGGGCUAUAGGGGCUUUGGAGAACCCCAUGCUGACGCUGCUCUUGCCAAUACACGGUCCCUGAUUGUUCGUAGAGCAGCACGAUUAUACCUGCAAGAGAAUACCUGCGACCCACACUGUGCAGAGAAACCGUCUCUUGGGCUUUCUCAGCAUGCAACCAUCUGUCUAUCUUUCAAGCCUAAUCAGAGUUGCCAUUCCAGAAAGUAAGUAGAAAUCACAUCUGUGCAUGAUUGUAGAAUCCCUUUGAAAUUCACACAUUCAGUCCAUGUGGAUGAGAUCACAAAACUUCUAAUUAGAAUGGGGGAGUCAAAUUCCAUCCUUGGUCAUGACUGAUGCAGGUCAGUCACCAUACAAAGUGACAUAUCUUUGCGAGCUUUUUGUUACCAUAAUUGUGACAUUUCAGUUUUGUUUUUUUUAUGGAUGCUUAGAGAUGUAGUUCUUCAGCAAUGUGCAUCAAUUGUGUGAGAUUUAUUUUUAAUUAAUAUUACUAUUAUUGCAUACAUUAAUAAUUAUUAGCAUUUUCAUUAUUAUCUGAUUGUCAUGCAUUUUCUGAGUGAAUAUUUAAAUUUUUACAAGUAUUUAUAUCAAAAGCUUUCAAUAGAUGCCUAAACAAUUCAUAUUAAUAUUCGUAUAGGUUUCAUGCUUAGAUAAUUCAUUUUGGUAUAUUUAUAUUAAUAUAUAAACAUAUAGAUAAGCUCAACAUAUGACAGUUAUACAUAAAUUGGGCAUACGAUUUAAACUAUGUUGUAGCAGGAUUGCUGUUUUGUAAAUAUUUCCAUUAUACAUAAGCCAAUGUGCACAUAAUUAAGGGUGAUACUUUUUGUAUAAUGUAUAUAAAUGUCUAUCCACGUCUGCAGUAAUUUAUUGUGACAUAAAGCUGAUUUCAUAUUGGAGGGUGCUUGAGAAUGCUUAUUAUUUACCUUUGAUUUGUAUGAGGCUAGUUGUGAAAAUAUGUGAAAUUAAAAUUGUAAACAAGAACGAGGGUAGCUUCAGAAUCAAACAUCAUGUUUAUAUCUAUGUUUGAUAAAUGAUGUUGCAUAUCAAGGUAUUUUUUUUAUAUGAGGAAAUCCUGUUUAUUUUGUAUAUGAAAUAUAGGACUUCUGUUUGCCAUAUUAUACCUUCCAAUGUGGCAGACAUGUUGAGUCUCACAAUUUAUUAAUUUCACAUAUGAUUUUCAGCAAGCAUGUCAAACUCAAAGUGUGGCACGGGCCACAUAAACAAGGUUUAAGUUUAUGUGGGCCGCACACACACACUCACUCACAGACAGACACACACACAUACUCACAGACAGACACACACAUACAGACACACUGACAGACACACACACACACAUACUCACUGGCAGAAACACACAUACUUGCUGACAGACACACACACACAUUCUCACAGACAGACACACACACAUACUCACAGACAGACAGACACACUGACAGACACACACAUACAGACACACUGACAGACACACAUACAGACACACUGACAGACACACACACUGACAGACACACACACACACACAUACAGACACUGACACACACACACAUACUCACACACUGACAGACACACACACACUGACAGACACACACACACACACACAUACUUGCUGACAGACACACACACACACAUACUUUUCUUUAUUGCUCCUUACCGUUUGAAACAUCUCCCUGGGGUCCUUCCUGCUCCUCACUGCUCCCACGCGCAGUUUAGUGAUGCUGGGUGCCGGAACAUGACGUCAUAUUCCGGCGCCCGGCUUCACUUAAGUCGGCGCGCGCGAGGGAGCAGUGAGGAGCAGAAGCACUGAGCUCCCUCGCUGCCAACAGAGACCUCUCCUCCCCGGCCGGGUAAAUGAUAGCAUAGUAGGCACCUGCAAUAUGGAGAAAGCAGGUGCCUACUCUGCUUGGAACAUUAGGCAUGUACUUGCGGCUCGCUGGGCCACAAAGAUGGUCCUUGUGGGCUGCAUGCGGCCUGUGGGAUGCGAGUUUGACAUGCUUGAUUUUCAGGAACAGUCUCCCUGAUCAUCUUACAGACUGCUUCUGUCACCUGGGGCUAGUAGUACUAUUGCAAGGUACAGUGCUACACUUGCUAUGAAAUACAGGGCAUUUAAGCCAAUAUGUGAGCAUUUAAAAGGACACCAUAGUCACUAGAACAAUUACAGCCUAUAGUAUUCGUUCUGGUGAGUAUAAUCAUUCCCUUCAGGCAUUUUCAUGCAAACUCUGCCUCAAAAAAAAAGGCAGUGUUUACAUUGCCCCAUAAAAACACCUCCUGUGGCCACUCCUCAGAUGGCCGCUGGAAGUGCUUUUGUGGUGCAGUGCUGUCACAGUAUGCAGCCCUGCUGGCCAGGGACUUCACAUUCUGCAGGGAGACGGUGAACUUUCCUCAUAGAGAUGCAUUGAUGCUCAGUGUUCCUUUAAGCAGCGUUUUAGCAUAUGGGUUAGGGGUGCUCGGUGUGUCGGUGCUCCGAUUAUAGGCAACAGGCUGCAAGCUAGGAAGCCUGUCUUCCUGGGGAUCAUGCGUAUUGGGAUAAAAAAGUUCAUUACGGCCAAACACAUCAUCCAGUAUACUAAUUGCAUCAGAAAUUCACAAAUAUGCCUAUCUGCUGCCUCCCUAUUCACCCUGCUCACUCCUGAUUUCAGGUCUGCCAAACUUUAGGUGCAUUGAAUCCCUGACAAUAUAUAUUUUAGGGAAUAGCUUUGUCUGUCUUCAGAAGAUGGUUUUUACAUCCUUUGUCUGUUGUUUUUUUUUUUUUUUUGCAGGCUUAGCAAAGCCAAUUUUGACAUGAGCACUUUUUCUUCAGAAAGCCCUUUUAUAUAAAACUUGUGUUAUGGUUCUGUGUUUAUAAAGGGGUUAAUGCAUUACCAGACAGUCUGCUGUGUUUUCUUACUUUAUGCUUUCCUAAGCUGCAAAUGUGAUCUAUUAUUGUGCAGAAUAAAUGUUUUCAAAUGAAUGGAAAUUGUGUAUUCAUUGUUUUACAAAGGAUUAAACUGACAUUUGUUCAGUAAAAUAUGCCCCUGCAAUUUAGAAAGAAAAAAUGUCUCUGUACAGUAUCUUGAUAUCGUAUAUUGCAAUCUCUGUUCUAGCACACUAGUAACCUCAUAAUUUAUCAGAGUUUUGUAAAUUUUGUGGGGGCAUUUUUUCAUUAUAUUUCUUCCAAUAUUAUUAAUUACAAAUAACAAGGUUUUUGUUAAAAUACGUAUGAGUACACAACUACAAUUUAAGUUAAAUUUUUUAAGUAUUUGUAUGAGUACAGUGGCAAGUACCAAGCAGGUUCUGGAGGUUUGAUUUGAUUUAUUCAGAACUAGGCGUAAGGAAUGGAUUUUACCACCGUUGUGUGAAUUAAUUAAAUUUGGUUGCAAGGGUCUGACUGCCAGUCUGACUAGCCGCAUAAGUCUGUAAGCUCUGCAUUUAGGUUAAAUUUACUUUCACCUCACCUCAAAUCUGGGAGUGUUUGAUAGGGAUCGACCAGUAAUGGUUUUUUAGAGCCGAUACGGAUAAUCUGUGAACUUUCAGGCCGAUAGCCGAUAACUUGCCGAUAUUCUGUAAAUUUACCAUUUUGAAGAAAUAAACUAUUUCUAAAGGUAAAUGCACAAAAUAUACAUGCCACAUGUAGUGGAUGCAGUGUGUUUAGACAGGGGAGCUGUGUGUGUAGUGGAUGCAGUGUGUUUGUGUAGUGUGUAUCGUGAAUGCAGUGAGUGUGUAUAAUGAAUGCAGUGAGUGUGUAGUGUGUAUAGUGAAUGCAGUGAGUGUUUGUGUAGUAUGUCUAUAGUGAAUACGGAUAAUCUGUGAACUUUCAGGCCGAUAGCUGAUAACUUGCCGAUAUUCUGUACAUUUACCAUUUUGAAGAAAUAAACUAUUUCUAAAGGUAAAUGCACAAAAUAUACAUGCCACAUGUAGUGGAUGCAGUGUGUUUAGACAGUGUGUUUAGCUUGUAAAGAGCUCGGCGGUCCUAGGAGGUAUUAUCGGCAAUAUCGGUAUCUCUAUUGGCCGAUACCGGUAUUGCCGAAAAUACCGAAUAUCGGCCGGUAAUAUCGGUAAAACCGAUAAUGGGUCGAUCCCUAGUGUUUGACCCAAUAUGCAUUAAUUGACAACUGCCUUGCACUUAUACUGGCUUGAUGCAAUCUGCAUCCUAGCGUGAGAAGCUGGGCAGGACAUGUGUCUGAUCACCUAUGUGUAUGUGUAGGAAACCUUCGGCUCGUCAGAUGUUUUGUACUUCAUCUCCCAUGAUGCUUUGCCAGCAUUAUGGCUGGCAGUAAUAGCAUCCCAUAACAACACCUUAAGUGCCGAAGGUUGACCAUCUGGACUAUCUAACCCAACUCUGCAGGAUUGUAUAUUCGGUAAGUGAUGUGAGUCCAUUUUAACUAAUGACUCCUUACAUUUUUCUGCUAUUUAUGCAGACUUGAUUUCUUUUUCCUUGCUCCUAUUGAUUCCUCUUCUCUCUCAGGAUCUGUUCUUCAUUUCUUCCUAACUGCUCUAGUUUUCUGGAAAGAUUUUGUAUUUUUCCUACGCUUGACCAGCUAUGACCCAGGGGAGGAGCAGAGUCCACACAUGAGCAGCGCAUGGGGGUCCUAGUGACAAUAGGGUUGGAGAACUAUUGUCCCUCCCCCUUCUCCCACCCAUGAGCAGUGGGUGGGGGCCCAAAAUGACAAUAGGGGAUGACCUAUUGACCCCCCUUCUGUCUCCCUGACUCCUACCCAUGAGCGGCGGGUGGGCAGGGCCGGUGCAAGGAUUUUUGCCGCCCUAGGCAAAAGUAAAGUUUGCCGCCCCACCCCCCCCAUAUGACAUCACAAUGCCCCAUUUUAACUAACGCAAGUGCUGCAGUGCCGCCGUGUUUACAUUAAAAGGCCUGCAGGGACAGGCUAUAGACACCAGAACCACUACAUUAAGCAGCAGUGGUUCUGGGGACUAAAGUGUCCCUUUAAUGUGAGGUAAAUUAGAGCUUAGUGCCACGAAUAAUAUACUAGAUUGCCUACUUACAAUCAGAUGAGGAUGGUGAUGGGCUCUAGCUGCAGUCUGGCUCCACUUGUCUGGUGUAGAACAGGCUCUCUGGAGGCUGUUUGUGUUCUGGGAGAACGGGAAGCAGCUCCAUUUUUUUAAGGCCCUUUACACAGCUCAAGGUCUGGGCCCCAGGGUCCACCUUCAUGUUCCACCAAUUAUUUUGUUCACAGGAGUAGGGGAUGUCCUGAUAUGUGUGUAAGGAAUGCAUUGUGUGAAUCUGUGUUUGUAUGUGUAAGGGCUGCAAUGUGUGUUUCAAUGUAUGUACGGGAUGCAGUGUGUGCGUCUGUAAGGGGUGUAUUGAGUGUGUGUAAGGAAUGCAUUGUGUUUCUGUGUGUGUAAGGGAUGCAUUGUGUGUAAGGGUUGAAUUGCUUGUGUGUGUGUGUGUGUGUAAUGCAUUGUGCGUUUUUCUGUGUGCAAGGGGUGCAUUGUGUGUGUGUGUGAUGGAUGUCAAUCUCUCCCCCCUCCCUUGUCCCUCUCUUCUCCCCCUCUCCCUCCCUCGUCACUCUCUUCUCUCCCCCCCUUGUCCCUCUCUUCUCCCCCCCUUGUCCCUCUCUUCUCCCCCCUCUUGUCCCUCUCUUCUCCCCCCUCUUGUCCCUCUCUUCUUCCCCCUCCCUUGUCACUCUCUUCUCCCCUGCGUGUCCCUCUCUUCUCCCCUGCGUGUCCCUCUCUUCUCCCCCUCCCUUGUCACUCUUGUCUCCCCCGUUGUAACUCUCUUCUCCCCUCCCCACUCUCAUUCCCCCUCCUAACCCCGUCAAUUCCCCUCCCUGUCAAUUUCUCCCCCCCACCUUGUCAAUUUAUUCCCCCCACCCUGCCUGUCCAUUUAUCCCCCCACCCUGCCUAUCCAUUUAUCCCCCCCCCACUGUCCAUUUAUUCCCCCCCUCCCUGUCCAUUUAUUCCUCCCCCUCCUCCUGUCCAUUUUAUUUCCCCCUCCCCUCCUGUCCAUUUGUUCCCCCCCCUCCCCCUCCUGUCCAUUUGUUCCCCUCCUGUCCAUUUUGUUCCCCACCUCCCUCCUGUCCGUUUGUUCCCCCCGAUCCAUUUUGUUCCCCCCCACUCCCCUCCUGUCCAUUUGUCCCCUGUCCCAUUUAUUCCCCCCCUCCCUGUCCAUUUAUUUCCCUCCUUGUUUUGUUCCCCCUGUCCAUUUUGUUCCCCCCUCCUCCAUGUCCGUUUGUUCCCCCCCUCCUGUCGUUUAUUUCCCCUCCUGUCCGUUAUCCCCCCCCCCUCCCCUCCUGUCCAUUUUGUUCCCCCACCUCCCUCCUUGUCGGUAUUUCCCCCCUCCCCUUCCCCGUUUUAUUUCCUCCCCCUCCCCUCCUGUCAGUUUAUUUCCUCCCCUCCCCUCCUGUCCGUUUUAUUCCUCCCCCCUCCCCUCCUGUCCGGUUUAUUCCUCCCCCCCUCCUGUCCAUUUGUUCCUCCCCCCCUCCCUCCCCUAUCCAUUUAUUCCCCCCACCCUCCCUACCUCUAUUGUACCGUGGCCGAGCCCUCUAUUGGUCCGCGGGUACAGGUUGCUUUUGUUUCCUGUACCCGGCCGGACUAAAAGGAAGUGAACACUCAGUGUUCACUUCCUGUUAGUCCGGCCGGGUACAGGAGACAGCUGCUCUCUGUACCGGUCGGACCAUGCCAUAGAGGGCUCGGCCACGCUACAGAGAGGGAGCUGACAGGUGGGAGCGCUGAGCGCUUCCCUCCUGUCAGCCUCUCCUCAGGCUGCGCCCGGGCGGUGCGGUCCGCCCUCAUGGACGCACCGCCCGGGCAAAGCUGCAGCCGCCUGAGGCUCUUUACAGAGCGCUCGGGCGGCUGCAGCAUUAGGGGGGCCGGCGCUCCUGGCGGCGCCCCCUCCCAAGGGGCGCCCUAGGCGGCUGCCUAGUCCGCCUUACAGGUAGCGCCGGCCCUGCGGGUGGGGGCCCUGGUGAAAAUAGGGGGGAUGACCUAUUAUCCCCUCCCAGGCCCCACCCAUGAGUGGUGGGUGGGAGCCCUAUUGUCCCCCCACAACACCCACCCAUGAGCAGUGGGUGGGGGCCCAAUAUGACAUUAGGGGUGACCUACUGCAUCCCUCUAUUGUCAUUUUGGGCCCCCACCAGCCUCUUAUGGGUGGGGGCCAAGGUGGACACUAGGUCCCCCCCCCUAUUUUUACUAGCACCCCCACCCGCCGAUCAUGGGUAGGGGCCAGGGGGAGGCAGUAGGUCCUCCCCCCAUUGGAUCUGAGGGCACCCACCCACUGUUCAUGGGUGGAGCUGAGGGGGGGGACAAUAGGCUACUCGCUGUAUAGUAGACAUGUCCCUACUCGCGGUAUAGCAAGUAGGGGCAGAAGGGAGAUUGUAAUCUCCCUGAAUUACUCAAACUAAGUAAUCUUUAGUCUUUCAGCCUUUUAGUAGAUAGCUCCCUAAUACCGUGGGAAUUAGGGAGCUAUCUACUCGCGGCACGAAUAGGAUCGUAGUUUCAUUCAUUCUAAAUUCCGAUCCGAAACAAAACUCCUUCUGUUCUCAUUCGAACGCCGAAUGUAGCAGCAGGAGGAAGGUGAGAAUUGUGGGAAAAUUGCUUUGACCACAGGAAAUGGAGUGGACUUUGCUCCUCUCCUGGGUCAAAGCUGGUCAAGCGUGGGAAAAAUACAUAAGACAAAAUAGUCCCUACUUUGUCUUGUGUUUUAAAGAUAACUAAAGCAGACAGGAAGAAAUGAAGAACAGAUCCUGACAGAGGGAGAUGAGAGGAAUCGAUUGGGGAAAGGUAAGUUCGUCAUGACAGUGCUGCUUUAACUCACUUCAUGUAUGGUUUAGGUUCUGUAUUUAUAAUUAGUGGAACAGAAGUAGGAAAUCAAUAAAUGGUGGACUGUUGGUUAGCCUAGAAGACUGUGUUGGAAAAUGAUGAAGUACACAGUUGUUAUGAGAAUGUACAUGGAUUUAGUUGGACCGAAGGCAUAAUACAUCCUAAAAUUUAGCAGUUGGAACAUGGUCAUGUGUUUAUUAUGUAAACAGCAAAGGUGUAGUACUUAGACACAAAUUAGCAGCUCAGAAACACUCCUAUGGGUUUACCCUUACUCCCCUCACACAAUUUAAAAAAAUUAAUGGCUCUGCUUCAUGUGAGUGUUCCUAGUUAUUUGAGCUAUACCUCACUUCUGGACACUGUGCCAUCUGCACUAUAUUUUGUCUAUUUUGUUUUUGUGUAUGCUGCUCUCCUGCAUAUGCAUAAGUGUUAUUUAAGGGUAAGAUACCCCAUUUUAGCGAUCCACUUUCUAUACGUGUUUUUUUACUUAUAUGUGCAUUGUGUUUUUUUUUUAUGUUUUAAAUAGUUUAAAUACAUUUAAUAUUUUUUAUUUGGGCUGGUGGUAACAUUUUAGAAAUGUGUGACUGGACGCUCCAGGAUUUCUCCUACUUUUUUAUAAAAAGGCUCUAAAAACUGUUCCAAGCAGAAUACGACUGUAUUUUGUUCACACUGAGUAUGCAGUAUUCAUUGUUCUUGUUUAAAUUUUGUCCUAUUUAAUUCUAAAGCAGUCAUCAGCUCAUUGUGUGAUUCUUGGCAUUGAUGAAUCCCAUACAUGCAUUUAUUCCAUUUAUACAGACUUCACAGCCUUACUGGGAAACAACCUGAUGCAGAAUGAAAUAAUGCACUGUCUUAUUACUUGAAGUUAAUGCUAUGAAAAAUGGAAAAUUAUGCUCAUAUAGUAUUUUGUGUAGAAUAAUGAUAAGCACUUUAGUAGAAAUACCUACCCAACAAAAUUGUCAUUUUAUGCCUGGUUAAAAAUACAGUAGAAGUUCUUUGUAAAGAGGGGUUAAAACACUUCCUUUAUUCAAGUCAACCUGUCAUAUGUGUGCUAGAAGGUUUCUCAAAAGAGUUUUUUUUAAAAAAUAUUACCGUAGCCACAUUAUUCGAACAUGGCCAUAUAGUAACAUGCAAGAAUCACAUAAUACCUGACUUCUAUACCAGUGGUGUACACACAAUCCAUGGGGCCCCGGUACAAAACUGAUCCAUGGGGCCCCCCACCACCACUUCAUACAGACACACACAGACACACAUACAUACAUACAGACUAGGGAUCGACCGAUAUUGAUUUUUUAGAGCUGAUACCAAUAAUCUGUGAACUUUCAGGCCGAUGGCCAAUAACUUACUAAUAUUCUGUACAUUUACCAUUUUUUAAAAAUAAACUAUUUCUACACAAAUCUACUGUUAACUGAACAUGCUUAUUAUUUAUUUUUUUUGCAAAUCUUAUUUUUAUUAAGGUAAAUGCACAAAAUAUAAAUGCCAGUAAGAAUUUUUUAUGUUUUCAAGAAUAUAUAUAUGUGUGCAGUGAAUGCAGCUUUUCAAAUUAUCACAAUCUGUUAGAAAAACUUUUCAAAUUAUUUGUCUACAGAAGCCAUCCCUAAAAGAGAAACUGCCACGUCUUAGCUGGCCCUUCCUUCGUUCUCCCUCCGUGAUCUCAUUAAAUAGGUGGGUUUUACACUUUAGUAACACCCACUGCUGGUCCGCCCACACACCCCCUCUGUUUGGUGCUUAUUUGCCCUGCUUGGCAACACUUCCCCAGGCUUUGUUACAUCUGAACUGAGUGAUGUCAUGCCACUCUGUUACCAUACUCCAUUGCCAGCACUAGCAGCAUUUACUGGGGAGUUACCACAGCAACCAUAGAGUAUGUGCUGCGGUUGCUAUGGGUGGAGAAUAUUCAAAUAGGUUUUUCUCCAAAUUAUACAUUUGCUAGCAAAAAUAACUGCUAGCACGUCCUAUAGAUGGAAUGUUAAGCUUUUUAAAAAGAGCUAAAGUUGUUUCCACAAGAGGUUCCCUUUAACAUCUUUGGGGAUUUUUGUAGAAAAAUCAUUUGAAAAGGUUUUCUAGCAGAUUGUGAUAAUUUGCAAAUUUGAUCUAAAAUAUUACACUGGGGCCCAAGUCAUCAAGCAUAAGUACUGUUUAGGUUUUGUUGGUAUCCUCAGGUUUGGGAUAUACCUACAUCUUGGACUGUUGGUGUGGCCUGAGGAAUGGACUGGGAACCACUCAAUAGCUCAUAGCCAAACAGUAGAAGCUGGGUGAUGCUCCAUUUCUGUCGCAGAGGUGAUGGAGCACAAAUUUAGGUUAUUCUCACAGUCAAACCUGUACAUGAGUCCAGGAUACUGACGCAAAUAUUUCUGUCUGCAGCCUUGUUACAGAUCCAGGAACAUCUGUCUUCUUAUGUCAUAUUACUCUAGAGUCUAGACCUAUAAGCAUUUUGUUUGCUUGGCUGUUUAUAAACUCCAGACAUUUCCUUUUAUUCUAGACAUUUCAAUUUACUCAAACACAAAUAUUACAAGACCUUUAGCAAAUCCAAAUAUAGAACUAUUUACAGUGGACAAAAGUAAAAACAUUAUAUCAUGAUAAUAUUAAAUUGCAAAAAAAAAGCAUGGUUAGUUUGGGUCCGGACCCCAAUCAGGAAUCUUGGUCUAUCUGCUUUCAGUGGCUCUCACAGUUGUGUUUAAUUGGUUGGUGCUGCUCCUGUCUAAUAACUUGGACCACAAUAUGCAUAAUUGGAUUGAGAUCUGGUGAGCGGACAGAUCACUUUGGCGAGUUGAUGUAAUCAAUCCUGGACAAUUCGAGCCUGUGUCACUACUGAUUGCAUCUAUGAAACGUUAGCAACAUUUUGGUCAUAGGUCUAGUAUGUCCCAUCGCACAUUUGUUACAUUUUCAUUGUGUGGUAGCCCGUGUUUGUUACUGCUGAUAACCAGUAACAUUAUAGUUCUCCAAUUAAACCAAUGUAUCUGAAACAUACCGUCAUACCCUGGUCCAAAACACUUUAUUAUUUUAUCUGGGCCAAAACAAUAUAGUUUAAAAAAAAAAUAUAUAUAUACACAUGCACACAAUUACAUAACUGUAACUACCUGGGAAUCUGAUAAAAAACUAUGGGGCCAGACAUUCUAUAGUUCCUAUGUGCUGUCCAAACAAAAUGGGGGCUUUAUUAAAAUGCAUGGCCCAAAGAGAAGCCAGAUGGAUUAUACAAGACACCUAAUGUUACCUGUCACAGUAUAGUUACAUUCUUAUUUUUAAAUGUUAUUAAAUUCAUGUUAUAACAUGGAACACAUUCAUAGAUUUUAGAAAAUUUGUGCCAGCUGUGUGCUAUCUAUUUAUUUCUUUUCCAGAAAUUAUUUUUUGGUUUUAUGGACAAUGCAACUUAAACCUUAUUGUCAUUUAAUGUCUGCACUUAUAUCUAUUUGAUCCCUGAACUUAUUCAUUUGGUAGUUUCUGUUCUUUGUGUUAUUAUAUUCAGUCUGCCUCUCUGGUUUGCCUGACCUUAGUUUCUUAUUAGCCUGCUUCCAUACAGCUGGAAUGUUCCUUAGCAGUACUACGCAUCUUUUGGAUCAUACAAAAAAUGCUAAGCUGCAGAUGAAAACAUCUAUACAAUUGAAGGGGUGUCCUGAGUGUCUGCCAUUUAAUUGGUAUUAAACACCAUAUAUUCAAUUGAUGAAGCAAGAAAACCAUUUUAUUCUAUGUUACAGUAUUGUACAUUCAAGAUCCAUAGCGAUCUUCAAAUUUCUAGGACCCAUAGAAAACUUUCCCAUGCACAGUUACAGUCAGGUUCCAUGUUUACGUGGGUUGUGGUUCCAUUCAUUCAACUGAUUACAUGCUGCGAAAAGACCAGAGGCUUUAGUCCAAGGUUAAGUUUUACCCCACACAUAUUUGUACUUGAGCCCCUACCAGAAUCCCGAUUUAUACCACAUGCUAUGUCCAUCUUAAAACCCUAACAUAUUCCUGUUCAAUCAUUGAAACAUACACGUUAAUAUGACAAUGACAUCAGGAGUAGAGUGAUAUCGCUUAACACAUUAUUCUCAUUGCCCAUAACUUUUAAACAUUCAAAUUAGCCAUCACAAAUUUUAUGAAAGAAAGUGAGAAAGUGAUAGAAGAAAUGAAGAAGACAAGUAUAGUGAAGUGUCCCAUGUACUCUGCUUUAAUAAUAAGUGUACCCCUCUUUUGCCAGUGAAUAACUUAAAGGACCACUAUAGUGCCAGGAAAACAUACUCGUUUUCCUGGCACUAUAGUGCCCUGAGGGUGCCCCCACCCUUAGGGUCCCCCUCCCGCCCGGCUCUGGGGAGAGGAAAGGGUUAAAACUUACCUUUUUUCCAGCGCCGGGCGGGGAGCUCUCCUCCUCCUAUCCACCUCCUCUCCUCCCCUUCGGCUGAAAGAGCUGCGCACGUAUUCAGCCGGUCUCAUAUGGACGCUUGCGUCUUCUCGCUGUGAUUUUCACACUGAGAAUCACGCAAGCGCCUCUAGCGGCUGUCAAUGAGACAGCCACUAGAGGAUUUGGAGGCUGGAUUAACCCAUUUAUAAACAUAGCAGUUUCUCUGAAACUGCUAUGUUUAUUAAAAAAAGGGUUAACCCUAGCUGGACCUGGCACCCAGACCACUUCAUUAAGAUGAAGUGGUCUGGGUGCCUAGAGUAGUCCUUUAAUGGUGUGGUCCCUGAGCCUAUGUGGAGUGUCUGGUGCUAUAGGACUGUAUUAGCUUAAGAUAAUUACAUUCCCUGCAAUAUCAUUCCAAGCUCUAUCUACUAGAGGUUUGAGAAAAUAGGUAUAGAGAAGUCCUAGGGGACAGGGUUAAGCAGGUAAGAGAGAAGAAGGACGAGAUCAGCAAAGGGCGGUGGCAUUUUGAGUUGAUCUCUGGUGACCCGGAAAUGCCGGCAAUCCCCACCAUCUGCUCUCAGUAGUCCCCGAGUGGGGUCUCUUUUCUGUUACCUUAGGAAGUUCUCCCUCUAACUAGUGAAACCCUAACAUAUUCUAUGAAUAAUAUUAUGACAUCACAUUUUUUUACGGAUUUAUAGUAUUAUAUAUACUUGUAUUUACAAACACUGCACCUGCUGUAUUAUCCCAACACAAUGUUAUAUUAAAGGGAAACUAUAGUGCUGGGAAUAUAAACCCUCUCUCCCCCCUGCCCCCCUUCUUGACCUCUCCCACCUGAAGCCAAUAAAGGGUUAUAAACCCGUUGUCACUCAUCUGAUUCCAGAGCCUCCGCUCCUCUGCAGACCAAAAGUCUGCUUAGGACAUGGAUGCGCGCUAAUGGCUGUCUGGUAGGCAGCCACUAGAGGUGGAGUUAAGCCUGCAAUGUAAUUAUUGCAGUUUCUCAAUAACUGCAAUAAUUACAAUUGCAGGGUUAAAGGGACUGGGACACUGCACCCAGACCCCAUCAAUGAGCUUAAGUGGUAUGUUUAACCCCUUAAGGACCAAACGUCUGGAAUAAAAGGGAAUCAUGACAUGUCACACAUGCCAUGUGUCCUUAAGGGGUUAAUAAUGCAUCCAUAGCAUUUAAUGGAAUACUAUAGUCUUAUGAAAACAAAUUCCUGUGUUCUUAACGCUAGUUAGAUAGAGUCCACCAUUUUUCAAAUAAAAUGAAUAAAAUAAAAGUUUCACUUACCGUUUUCUUACCUCUCCACCUUCCACAAUGUCAUUAAAGGACCACUAUAGUGCCAGGAAAACAUACUCGGCUCUGGAAAGGGGAAAGGGGUAAAAACUUACCUUUUUCCAGCGCUGGGCGGGGAGCUCUCCUCCUCCGAUCCUCCUCCCUUCCUCCUCCUGGGCUGAAUGCGCACGCGCGGCAAGAGCUACGCGCGCAUUCAGCCGGUCACAUAGGAAAGCAUUCAUAAUGCUUUCCUAUGGACGCUGGCGUGCUCUCACUGUGAAAAUCACAGUGAGAAGCACGCAAGCGCCUCUAGUGGCUGUCAAUGAGACAGCUACUAGAGGGAAUGGGGGAAGGCUUAACCCAUUCAUAAACAUAGCAGUUUCUCUGAAACUGCUAUGUUUAUGAAAAAAUGGGUUAACCCUAGCUGGACCAGGCACCCAGACCACUUCAUUAAGCUGAAGUGGUCUGGGUGCCUAGAGUGGUCCUUUAAGGAGCCAUGGCCUUAUCCAUGAUGAUCCAAUCCAAUGCUCUUCAGAGAAGAGAAUUUGGGACAUGAUGUGCGGUGACUGCGUCAUGUACAUUAAAGGGACACUAUAGUCACCAGAACAACUACAGCUUAUUGAGUUCUGGUGAGUAGAAUCAUUACCUUAAAGGACCACUAUAGUGCCAGGAAAACAUACUCGUUUUCCUGGCACUAUAGUGCCCUGAGGGUGCCCCCACCCUCAGGGUUCCCCUCCCGCCGGGCUCUGGAGAGAGGAAGGGGUUAAAAUCAUACCUUUCUCCAGCUCCGGGCGGGGAGCUUUCCUCUUCCUCUCCUCCUUCCUUGUGACGUCAUCGGCUGAAUGCGCUUGCGCAGCAGGAGCCACGCGUGCAUUCAGCCAGUUCAUAGGAAAGCAUUUACAAUGCUUUCCUAUGGAUGCUGGCGUCUUCUCACUGUGAUUUUCACAGUGAGUAGCACGCAAGCGCCUCUAGCGGCUGGACUAGAGGCUCUAGAGGCUGGAUUAACCCUCAGUGUUUCUCUGAAACUGCUAUGUUUAUAAAAAAAGGGUUAACCCUAGCUGGACCAGGCACCCAGACCACUUCAUUAAGGUGAAGUGGUCUGGGUGCCUAUAGUGGUCCUUUAAGGCUUUUUGCUGUAAACACUGUCUUUUCGAGAAAAUGCAGUGUUUAUAUUACAGCCUAGUGAUAACUUCACUGGCAACUCCUCAGAUAGCUGUUAGAGAACCUCCCUGGGUCAUGGCUGCCUAAAAAGCAUCUAAACAUUCAGUGUCUCCUCCCUCUGCAUGCAGACACUGAACUUUCCUCAUAGAGAUUCAUUGAUUCAAUUCAUCUCUAUGAGGAGAUGCUGAUUGGCCAGGGCUGUGUCUGAAUUGUGCUGGCUCUGCCCCUGGUCUACUUCUUUGUUAGUCUCAGCCAAUCCUAUGGGGAAGCCUUGUGAUUGAAUCAGACCACCACUUCUGAUGAUGUCUGAGUCUAACAGCAUGCAGAGGUACAGCUUCAGGUUUGAAUACAGUAAGAUUUUGUUAUAUUUAUGGAGGCAUGAGGGGCUCAGGAGGGCUAGAUGGUGGUGUUAACACUAUAGGUUCAGGAAUACAUGUUUGUGUUCCUGACCCUAUAGUGAUCCUUUAAGAAUUCCCCAUAAAAACAAAAAAAAAUCAUUGUAUUUAAAGGGACACAGUAGUCACCAAAGCAACUUUAGCUUAACCCCUUAAGGACUGAGCCAAAUGUACACGUUGUGAUCAAAACAAAACGUAAACAAAAACUUUAAUUUGCGCUAUAUGUCUGUUCAGGCGUAAUUCACCUCUUUCAUUUUAUGUGCACACUUAUUAUAUAUCAUUUUAUUCAGGAGAAACAGGGCUUUCAUUUAACAUCAAAUAUUUAGGUAUAAAACAUAAUUUAAUAUGAAUAAAAUAUAAAAAAAUGGGAGAAAAUAAGAAUUUUAAAAAAAUGUUUAGUUCUACGUGACAUUUUAACUGUGAAUGUCAUAAUACUGUUUGAUUUUACUGCAAUAAAAUACACAUAUUUGUAUUCAGCGAUGUCUCACGUGUAAAAUAGUACCCCCUAUGUACAGGUUUUAUGGUGGUUUGGCAAGUUACAGGGUCAAAUAUAGCAUGUUAAAUUUUUCAGUUUUUUCACAUUGAAAUUCGCCCUGGGUUGUCAGGCUGGUCCUGCGAGUUGUAAUUAAUAAAAUUACCUAGUUAUGUAAAACUUUUACAUAAAUAUAUACGUAGAAUUAUUAUAUAUGUGUAAAAAUAGAAUUAUUAUAUAUGUAUAUAUAAUUUUUUUUAUUAUUUUUAUUUAUAUAUAGGUAUAUAUAUAUAGUGAUAUAUACAUAUAUACUUAUGUAUAUAGAUAUAUUAAUUUGUUCUACAUGUAUUUUGAUAUCAAUAUAUAUAUACAUAUAUUAAUUUUAAUUUUAAAAUACAGUUAGAAGAAUUUACACAUAUAUAUAUAUAUAUAUAUAUAUUUUUUAUUUUAUUACAUUUUUUAACGUAUUUACAGAUUUAUUUAUUUUAUAUUAUAUAUAAAUAUAUAUAAUGAAAAUUAUAUAUAUAUAUAUAUAUAUAUAUAUAUAUAUUUAAUCAAUAUCAUUGUACAUGUAUUUUGAUAUUAAUAUAUAUUUAUAAUUAUAUAUAUAUAUUAAUAUUAAAAUACACUUAGACAGUGUAUGUGUAUGUGUGUAUAUGUGUAUAUAUAUAUACUUAGAUCAUAUAUAUAAUAGAUAUAUAUAUGAUCUAAGCAUAUAUUAAUUUUACACUGAUUCCCCCUGCACUCCCCCUGCUGGCAAUGCCUUGGACGGCUAUGCCGUCCAUGUGAUCGUGAGGUCCUCACAAGGACCUCGCGAUCACAUGGCCCAGGAGGGCCGAAAAGGACGGAGGGGGACUCCCUGGGCUCCCAGGUGAGUCCCCAUACCGCGAUCGCCGGCGUGGGAUUGACAGCGACCGGGUAAGUACAAAGGACAGUUUGGGCGUUCUAUGCAGCCCCGCGGCGUUUAGAGCCGCUUCUUUAAGGACGGUAUAGAAUGCCCGCCGUCCUUAAAGGGUUAAUAAAGCAGGUUUGGUGUAUAGAUCAUGCCAUUGCAGGCUUCCUAGAUCGUUAAAAGCCAGCAGGUGGCGCUGCAUACUCCACAGCCAAAAACACCAAGUUGGCAGAUAGCAUCAGCAGGACAGGAGAGCACAUAAGACAUUUAACAAACAAUACACACCCUGCAUGUAUAAUGAGCACAGGGAGACAUAAAAAAAACCAUCUGGGAAAUCAGCAGAGAUGUCCAACAUAUACAAACAGACAGCUUCAUGUUUUCCAACACCAAUCCCAAUCAGACAUAAUCCCAGUUCAAGGUAGAGCAACUCUGGGCAAAAUGGAGGCCAACCGUUCCUAAAAUAGCUGCCAGAGAGAAGUGCAGAUUUAAAUGGUUCCAGUGAUGGUGACUGCUGUCACAAUAAGUACCAUGUUUUUUAAUUAGUUUUGAUUGCAUUGUAGUUUUCAUUUGAUAUUUAUGUGUAACUCAGAGCUGAAAACCAUAUCAUGUCAAAACAAAUGUAUGAAACUCAUAAUACAUAAUCGGGAUCAAAGGUAAUAUUCUUCAUAUGUCUAAUUUUAUGAUUUGUUGUCUGCUGAUUACAAUUCCAUUAUUUUUUUUUCUUAUUAGAGCUUGGAUUUCUGUUUAAUAUUGUCACAUUAACUAUAACACUGUUUCACAGACAUAGAUUUAUCUAGCUGACAUUUGCAGUGAGAUGGUUUCACGUCUUGCUCUGUCUUUGGUGUUUGGCAUUUAAACGUGGCAUUAGGGUGUAAAGUGGCAACAGCGAUGAACCCAUGGCAAAGUUGAUAGUAGAUAUAAAAGUUAUUUUUGGUGGAGAAUCAGUCAUUUGGGACUUUGAGUGGCCACUUUUCGGCACAAAAAACUUUAUUGAUGAUUUGCAGUAAUCCACACCAUGGAUAUUUCUGUUUAAAUCCUUAUUUAACUUAAAUGCCAGCUUAACAGUAAAUAACACCGUUUCCAGAAUUCGUGUUGUGAAAAAGUCAUUUUUUUUUAAUUUUGCACAUAAAGUAAAGACUAAAAGUUGAGAUUUGAAAUGUUAUGCUUGCUGGCAUGCUUGCAGACUACUUAUUUAGCUUCUUGCCGUUAGCAGAUGCUCAUACAUAUUCAUUCCAGAAUUUUACAUUGAAAACCUUAUAGAAGCUCAAACGAUUUUGUUCCCUUUUUUGUUAUUAACCCUUUAAACACCAGAGGAUUGUGCAACACGUUUGUACGUAAUGCACUGAUUAUUGUUGGGUAGGAAAACCGUUUAUCAUUGCCAGUUAGUAGGCCUACAUACUUUCAAUAAACUCUUAAUGUCCUGAAAGCACUGCAUACCCUUUACUGUUGCACGGCAACUAACUCAUAGCAACCAUAAUAGAUUAAAUUUCUAGGACUGACCAUGCUGGAUAUAAUAAUGAAGCAAGAACUUCAUUGUGGGUUCUUAAUCACUACAUGAAACUAUGUUUUAAGGACAUUACUUGAUCAGAAAAUUGAAAGCAUUUUCGUAUAUAUCUAACUUAAUGGUCUUUGUGAUACUGUUACAAUGAUGUAUUAGCUUUAAUAUGACUGAUACAGUCAGUAACAAUGUUUAAAGGGACAUUCCAGGCAGGCACUAACUAUAUUUACUUGCAUGCAAUAUGUGAUGGUACUCUAUGGAGAGUUUAGUUUAUUAUUUUUAUCCCGCUAGUUAGUUAGUAAAAGUAUGCUACUUUUUCUCUGCCUAUCUGAUAUUUGUUAUAUUGUAAAGACAAUGACAACAUUCAGCAGUCCAAUAAAAUAUGUUAGGUGCAGUUUCUUAAAAUAGCAGUGCAGUAACCAUAACAACUGCAUGCUUAUGAAGAGGUUAUCAUGGCAUUAGCCUCUGGGGGCCAUCCCCUGAUUCUCAAUCAAACCUGUUUAGUUCGAGUAGUAUAACCAAAUCUGAAGGGGUCCAAAGCACCCAUGGGUCAUCCCCCUUCUCACCAGAAUUGCUAAUGCAGAAGAUGUCCUUCUACAUUAGCAAUGUAUGCUCUAUAUAAUUCCGUUUCAUGCAUUGUUUAAUGCUAUUCAUUGGGCGGCUCUGUCAAUUGACUUGUCUACUUAACAUACAGUGUGACAUAGAACCGAGGAGUAGCAACCGCAGUCUGAUGACACCGAAAAUACUAAAUUGAUAUGUAUUCGUUAUAGUGCCUAGAGACGGUUUCUUUAAUGUGCCAAAUAUCCUGUGAACUGUAGACAAAGGUAAGUUGGCCAACCCGGAGACUUACUGUGCUAACAUUCCCUACUCCCUCCCAGCUUAUCACAUUAGACAAGCUGCAGCAGAGAGGUAUGGUUUGAGUGCUAAGAGAGCCUCGUUUUUCACUUCCUCAUUAUCCAUGAUGAUGUGAGCAAGCAUUCAGUGUUGCUGUGCAAUGAAUGAUAGGCAGAGAGAUACUGGGCUAUGGCAAGGUUCUGCAGGUCUUCUUAAUCUGCUGAAUUGCUAUUGACCAAACUAUUUGUAACAAUAAUUAGGAGAUCAUAUUCCCAAUUACUUAUUUAAAGGGACACUAUAGUCACCUGAACAACUUUAGCUUAAUGAAGCAGUUUUGGUGUAUAGAACAUGCCCCUGCAGCCUCACUGCUCAAUCCUCUGCCAUUUAGGAUUUAAAUCCCUUUGUUUAUGAACCCUAGUCACACCUCCCUGCAUGUGACUUGCACAGCCUUCCAUAAACACUUCCUGUAAAGAGAGCACUAUUUAGGCUUUCUUUAGUUCUGUUUAAUUAAGAUUUUCUUAUCCCCUGCUAUGUUAAUAGCUUGCUAGACCCUGCAAGAGCCUGUAUGUGAUUAUUGUUCAAUUUAGAGAUUGAGAUACAAUUAUUUAAGGUAAAUUACAUCUUUUUGAAAGUGAAACCAGUUUUUUUUUUUCAUGCCGGCUCUGUCAAUCAUAGCCAGGGGAGGUGUGGCUAGGGCUGCAUAAACAGAAACAAAGUGAUUUAACUCCUAAAUGACAGUGAAUUGAACAAUGAAAUUGCAGCGGAAUGAUCUAUACACUAAAACUGCUUUAUUUCGCUAAAGUAAUUUAGGUGACUAUAGUGUUCCUUUAAAUGUAGAGUAAUUGGACAAUGUGUGCUAAGGAAUUCACGUUUUUUAUUAAAACAUUUACAAAUGCUUUGACAAAAAUGAGAGGAACUGCACCUAUAACUUCUUUGCAGCAUAACCACAACAGUUAGUGGCUCUUCAGAUAGUCCCUUUACUGUGCAGCAGAACAGCUACCUGUAUACCUGUUAUAGCCCUCCUCACCUUAAUAUCCAUUCCACAGCAAUAUUCUUUAACCUGUUAGAGCAAUAACAAUUUUAUUUUCAAAUUGCCUAUAUAACUCUAUAAAAUUCAAGGCAAUAGUCAUUACUUAUUGCAUUUCCCCUUAUGUAGUAACAUCGUGCCUGCAUGUGUCACUUACAUCUGUGUUGUGAAUAAAGACACAAGCCCACGCUACUUAGUUACAUAUCUAUUUUCCCCUUUCUGUGACCCAAGUGGCAAUUGAUACAAUUGGGGGGUGGGGGGAUUGCCUUCUUUUGGAUCAUCAGCAUAAAAGAAUGGGCUUCAGUGUUGAUCUUGACGGACUUUAUUUUAAAUUUUUUUACUUUGACAACUAUAUAACUAUAUGCAAUUGGGCCACAUAUUUAGGAAACCUUGCUGUUUUGCCCAAUAUGAAGCUGGCAACCUGAUUCUCUUUUAACCAAGAACAAGCCAUUCAGUAACAGUUCACAGAGAGCGCCUAACAUUUCCCAUUCUAUAGGGAGGUCAUUAACUUGCCUUUGACACGGCUUCUUGUGGCAUGGAUAAAAAUGAGCUACGUCAACAUAGGUUAUAAUUACUCUUAUGGGCUUUUUUGUAGUCCCUUGAUACUAAGACUCCAAGCCAUAAAAAGUCCUGAAACAUUAGUAUGAUAUUUUACAUAAGAAAUAAUUCAAAGCUAAAAGCUGCUAUGAUAAACAAGGUUAUAUUUCGAUAGCUAGGAAACAACCAAUCGAAAAUAAUAAUAAUAAUAAAAAAAUACAGGUUUUUCUUGUACUAUUAUGUGUAUACUUUAUAACAUAAAGUAAAUGCAGAUUACAUUGGUAUAAAUAGUAUAUUCAUUAAUAACAGUUAAUUACAAAGAGAUGAAUUGCAAUUUUUAACAUUUUUAUUUAGACAAGUACAGCAUAAUUACAGAAUGCAACAGCCAAUAUCCAUACAACAUUGUUGGUAGUUUUAUGGUUAUAUCAUUGUAACCUAUAAUAUCUUAGGAAUGACCACUUGGGUCAUGGGGAAUCUGUGUGGGAACUCUGUAGGAGAGUAAGCUGUCUAGCUUUGGACCUGAUAUAAUACAAUAGUGACUUUCACGUCUAAACAAAAGUGCUCCAAGUGCAAUAUUUUAAACAAAAUGGAGUAAUCAAAAAUACACUCCCCUUUUUUUGGAUAUAAACCCGACGAUCUCCUCACAAUGAUCUUCACAAAGAAAUAUAUAUGUACAUGGUGUAAGUCCUAUUUAAGGGAAGAAAUGACACAACAUAGUGCAGAGCUGUGAAUUCGCAAUAUUUGAAUAUAAGACAAAUGGCCACUCACAAUGGUUAGAUGUUAUAUUAGCCUUCAAUAUAUGUGCAGGUGCAGGUCUGUUGGAACUUCAGGAAGAUUGUUCCCUCCAAUUUGUAAAGAGAAACAAUAAAGUUUCCAGUUAAGAGGCAAUCCAAAACAAAAGUAUAAAAAUUUACUUAUUCACUCACAUAAAAGCUUUGGACCUGGAAACCGUCACCUCUACAGGACCUAAACUCAGUGUUUUCAUUUUGUUAGUGUUAGUGUUGUACCCGUUGUUGCUAGAUUGCAGGAAGUAGAUGAGAUAGCGGGGAAAGAAGAAUGGUUGAGGAAAAGGCGCGUAGGAGAGACGUUUGUGUCUGUGGGAGGGUGGGGAGAGUUGAAGGUGGGUGACAGGAGAAUGGAAUACUUAUAUGGAGAAAAAAAGAGAGAGAGAGAAAAUUACGAAAAAAAGGAGGGUGAGGGGGGGAAGAAGGGGAAGGGAGAGGAGUGGACCAGAAAGAAGGGCAUCACUUCACCCUGAUCUACCUGUUGGCCAUCCAACGAGUUGCGUGCUGGGGUCUGCGAUCAGUUAGACUCCAGGGUCAGAUCGGAUGAAUUGCAAUUGAAUCUAAUGUUAAAUUGCAGACAUCACUGCUAUGCAUAAAUAAUUCAAAUGCUAGUAUGUUCAAUUGUGUACUUUAUCAGUGAUUAUUAAUGAUAAUGCUUGUAUUAGCUCUGGUAAACUUCAAAGAUAAACUCUAUGUCCAGAAUUGCGUAUUUUAUAAUGCAUAAAUGAUUAUUACAAAAAAACUCAAAAACAUAUAUUUACUAAAGUUUGCACAAAUAUUUCAUAAGCUGUCAAAAGCUCUACAGCUCUACAGCUAAUGAAUAUACAUUUGUCUGGUUUCUGGGCUCUGUAAUUGCAUAGCCUAGGCAUAGCCAUGGCAAACUUUGCAAUUUAGGAGGAGAAAUAGGAACAUUGUUUAAUUUGUCCUCAUCCCUGUAUGAUUUGUCUAUGCUUACUGUCGGGUACAAAAGGCACAGAUGAUAACAAUGAUUGACAGGGAGCUUAGAUGAAAGUGCCCAAUUGCAGGAUGAAACAGUGUGGGUUUCUAAAACUUUAUUUUUCCAGUCUCAGUAAUAUAAAUUUCUUAAAGGGACACUCUACUACCAAAAUAAAUAGAUGUACCCCCAAUAAAAACAUGUAUUUUUUUUGGUUGCGGGUAUAUCAAAGCUGCAAACCUUUUGGAUGAAAAUAUUUGCAUGAUAUAACAGCUCCACUUAUUGUAUAGCAGACUUGUCUGUCUGAUUGAAAAUGUUGCUGCUACAAAUAUAACAAUGUACGUCCUGUAAGUGUAGCAUUAGCAUGAUUUUAAAAAGUAUUACGCUUAGUUACAAAUGUUUAGUGGAUGAGAAUUGUGUAGUUAACAUGUGGUGAACUUGUUUUGUGUAUGUGAAGGAGGGCAAAACUUACUACAUAAUUAAAAAAAAUAUAUAUCAAUAAUAAAAUAGUGUUUAAUAUUACAUUAUUGUUUGUUUAAUAGUAAUAACUUUGAUUAACAUCACAGAAAUGAUCCCAGGUGCUUACACUGACAUUGGUGGUUUAAAGAGAUGAGCUCACCUGUUCCUGUCUUGUGCUUCAAAACUGACAUUCAAUGAUGUAUGCUUUGUGCGCACAAUGUGUAUGGAUGGUAAUAUGCAAUAUUGCCCUUGUGUCUUAUUGAACAUAAAGUUAAAGGGACACUAUAGUUACCCAGACCACUUCAGCUCAAUGAAGUGGUCUGGGUGCCAGGUCGUUCAGGUUUUAACCCUUCAGAUGCAAACAUAGCACUUUCAGAGAAACUGCUAUGUCUACAUUUGGGGUUAAGCCAGCCUCUAGUGGCUGCCUUCCGGACAGCCACUAGAGGCGCAUCUGCGACGCUGGAGGCAUAUUAUAACUCCAUCGCGCAGAGCGUCCAUAGGAAAGCAUUGAGAAAUGCUUUCCUAUGGACACUUUGAAUGCGCGCGGCACUUGAAAUAGUCGGACGGGAGGGGGACCCUGAGUGUGGGGGCACCUUCAGGGCACUAUAGUGUCAGGAAAACCGCUUUGUUUUCCUGACACUAUAGUGAUCCUUUAACCUACAGUCAUGUGAAAAAUGCAUAGCAUUAUUACAAUUUCUCAUCUUAAAUUGCAAAGAUUUAUAUAAUAACUAUGUAACAGUAAUCUGUGUAGAUUCCGAAAUAGUUUGUUUAUAUUUAAUGUUAAAAUGUAGAGCAAGUCUGACUUUUAUGAUUCAUAGGGAUUUAUUUUCUAAAAACUAAAUUGUAAAGCAUUGAAAAAGCAAACUGCAGAUUUUAGGCACAAAAUAGUCAAUUUGGAAAAGUACAUCUUGGCUAUUUUAGCCCGACUAUUACAAUUUAGUUUUCUAUUCACUACAUUUUAUUGUAUACUGUGAUGAGUAAUCCUCAAAUUGUUACUUAUUCCAUAAUGUGAACUGCAACUUGCUUAAUGCAGACCUGGUCAAAUAUGAACACUGGAAGUUGAGAGAAAUAUCCCCAAGCACUCAGACCUUAGUAGUACAUUAGUAGAACAUUCCACUGCACACCAAUCUUGUUAGAAAAGUACUACUAAGAUCUUGUGUGGACACUAAGGAUCGUUUGGGGGAUCGUUUUUCUAUUAGAGUUUUACUAAGUUCAGCACCAAGGAUGUGGAUGUUAAAUUGUAGUCACAUGAUAUGCAUCUAAUAACUGGUAAAGAUAUUCCAUGAGAUCGUAGUUGCGGCAAUCUGUUUGUUCGAUUGUUUAACUGGAAGUUGAAAGUCUGCAUUAUCUGAGAUGCAACAGAGGGAGAAAGAACUGGGUGCUUAGAGACAGAUUUUCUUUUCUUUUGGGUGAGAUCAUUUGAAUAUGGUUUGACACAAAUAGAGAGACAGCAGGCAAAGCCUUAGAACACCAUCAACACUACAUUGUUUUGUAGUGCUUCUGGUACUUACAGUGUCCAUUUAAAGCAUGGUGCAGAUGUAAUAGGAAUUACCUCUUCAAUGUGCAGGGAAUACUCAGAGUAAGCAGUUAAUGAGAACAACUUUCACACAAAGUAGACAUAAGAAUGACUAUUGUAAUUUGGCUGUUAAAGAACUAAACUGGCAAAUAAUAUUUAAUAUUGGAUAUUAAAUUAAAGCAGCACCAUCAACCCCCUUCCCUGAAAAAAACGUAUUUCAUAAAGAUAGAUCCUCUGCCUGACUGUCUUAGAUUCAAGGCAGAGUCACUAGUGGUUUUGCCUGUGUCUAUAUCCAUAGACCUCAAUGCUGUACUCUUGUGAGUGUGUAAGACUACAGCAGUGACUUUGACUUACACCGCGAGAAAGAUGGUGGAGCCCACAAGGUUAUCACCUUUACCUGCCGCCCCCCCCCACACCCCUGCUGCCACCAGAUGCCCAGUGGCGAUGUCAGCGUUGGGGGACUUUGAGAAUUCGGCAGGCGGCAGUGCUGGUUAAACAAAGUACCUGGUGACAUAGAGUUGCAACCAAAUGCAAGAUAAUAACUUAUAUUUCUCAAUAUAAAUUAUUUUUAAGUCAGUAUUUCUUAUUGCCUUUUACCCUUUAGUUUUAAGAAUGUAUAUCCGCCUUUGCACAGGACCAUAAAGACUGUGCCAUAAUAUUGACAAUCAUACCAUUGAUUCAUACGUUUAAUCUCUGUGUAAUUAUUAUAUUUAAUAUCUUAAGAAUUGUUGUAAUGGAAUUAUUGGGAUUAAUAUGUUUUACCUACUGGUAGCCCUCCCUGCACCCUUGGAAGUACUAGUGGACUAAUUAAAACUUCUUAGAUGCAAACUCUGGCUAAUUAACACAUUUCAUGUAGUUGGUUGCAAGGUAUAAUUAACACCUUUUCUGCUGCUGGUAGUAUUAGGUCAAUUAACUCCAACAUUAAUACAGGUGGUACUGCCUAAUUAAAAACAUCAAUGCUACCUUGGUUAAGGGCUAACGCUAACACUUUCUCCAUGUAUUCCCCAUAGAUAGGUAGAUAAUUAACCUUUUCUUUCAGUUUAUACAAGAAUAUGGUUAUUAUGUGUGUAUACAAUGCUUUGGUUCUGUGUAGCUGGGAAAUCUGUGUUCUUUGCACCCAUUGACCAUGAAAUGUGACCACUAAAUAAUUUGACCACUAAAUUAGACUGUGUGCUCACUGUGAUCAUGUGUCAUAAUUGGAAUAGAAUUGGGAAGUUCAUUAGCUUCUGGGACAUCUGUGAGUGGAAAGCGGAGUUGUGUAACAUAAGUCGACAUUUCAGUUCAUCAAGUAAGCUUUCCUUGAGGACCCUGCUGUGACCUGAGUCUAGCAUUUACAGCCCUCCUAUGCAGUACUAAGCUAAAUGGCUCGUGAGCUUGCAUUAUUAUAUAUAAUGGGCCCAAGAAUGAGUAAUACAGUAAAAAUGCCACCCAAAGGGGGGAGAAAAAGUAAUCUUUAUUAUAUAUACCUGGGGUCCAGGCCAUUUUCCCAGUUUUGCACCCCUCCCUGUCACAUGUGCCUCAUUCCAGGGCCCUAUUUAACCUUGACCUGCAGAGAGUCCUAGGAGGAAGCAUUUCCCAAGUAAGUGGGUUAAUCUAACAAGAGCAUGCAUUAGAAGUACAUUGGCGUGGUGGCAAGCUUAUACAACAUAUGAUCAUAUACUGUAACUACACGCCCAUUAUUUUUUAGGUUAGAUGUUUUUAAAUAAAAUUAUUACCUUCUGUGAGCUUUGCAAUUUCUAUUUAAUGAAUGAACGAGUGUGUUUUAUAUAUAUAUAUAUAUAUAUAUAUAUAUAUAUAUAUAUAUAUACAACAAGAUCCAGUGUACUUGCUCUUGUAUCUUGUAUGUUGUAUAAAUUAGCCCCAGCUGAAUCCUAAAAUUUGUGCAUGUUCAGGUGAGUGCUACCUCUUGUUUUUUAUAUAUAUAAAUUUACUGCUGUUUAUUAAUCCAUACAAGUAUAUAAUAUCUAUAUAAUAUGAGCUCAACUUCAUUCUUCCACUCUCUACUCUUGUCCACACUCUCUUACAACUUCUAUUGAUUAAUAAACAGCAGUACAUUUAGCGGUGCUUUCAAUGUGUUUUUUAUUGCUAUUACAUAUAAAAUGUGCUCCUUUGUGUGUGUGAUCAAUAUAACUAACCAUACAGAUAGAACACAAUCACACCACAGCCUGCACUUAUCGUUUGUCCACUGAAGAGUAUGUCAGCGCAAUGCCUUUAUUGGACAUAACAUAAAAAAAUACAUUCAUGUUUUUUGAUGCAACAAUUGCAGGCAGUAUGCUAAUGAUCCCAGUAAAACAUGUUAUAAUUAGUGUUUGUAAAUAGAUUAAUACUCUUGAAUUUAUCGAGGGGCCUUUUUAACUAAGUGACCCUGCACCUUUCAUUGGAUGAUGGAACCUAAUUGCACUUUCUCUUGUCAAUACAGUGAGCUAAAAUUGCUGUGAAUAGCAUAUAUUAAUUAUAUAUGUUGACAAAAAGAACACUGGCACAUUUGCAAUCCUGGUUUCCUAAUAAAGAAAAAGAUUCUAUUCUGUUUUGAUAAACAGUAUGUUUUGCUCUUAUACACACAAAUCAGUUGGCAGGAUAGAAAAUAAUGUCAGAGUUAUUCACCAAACACUGUAUUUUGGCCUCGAUUUAAUAUCGUUGGAUAAGCUUUCCAAAUGAUUUAGUAUUUUUGGAUAAACUUUUCGAAUUAUUUAAUAUUAUGAAAAAUAAUAUUCAGAUUUUUAUAUAUAUAUAUUUACCGUAUUUUCCAGCGUAUAAGACGACUGGGCGUAUAAGACGACCCCCAACUUUUUCAUUUAAAAUAUAGAGUUAAUUCUUGUUCUUUAUGUUUCUUAUAAUGCAUUUUUAUUUAGAUCAUGCAUAUUGUCUAGCAUAUGCCAAAUACAAGGCUAUAGCUAUGACUAAUAUGAGACUUAUUUUUUGCUUAUAGCUGCUCAUUCUUUCUAGUAGUGAAUAUGUUUAGGAUGCACUUGUGUUUUACAGUCAUCAUCAUAUAUACAGAAGGGAAAAAAGAAAGAGUAAACUUUGUAGCAAAUGUUUUUAAGGUCAUGGCCCUUGUUUCCUUUUUUAAUCUGUGUUUAAAACUUUGGUAAAAGAGGUAUACAUUUAUUUAAUGCAGUUUACAGACUUUUCAAUGUACGGUACUCAUUUCAUAUAUUGUGUAUGUGUAUCACCUGUGUCUAGUGCUUUUAACAUGGCAUCAAACAAUACUGUAGCAACUUCAUCUUUGCAUUUUUGCAACAUAUUAACCGUAUGUGACAUCUUUAUUAAAAUUAUUUAACCAGACAGUUAUAAGGCAAGUAAAUGAGACUUACCUGCAAUCUCCUGCUGGAGACAAAAUCUCCCUGGCAGCCUGAUCCUAUGAUGUCACUCCCUAUCACAUGAGGGGGCAGGACAUCCUGAAGGGAUGGAUUCAAGCAGCACGGGGAUGCGGCCACGGCCGUUUUUGAACUCCCCCCACCAUAUGCGGCGACCGCAGAUUCUCCAGUCCGGCUCGGAAGUUUCAGCACCCGCCCUAUAAGACGACACCCGGCGUAUAAGACGACCCCCGACUUUUGUGAAGAUUUUCCUGGGUUAAAAAGUUGUCUUAUACGCCGGAAAAUACAGUACUUUUCUUUACUUAUGAUAUAUUUUUGAUGUUUUAAUAUUUUGAAAAAAUUAUUUUAAAGUUUAUAUGAAUAUGAAAUCAUUUGAAAAACAUCCAAAAAUAUUAAAUCGAGCCUUUGCCUGGAUGGACAUAAUCCAAUGAAAAUGAACGAAUUCCAACCACAAUGACAAUUCUUAUAUUUACUAAAUCCAUUUGUGACCGGAAUCUGCAGCAAUUCCCCAGAUGCAUUUGGUGUCUGGAUUAAAAUCAGUGUUUCUGUAUGCGAACCCUUUACAAAGUAUUACGUAGCAUGGGAAACCUUUUGUAAGGGCUUUUAUCACUAUGAGCCCCCAUGAGACAAAGUUGGAUUAUUUUUAUUGUGUCACAUUUUUCAUUUUUGUCAUAGGUUUUUGGCUUUUUUAGCAACUGGGCAGCAGUGGCUGCCCAGUGACUAGUUUUCAAAGUUACUAGAUAUGCCCCCAACUAACGCAUGUCAGGUAUGUGCAUAGGGAGGUUUUAAAUCACCCUUAUAGUGAUAUAGAGGUCUGUUAGAUUUUUUUUUAAAUUUAUUUUUUUAAAUUAAUUUUUAACUAUUGAAUGUAUUAACCCUUGCAGCAGCCAAUAGUUUGGAUAUUUUUAAAUCAGGGCCCAUAUUUAAUAUACUCGGGUUCUGAUUUUAAGUAUUUUAACAUGAAUUUCAGCCAUCUGGCGGCAUUAGGUCCAGCUUAAAUCUGGACCAAAUGCAGGCCCAUUUGGGGUCUGAAUUGCACUCCUAUGACUAGGGACCGGGUGUUCCGAAACAUGUAAGGAACAGUUUUUUUGCUUUUGUUUUCCCCUGUUUGUUUAUAUAACUUGUGGAAUAAACCAUUUCCUUUUGAAGUUGACACACUUGCUUUUCCUGGUAUAAUUUUUUUGUUUUUUCUUUGCAUUACUUCAUGAGGAUUUGGAGUUCCUUGCUUGGUGUCCAAGAGGGGUAAGUGGGGACUUUUUCUUUACCCCACUUUCAGUUUUUUUCCUUUGAGCUUUAAAUUCAUUUGUAUUUCACAGCACAGGGAUAUGAGCUCCCUGGUUUCCAAGUACCUUUUAUCUGAAUUACAAAAUCCAAACGUUGAAUAGCAUGAACAGUGUCCAGAUUUUGGAGUCCGAAUGACCCCGUAUGCUGCCGGAUGGUUUUUCCCAAUUCUAUAAAGAGCCAUUAAGACGCCCGUGGAUAAAGCCAUUUGUUUUUAUUUGUUUUUUAUUCUUUCUGUUUGUUUAUUUUUAUUAUUAAUAAGUUAUAAAUUUUAUUAACAACAAUAUUAUCACAUAUUAAAGGACCACUUAAUGAAGUUGUCUGGGUGCCAGGUCCAUCUAGGAUUAACCAUGCCUGCUGUAAACAUAGCAGGCAGGGUUUACCUAUAGGUUAAUCCAGCCUCUAGAGGCUGCCUCACUGUGUUUUUUACAGUGAAAAGACGUCAGUGUCCAUAGGAAAGCAUUGAGAAUGCUUUCCUAUUGACUGGCUGAAUGCACGCGCGGCUCUUGCUGCACAUGUGCAUUCAGCCGAUGAUGUCGCAAGGAGGAGGAGAAUCCCCAGCGCCAAGGGAGCCUGGCACUGGAGAAAGGUGAAUGUUUAACCCCCUUCCUCCCCCUUCAGCCCGGCGGGAGUGGGACCCUGAGGGUAGGGGCACCCUCAGGGCACUAUAAUGCCAGGAAAAUAAGUUUGUUUUCCUGGCACUAUAGUGGUCCUUUAAGUUGAUAUACAAUUCAAACAUUUAUGACAUACACAUAACAAAAAAAUAUCACGGAAAAUUGUUUGUACAUGUGUCUGUCUAUAUUGUAUUCUGUCAGUCCUUUAUUUUAGAUUUACAAAUAAGUGUUAAGAAAGGUGAACACAAUUUGUGUGCAAAUCCCUAUCCUAUCUUCUCUCCCAUUUCUCAUUCUAUGUUUUUUUCUGUCCCUUCCUUCCUUCCAUUCCCUUCUCUCUUUUCAGAAGGAUAAUGUAGAUGUGUAUGCUCUAAAUGGCGAAUUUGGGUGGAUUAGUAAACACAGUCUGGGGCAGAGUAGCCCAUUUGGAAAUAUUUUUGGGUAUGGAAGACUAAGAUUGCCAAAAAUGCAGUUAACACAAACACACAAUUUAGUUCAAAAGACACAGAGAUAGAGUGUCAAAAAAUAUUUCUGUAGUUACAGUAAAAGGAAGUUGUUUUUAUUUUAUUUAUUUUUUUUGUCUUUGAAUGUAUGUUCCUGGCAAAGUUAAAUCAUGCAUUUCAUAAAAUGCCUGAAAAUAUUUUUUUCUAAACAAGCAUGAUAUACUGGGAAAUAGAAUAAAAUGCAAUGCAAAAUAUAUUUAUAAAUAGAUUUCAGAAGCUCUUAAUCCUGAUUUAUGUAGAAACAUGCAAACAACUCUUUACUACUAUUUUAAAUUACAUAUAUUUGAAUUUCAAUCUGGUUUUUACCUUUUCUACUUAGUGUAUUUAAUACUUUGCCUAAAGCAAACAUUGUAUCAAGUAUGAAAAGCAUUCAGACACAGGAGGAUUCAAAUGAAGUUGGGUAACAAAUCGUAUAUUCCGUUUUUUUUUCCCACUCAAAGGAAAAGAGAGAGUAUGUGUACUUUUGAAAACAAUAUAUAAGUAAUCAAAUUUACGCUGUGACUACCUGCACAUGCUUUUAACAAAACAUGUAUUGCAUCAACUGCAAAUUCAAUAUCUGAGUAUUCUAUAUUAUACUGAGUUUUAACUGACAUACAACUCUCCUGUUGUUACUGAUAUACAACAACUGUGAUUCUCAGCCAUCCACAGACUUACUCAUCCCUACCAAGCUCAUAUCUACCUAGAAGAGAGUAGAGGACAUGGCUGUGGCUAUUUGUGUACACUAAGGUGUACCUGUAUAACCGAGCAUGUUGGAGUGUGGUGGUUAACAAUGAUGGAGUAUCAGCACUGUGUGUAUAUGUCCCUAGAUGAUACACAUGUUGUCCACAACCAGUCAGGCCUAUGAAUCCAUAUAUUGAUGAAGACAGGCUUGCACAUUAUACACAUGUUCUUGGGAUAUAUCAAUUUGUCAUUUUUCUUCUGGUAACAUCCCAGAAAUAAAUAGUAGAUAAAUAUCCUGGCCUUAAUAAACUUGCUAGCAUUGGAGGGUCUCUUAUUGUUCCAUACAGGUAUGCUAAACAAGGAGGCUCUAUGAGCGGGAGGGGAAUUUAGGAGGAUUGAAUGCACAUUCCUAAAAUGGUUGGCUCCCAUCUGACUAACAAACUACAGAUCAAUAAAGGACUCUUUUGGAUUGUAUGCUUCCAUAUUUUGACCUAAAAUGGUUCAGUGCAAUGGGUAAUGCAUUGUUAUCACCCAGCCAAUUUAACUGGAACGAAAAAAUCUUUUUGCAUUCAAGGGCAGAUGUGUUACUUUUUUUUAAUUUAGUUAAUGCAGUGGUUCCCAAACUUUUUAGGUUCAAGGUGCCCCGGAAUAUUUCAAUAUUUUUCCAAGGCACCCCAAGUCAAAACAAUUUUCUAGGUUGUAUAUAUGUACAGCGCUGUGCCAUAUACUGGGCCCCUAAUCUUGGGAGUGGCACUGGUAGAUUAUUUAAAGAAACAAUAAAGGCACAAUAACCACUGCGUUACGUUGAAGUGGUUACGGUGCCAGUAGUGCCCAGUAAUAACAGUUUGACAACUCACCUGGGGUCUGCUGGGCUGUAGUGUGUGUGUGGGGGGGGUAGGGGGUAGUGUGUGUGCAUGGGUGGCAGUGUGUGUGUGUGUAUGAAGGGGCAGUGCGAGUGUAUGUGGGAUAGUGUGUGUGUUUGGGGGCAGUGUGUGUGUAUGUAUGGGGGGAAGUGUGUGUGUAUGGGGGAGCUAUUUUGUCCUCUGGGGUCUGUGAGGAGAGGAGGGCAAAUUAAUAAAUAUAUACUUUAUUUUUUAAUUAAAAAUAAAAAUGAUGUCCCCCCUCCCUGCUUACAUUUGCCUGGGAGGGGGGACAUUUCCUGUAAUACCUGGUGGGGAAGCCCUGUUGGUGACAGUGAACUCUAGCAGCCUCAGUACCACAGCAACGCUCCGAGCUCGCGAGAGGAGAACCCAGCGGAGCUGCAGGUUAGAACUCCCCCAGGUCCUCUCUCCCUCCCUUCCCGACGGCUGUCACCAAAGUGCUAGCGGCCCGGAGAGGGAGUCCUGUAGAGCCGGCAGAGGAGAGCACAUGAUCAUAUGAUCAUAGCACCGGGGAAAAACUGGCGGCUCCCCUUUGUGCCCAUCGCGGCACACAGUUUGGGAACUUCUGAGUUAAUGUGUUCAGUCAUCUUUUUUAUUAUAUAUAUAUAUAUAUAUAUAAGAAAUACAGAUAAGGUGCACUCUCAGGUCUUAACAAGUGCUUAAUUUAUUUUAAAUGCAAAUUACAUGUGCAAACAAAUUCCAGUGAUCGACACGUCGAUCACUGGAAUUUUUUUGCACAUGUAAUUUGCAUUUAAAAUAAAUUAAGCACUUGUUAAGACCUGAGAGUGCACCUUAUCUGUAUUUCUUAUUAUUUACAUUAACGCUGAGGUUUGCACCCAGCCAAGAGUUUUAAUAUAUUUGCAUCAAAGGAUGAGUGCCAAGUUUACUUCUUUUAUUUAUAUAUAUAUAUAUAUAUAUAUAUAUAUAUAUAUAUACAUACACACACAACAGCUACUUUGUGUACUCUUGCAUAUUAUUAUGUUUAUUAUUCAAUUGUAAAAAUUCAGUGUAUAGUUGUGAAAUGUAACUGUCUGAGAUUAAUCCACAGGAUCAGUUAUUCAACGCAUAGAAGAUGAUUUCCUAAGCACUGAAUUGUAGUCAAUUGAAAAGUGAUUUGAAAAUCACUCGUAUUUCUAGUUGCAGCAUCCUUGAAUGCCUUGAAUGUUACUGAGUUCCGUUGCACAAGUAGUGGCCAGCAUUUGUGAUGUGCUUAAAGGUAUACUAUAGCCAGCUGUUUUAUCCCUGCAUCUGAAAAUAUUAUAGUUCUGCAGAUGCUCAUUGCACAUUUUAAAGGGAUUUUAUAGGCACCAAAACAACUUUAACUUAAUAAAGCAGUGGGGAAGUGUGACUAGGAUUGUUAAAACAAAGUGAUUUAACUCCUAAAUGGCAGAGAAAUGAGCAGUGAGACUGAUCAGUUUGAACAUCUGUGCACCAAAACUGCUGCAUUAAGCUAAUGUUGUUUUGGUGACUAUAGUGUCCCUUUAGGUGAAUCUAGUAGAUUUCGCUCAGAAAGGCACUAGAGGUGUAUCCGAGGAGAUAGCAGAAUAAAACCUGCUGGGUUUUGUCACGCAUUUAUACUAGCCUCCCAAUAAGCAUUGGAUUGACUAAUUAAUUUUGAUGAUCUCAGCCAAGGAAGGCAAAGACUGACACUGCGAGGGGAAAAAAAGGUAAUUAAAACGACUUAUUUUCUACCUGCGGGUGGGUGCCGGCCACCUGAACAGCCACCAGGAAACUAUAGCAUUAGGAAUACACAUUUAUAUUCCAAAUGCUAUAGUGUGCCUUUAAGGUGCAACAUGGACAUAACAGGCAGGGUAGACGAAGAUGAUGCAUCCCAGUGGUAUAAUUCUGAAAAACAAAAUCUUAAAUAAUUAUUCUCUUUUCAUAUGGUAUCUUCUUUCAGGAGAAUUAAAAUAUGUACAUUUACCUCUUCAUUAAAACAGUGAAAUAUGGUGCUUGUUACUAAGGUUUCAAAUUGGCUCAGGAAUGAUUCUUAUCCAGCCUUAAUCAGCCUUUAAAAUAUCAUUUUGAAAAGCCACAUUGAUUUAUUUUGCAUGGACAGACAAUUAACCAGGGCAGCAAGCCAAGUUAACCUUAAACUGGUGCAGAAUGAAUCCAGUGAGAAAAAAGCUUGUAUUCCAUAUGCUGAUUUUGUGGUUUCUGAAAGUUAUACACUUUGAUACUUGCCCAUAUUUUGAUAUUUUUAUUAGGUAUUAAUUCCAGUGUGGUUUAUAUGUUCGGAUAGCUACUGCAAAGCAGUCAAUUGCAAACCACAGAAAGCUUACAUAUGAAAUUAAUGUUAAAGCCUCAAGUAAACCACUGGCCCGAAAACAAAGCUUUCUUUAAUGUCUAGCUAUCAGAAAUGGAAAUGCCAUUGCUCCUUUAUGCCCUGAGAUUUCUGAUAGGCUUUCUUUAGGUUCAUGAUCGGAUACGAAAGGCCUCCUAGAUAAGAUCUGUUGUCUGCAUUCUGUUUGCUGAGUGGCUGAUCAGGAUGACCAUUGAGGUUCUUUCCUUUGAGAUUAUGGAAAGAUCAUCACUUGAUUAGAAUAGAGUGAAAUUAUUGACAGUAUAGGUGCCCAGACCAUUUCAGCUCAUUGAGUUGGUCUGCGUGCAGUGCAACUGUCGCUUUAGCCCUGCAGCGGAAAGCAUUUCAAUUUUAGGGAAUCUGCAAUGUUUACAUUGCUGGGUUAAGCCUGCCUCUUGUGUCUGUAUACCAGACAGCCACAAGAGGCGCUUCUUGGCCUUUCACAGAGUCAUGUUUUGCAUUAAGAUGUCUAGCAUCUUCUAAAUCCCCAGAGGAAAACAGUGAAUCAAUGCUUUCCUUUGGGUAGGUCUAAUGCGCGAGCUGUGCAUAUGCAUUAGGUUCCCCACAUCGAAGAGAAGGUGCCCAACCCAGCACAGAUGGACAGAGGAUGUGUAAAUCACAUGCUGGGAGGUGUGCUUAUGGCCUAUGGCUGCAUAAACAAAGUGAUUUGACUCCUAAUUGGAAGAUAAUUGAGCAGUUAGACUUUUGUUUGAUGGUACAGUUUUGGUGUAUAGAUAAUGCCACAUGAUCUAUACAUUAAAACUGCUUCAUCAAGCAAAAAUUGUUUUGGUGACUAAAGUGUCCCUUUAAUAUUAUUUGUCUCAAAACUCCCUUUGCUGAUUUGCAAAACUCAUAAUUCAUUGUGUUAAUUUGGAUGGGGAAGGCACAAUCUUCAGAUAUGUUUCAUGUUGAAUCUACAAAUUUGCUUAGAAGUACAAAUGUGAAUCCAGGAUUGUAAUUCACACUGACCCUUUAAUAUGUAUCAAGUCAAUCAAUUAGAUUCUGUACAUAAAUACAGAAUAAGACUUUGCGGUAUGAUCUGGCAAAACACAUUGCCAAAUGUACUGUCAGACGUGCUUAUACCAUCUGAGAUCCUAAGAAAGGCAAUUAUAUUUAUCAAAUCUGAAUGAAAAUAAUGUCUUCAUGCAGAAGGUGCAAAUUUAGAGAAAAUAUGCCAAAUUAUUUCAAACACCUAAUUUCAGUGCAGAGAAAUUCUUACUGCAUCCUAUCAGAUGCGUUUAGUUUACAAAUCCCCUUGAAGUGUACCUGUCAUAAAUAAAACAAUGUAUAGUGGCUCUGCAUAGAAAAAUAACAUUCAAUCUAUACAUUUCUAGCCAAUGCAAAAAAUAUAAAAGAUGUGUUACCAACAGUAACAUGUUCCUCAGCACCUACGUUUCAUAGAGUCUGGCAUACAGCCACUAGAGGCAGCCUUAGUUUCUCUAAAACUGUAAUGAUUUACAUUGCAGGACUAAUGGGGACAGGGACAAUACACCUAGACUACUUCAAUGCGAUGAAGUCGUCUGGGUCACUAUAGUCUCCCUUUAACCCCUUCCCGACCAAUGACGUACCAGGUACGUCCGCGAAAAAAACGGUCGGUAACAACUGCGGACCUGGUACGUCAUUUAGUAAAUAGCCACUUACCUGAUCGCUGGCGAUCCCCUGCCGGCAAUUUCGAUCCUGGGGUCUACCUGGGAGCUCAGGCAGACCCCCACUGCCUGAUCCUGCCCUCCCAGGCCAUGUGAUUGCGGGGUCCUCAUCUCAUGGCUGGAAUAGCCGGCUUGUGCAGUACCUGCAAAAAAAGUUUCACAAGUUAUUAAAAGUUUAUAAAGUACAUAAAAAACACUAACAUUAUAUAUAUAUAUAUAUAUAUAUAUAUAUAUAUAUACACACACAUGCAUACAUAUAUAAAAUACAGAAUCCAGCGCACUCGCUUAUUCACUAAACAAUGAUUAUAAAUCUUAGAGAUUGUAAUAUUUUUAUUUAAAAACACCUCACCUAGGCAAAAAAUAAUGGGGGUUUAGUUACAUUAUAUGAUCAUAUAUUGCAUAAGCCUGCCACAACGUCAAUGUACCCCAUUCUUGGCAGGUCCUACUCUAGCAGCCAAAUGCUUGCUCUUAUGAGAUUAAUCCACUUACUUGGGAAAUACUUCCUUACUGGGACUCUCUGCAAGUCAAGGCUAAAUAGGGUCCUGGAAUGAGGCACCUGUGACAGGAAGGGGUGCAAAACCAAGGAGUUGGCCCAUUAGGCUGCUAGAGUAAGACCUGCCAAGAAUGGGGUACAUUGACAUUGUGGCAGGCUUAUGCAACAUAUAAUCAUAUAAUGUAACUAAACUCCCAUUAUUUAUUGCCUAGGUGAGGUGUUUUUAAAUAAAACUAUUACAAUCUCUAAGAUUUAUAAUCAUUGUUUAGUGAAUAAGCAAGUGCGCUACACUUAGAUACACUUAGAAUGACUAUAUAUAUAUAUAUAUAUGUAUAUAUAUAUAUAUAUAUAUAAAAAUAAAUAAAUUAAUUGAAAAAAUGAAGAAAAAAAUGUGACACUCACAGCACCCUCACACACACACACACACACACACAGAACUUCUGACACUCUCAGCACCCUCACUCAAACACAGCACCCAUCACUAACACACAGCACACACACUGCACCCCUCGCACACACAGCACCCUUACCCACACAGCACCCUCACACACACACUCUGCACCCCUUUUACACACACAUUACACCCCUCACACACACACACACACACACACACACUGCACCCUCACACAUACACACUGCACAAUACUCUUUCCUGGCAUUUUUGGCUCUUGGCUCCUGGUAUUCCAUCUAUGGAGACACCAGAGGCAAAUUUCAAGCAAACACAGUCCAAGCAUGUUAUUAAAUUUGCUUGUGCUGUGCAGAACAAAUACAGGGCCUUUUUCUCUAGAGCUCUUAAGGAGAGGAGAGUUCUGUGCAUGGUCAGCCCUGGAAGAGCAUUGAACCAACAUGCUCACUUUGAGAUAGGGUGUGCUUGUCAUUGGUGAUGACAAAACACACCCUAUCUGGCCCUGACCCCUUUUCAGUGGGCCGCUGUAAUUUAAAUUUGUCCGGCCCUGCCUGUGUCACACACAUUAUUUGCUAUACAUGCCGACGUCCUGUCCUUUGCAGCUUCUAUCUUAAAGACGGAGGAAACAUACAUUUGCUGGCAGUUUUAAAAGCCCAAUGUAUAUUUUUAGUGUACAACUACAUGGAGAUGAUCUUAUAACCCAAAUACUGCCUGGAUGCAUUAACCAUUUAUUUUUAAAAGGCAAUAAUUUGCUUUUGUGCUGUUGGCAUAGAGAUACACGUAGAAUGUAUAGUGUCCUCUCAACCUUCUAUUUCCAUUCUGCUAAAUGAGGCAUUCCAAAAAUACCUAAGAAACAACAAAUGCAUUUACUGGUGUUUUUGCUAGUAUAAAGUGUAGUUUAGAUUUUAAUAUGUCACUGGAGUGUUCUUCUGUCAUGUAGUUAAUAGCAUCACAUAAAUGAAAUGCAAUUGUUGACCUAUAAUAAUCAAAUUAAUGUACAGUUGUGAGAAGACAUAUCCUCGGGUAGACAAAGUGAAGUGCAAGCUUUUAGGACUUUGUAUGUAUUUGAUUUUGUUUAUCGUACAAUAUUAUUGACACUCUGGAGUUAUAUUUGUAUCUGUUUAUUCUAUAAAUGUAUAUGCUGUAUGCAAGCAUAGAUAUUUUAGAUUUAAAUUAGUAACUCUGUAGCAACAUUACUGAUGGAUCAGCUAUUGCAAAACCAGUGAAAUGUUGUUGUUAAUAGUGCUACCUUUAGAAUUCUAGUUUCCUUAUUAUUUAUUUUAUUCUUAUUUUUCCCCAAUGAACUGCAGGAUGCUUUGUGUUAAUGUAGUCUAUUGCUUAGUAAGUUGGUCAUUAUUUUUAGUUGGUGUUUACUUAUUUACUUACUUUACUUAAAUGUGGUGCUAAAGGAUUUGACUUCAAAUAGAAUAUUGAAUUUUCAAUAAGUGUUGCAAAUGUUUUAAGCUGAUAAAUAUAAGUGACUUAUGUUAAUUGGAUACAAAGGAAUGUUAAAUAUAAGCAAAUAUCAAAAGGUUCUUCAUUAAAGUUGGAAUCCAAAGUGAAUUUCAAAUUUAAGGCCGAACUAGCUGAAAAAUUUUCGUAAUCAGUUCUGCUUUUAGUUCUGCUACUCGGACCUUAAAUUAGAAAAUUCCUUUGAAUUCUCAUUUUAAUAAAUAAACCAGUUAAUAUUUUCUCUUGAUUGAAAGUCAUUAACAUUUGCUAAACUGAAACAUUAAAUCAUGAUUACAUUGGAUUCAAACCAGUUUGCCAUUUUUAAUUAUUGAUUUAUUCAUCGCAAAAGAAAUAACAAAUGUUUUUGCUGAGUGGUAACCCCUAAAUCUUACUGUAAUGCAGUUUAUUGUAUUUUACAUUAAUCGUUAAAUUAGAAUAUGAUGUGAUGUGUAGUAUAUACUUUUUUUGUAUUUCAUACCACUAGUUACUCAUUCCUCUUCCAUACAACUCUGGCACUUUUAGAUGCGGCUGAAAAACAAUCUAGAUGAAGUUACAGCAGCAGGGACAUGCCAAGACCAUGC
This 106218-nucleotide long non-coding RNA is filed under the name Pelobates cultripes (western spadefoot toad). The record is from RNAcentral. Lineage: Eukaryota; Metazoa; Chordata; Amphibia; Anura; Pelobatidae.